GUGCCGGUGGAUGUUCGACUGGGGGUGACUUUGUACAAGCUUUUCAAGAACACAGAUUACCUGGAUCUGGCACCAAGCCCCAAACCACCCAGCAGUCUUGGCGCACAGGGAUGACAUCAGCCCUAACCUCUUGCUCCACUGAGCUGCUAGCAGCUUCUCCCCUCCUUAAAAAAAAAGGUCUGUUGUUCUCUUGGAGUUCAAGAGGCAUCUUCUUCACCGUCUCCUCUGUUUUUGCUAGCUAGUUAGCUCUUACAAGAAGGAGCACAAGCCAAGUUCAGCUUCAUGCUCAGCUCUAUCAUCUCCUCUUUAAGACACCUCACCUCUUUGAACAUUCAGGAGAGCUAGCACGCUUCACGUCUAGACGUCCCCCCCCCCCCUUUUUUUUUCACAAUUGUCUCUUCAAACUCAUCAUACUUAUUUAACUCACCAAACCUUACCAAGCCGAGUGCAGGUUUUGAAACCCCAUGAGUCACCUUGGCUUCCAGUUGAGCUCUCCAACAAUCUUGACGUGCGGAUGCGUGCAAACUGCUCCUUGAGCCAGGACCAUUUCUCCAGGAGAUAACUUAUGCUACAACACUCUCCGCUCGACGAUCUCAAUGUGGAAAGAUCCACAAAGCUGUCCCACUCAUCAUAGUUGUAGAAGAAAUCAUCCUCAUACUGCAUCUGCAACCUUGCUCGAGCCCAAGCCUCCGCCAUCACAAGCUUCUCCCUCAUCUUGAUCAGCUCACACUUGAGGCGGCAAAACAAGUCCAGGUCCUGAGGAACAACAAUGGAAUACACCUUUCCCGGGUACCUGUCUCGAAACCUGUGAAAGUACAGUGGACGAUGUGGUGUUUCAGAUCACAGCGGAAUGAUAACUUGAUGAAAGCAACAAAACCAUCGAGCUCGCUCUUUGGGGAUCAAUUAUCAUCUCCUCCUUUGAAGCAAUGAGCAGCAGGCCUUGAUCGCAUCCAGAAGUACUAGAGAUAGUCUGCAAAAGCAAGUUUGACACCAGUUAUUUUGGCAACACAGAAGAAAAAGAAGAAAAUUUAUAGAGAUCCAUACAAUCCAAAUCAAGAUCAAUCCUCCACGAAUUUAAUGCCGCUUUCAGCACCUCCAAGCUCUUCCGAAAAACGUAGCCACGGUAUGCCACAAUCGUUCACUUGAAAAUCUGAAGAUGUCAAUCGAAGCAUGCAAGCAAAAACAUGAAGUAAAGAAGCGCAGGUGGACAACAAAGGAGAUGAACUGAGCAAGGCCAAGAACACAUAUAAGGACUGACUGUAAGCACUUGAGGCCUCGCGCAGUUUUUUCCUCCGUGCGUGGCUUCAUAUGCAAAAGAGUUUGGUGUGGUAAGGUAUGUUGCAGAGCAGCCAGAAGCCCAGGGUGAAUAUAAGUACGUGAGGCCUUGUGAGGUUUUACCACUGCCCGAGGACUCCUGUGCAUGGACCCCGGGCGAGACUCAUUUGCGAAAGUGUUCUGCAUAAAACUGGUGCCCUGAGGCUUUUGGCCGUGUCGCCCCAUGAAGAGCAUUUUUUAUUUAAUUUGUGUAGAGUGUGGUUUAUUUUUGCAUAUUGAGUGUAUCGAUAUCUUUUAGUUAGCAGAUUAUAUUGAAGAACUGAAGACUACCUACAGUUAAGUGCAUGCAGCAACAGAUCAUAUAAAAAAUGAAUGCAGAGAAUAACAAAUCGGGAUUUCUAGGAAGUUCGUGCGUGUUGUUAGCAUGUACUGAUUCUUUAGCUCUUGAGCAACUGAUUGCUGCUGGCUCACAUUCUAUAUAUAUCAAAGAGAUUUUUUUUAAACAAUAAACAUCUAAGCUGCUGCAGUUAAGCUGUGACAUUGUAAAGUUUAAAAAGGAAAAGAAGAAAAAACAGAAAACACGAAAUCGGGAUUUCUAGGGUAUGCGUGCGGCGCUAGGGUUUGUGUGGUGUGUGUCAUUUCUCAACAAUCUCAUGGAGUGGAAAACGUUUUUCAGGGAUCCCACUUUCUGGUGGGACAACAGGUUCAAGAAGAAAAACAAGUUCUUCUCAGAGUCCUACCUGGAUUUCAAACAUGUUUCUACCAGAGAGAGCCUGUGGAUCGCCAACAGGAAAACACCAACCUGGGUCUCUGCAAAACUCGAGUCGCUCGCUGACCCAGCUGUAGGUAAGGCCACCACGGCCCGCUACAAAUCUCCACAUACCCCACCUGUAGCUGGUGAUGAACGGGUGAGUUUAGGGAGGCUGAUACACCGCGUGAGAGACUCAGCUGAGAGCAGAUCCCUUUCUUUGGGAAAACAAGCCCAUGAAGCUGUGCUCAAGAGUGAUAAGCACAAAAGCAACAUCUACUUGUUGACGGGAUUGAUCGAUAUGUACUGCAAGUGUGGCGAGCUUGAGGAGGCUCGCAAGAUUUUCGACUCCAUGGGAACCCGGAGUGUUGUGUCCUACAACGCGAUCAUCCAGGGCUGCGGCUCGAAUGGGCAAGCUGAACUUGCUCUGGAGUACUACUCUGCCCUGAGAGCUUGUACCACCAUUCAACCCAACGAUCGGACACAUGUCGCGGUGAUCAGCGCCUGCUCCAGACUUACUACCGAAUCCAGCGAGAAGAGGGAGAGAGCUCUACGCAUUGGGAUGGAGAUCCAUUCAAUUCUCAGCAAGGAGAAGAAACAGGUAGAUCUGUUCGUGGCGACUUGCCUGGUCGACAUGUACUGCAAGUGUGGCGAGCUUGAGGAGGCUCGCAAGAUUUUCCACUCCAUGGGAACUCGGAGUGUUGUGUCCUACAAUGCGAUCAUCCAGGGCUGCAACACGAACGGGCGAGCUGAACUUGCUCUGGAGUACUACUCUGCCCUGAGAGCUUGUACCACCAUUCAACCCAACGAUCGGACUCACGUCGCGGUGAUGAGUGCCUGCUCCAGACUUGCUACCGAAUCCAGCGAGAAGAGGGAGAGAGCUCUACGCAUCGGGAUGGAGAUCCAUUCAAUGCUGAGCAAGGAGAAGAAACAGCUAGAUCUGUUCGUGGCGACUUGCCUGGUAGACAUGUACUGCAAGUGUGGCGAGCUUGAGGAGGCUCGCAAGAUUUUCCACUCCAUGGGAACUCGGACUGUUGUGUCCUACAACGCGAUCAUCCAGGGCUGCGGCUCGAACGGGCAAGCUGAACUUGCUCUGGAGUACUACUCUGCCCUGAGAGCUGAUAACACCAUUCAACCCGACGAUUGGACUCAUGUCGUGGUGAUCAGCGCCUGCUCCACACUUGCUACCGAAUCCAGCGAGAAGAGGGAGAGAGCUCUACGCAUUGGGAUGGAGAUCCAUUCAAUGCUGAGCAAGGAGAAGAAACAGCUAGAUCUGUUCGUGGCGACUUGCCUGGUAGACAUGUACUGCAAGUGUGGCGAGCUUGAGGAGGCUCGCAAGAUUUUCCACUCCAUGGGAACUCGGAGUGUUGUGUCCUACACCGCGAUCAUCCAGGGCUGCAACACGAACGGGCGAGCUGAACUUGCUCUGGAGUACUACUCUGCCCUGAGAGCUGAUAACACCAUUCAAGCUAAUGCUUGCACCUACACCUGCGUCCUUGUUGCUUGCGGGAGUGUGAUGGCGACUAAGCUCGGGAGGGAGAUUCACCAGCUGGUGAAGCAUAAAGGGCUGCUGAAAAACAAUCCAGUUCUGGGCUCCAGCCUGGUGAGCUUCUACGGCAAAUGCGGCGAUGUUGAUUCUGCUCAGGAAGUGUUUGACGAGUGCCGAGCUCGGGACAACACGGGUCUCUGGAAUUCUCUUAUACAGGCUUACACUCUCCAGGGCCGAUCGAUCGAGGCCUUGGAGCGUUUCUAUUCCAUGACUCAGGAGGAGGGCUGUAAAGCUGACGAUGUGAGUUUUGUCUUGGUGUUGAACGCUUGCAGCCAUGGUGGUCUGAUCGGGAAAGGAAGGCAGCUUCUGGAUGAAAUGCCCAAGCAGUAUGGAGUCAAGCCACGUCUGGAGCAUUAUGUGUGCCUGAUCGAUAUGCUCGGGCGAGCUAACCUCCUUGACGAAGCUGUGAGAGUUCUCAGAGCCAUGCCUUUUGAACCGGAUGCAGUGGUUUGGACGUCCCUGCUCGGAGCCUGCCGGAAGUGGAAGAAUUACACGGUUGGCAAACUCGCGUUUGAGCGUCUUGUGGAGAUGGAUCCCAAGAGCGGCACGCCCUACGCAUUGAUGGCCAAUAUAUUUGGAAACCUGGGGAUGCUCAGUGAAAGGGCCGCUGUUGUGGAGAGAAUGAGAGGUGAAGGCAGCUUCAGGGAGCCCGGGAGAAGCUGGUGGACGGAUGUUAGCUCAGGAAAAGUGCAUUCUUUUUCUGUCGGGGAUAGGAGUCACUCACAGAGCGACGAGAUUGCGGCCAAGCUCAAGCAAUUGUUGCUGAGAAUGAAAGAGGAGGGGUACGCGAGCGAUGUGAUCAACGUUCUAAAAGACAUACCAGAGGAAGAGAAAGAGGAUCACCUGUGCGGCCACAGUGAGAAGCUUGCGCUGGGGUGUGCUCUGGUGAACUCGCACCAGAAGGAAACCAUCAAAAUUGUGAAAAAUCUCCGAGUUUGUGACGAUUGCCAUGCGGCCACUGCUCUCAUCUCUAAGCUGGAAAAAAGGCUAAUCAUCUGCAAAGAUGCCAGUCGGGUUCAUGUGUUCCAGGAUGGCAGAUGUUCCUGUGACAACUACUUUUGAAAACAUGUCAGUGCUCUUUCUUGCAGUUAUCCCUGGUUUUAAACCCUCUGUGAGUCAAGCAGAAACAUGGGCCGCUGAGUGAGCAUGCCUCGUCAAAGUACCGCCGUCAACUUGAACUUCACGGAGAAAAAAUUAACAUUUAAAAGUUAAAACUAUGCAAAAGGAGGAUGACACGUUGUCUUAAAUUUAAAUUUCUUUUUGGUAGCAGAAUCGGGGAAUGCUGACUAAACCUGCCAACAGGUGCGCCCAGAUUCAGAUAAUAAGCCUUAGUAUGAAGACUUGCCGGUACCAAACUCUUUGCUGAUAGCAAGUACCGCCUCAUGUUCCGGGAGCAAGGAGAUGGCAGCUUGUGGCAUGACUAACUUUGGGUUUGUGCUCCUAGAGCACGUUGAAGACGUGUGGAAGCUGGUGAUGACAGCAUUUGUUUCUUGCGACGUCACCAGUUCCUCAGCGAUGUCUUCCUUCCAGAUUUUUUGAGCUUGUCGUGAGUGGUGACCUGCUUGCUCUCUCAUGUGACGACUUCUUCCAGCCUCUGGUGCCCAACCUCAGGACUCUCUUGUGGAUGGAGCUAGCCCUACACAGUGUCUGUGUGUGUGUUUAUCAACCAGCAGAUGCACAAAUCGUUGAGAAUCAUAGGCUUAGUAUGUAAUGUACUAGUGUACAUGUACAUGUGUUUCACAGCAGUGGACAAGCUAUGAUACAAUGAAAAAGGUAAAGUCAGGUAUUUGUUUAACGUCUGCUUGGAGCAAAUAUGGCCUCAUGACAACCUAUUACAACCCAGGAUGAAAACUCCACAUCAAAGCUUAAGGCAGCAUCGCUAUUGCCUUCAUCUUGCUUUACAAACUGAAGUUAUCGAGGUUCGUGAUUGGAUAAUGCUUGAUGGUGCUGAGACUCAAAUCAUCUUUGUUAUGGAAACAACCCCAUCACCUCAAGGUAUUGUUUUCUAUCCCCAUAACAGUGGUGCACUGUUUCCAUGUAUAGUUCCCGAGGAGGUCCCAGUUCCCAGGAUGGCCUUCGGUAAAAGGUUCAGGACGAUACAUCAGAGAGGGAAAUACACUGAACUGGAUCCUAAGGUUCAACUGGGAGAAUGCUCUGCAAUACACUAGUUUGGGGAGUACCUAUAUCUGAUCUUAUAUAGGAUCCGGCUCAGUUAUCCUGGGAAGGUAAUGAGUUCAGUGUGUCUUUUUUAUGUACAGGUCUAAGCAUGGCAGAGAGCUUUUGAUGGAUAAAAUUGACACCAAGCUUAUGUGAAAGUUGAAGAAUCGGAAGUGAACAUGUGGAAGACACUGGUGGAAGCUAACGUAAGCUGGCUUCUUGUGCAGGACAGCAUCCCUGUUGGUGAUUGGCUCACAGUUCACAAAACUCUCUGUAUUCUAUGCAAUGAAAACCCCGUGGAGAUGCUUGAACACCUCUUCACAUGCAAAUUUGCAGUUGGUAUUUGGCUCUUUGAUCAGAGACCUAGAUCCAGAAUCAGCUGGUUCAUCACGAAAUACGGUGACAUUUUUCCCUACUGUGAUGAACAGUAGCUGAGGAGAGAGAAGCUAGCAAAGCAUCCCGCUAACAAAACCACUAGCUGUCUCACGUGACACAACACCUCCAGCCAUCAACGGGGUCAGAAAAGAAAGAAAGGAUAGGAGCAAGUGACUAUUUCUCCUCUUCCUCUGGAAUGCAUCCAAGUCAUACUCAAAAUUAGGAAACAACAUCAUCCUCAGCUUCCCAUGUAGCAUCAUAUGGAGAAUAACCAUUCCACUGAACAAGUAACUCUCUCCAAGUCUUACGAUGUAUGCGCACUAGCCGUUGCUAUAACACACAACUAGGGCCAACCUUCAAACAUCUAUCUCUGGAAUCUUGAUUGCAGACUGGUCCAAGAUAUUACCAGAAUGCAAACACGCCUUCAACUUCCUACAUAGAAGACGGGAUGAAUCUUCACACCACUAGGCAAGUCUAGUUGAUAGGCAAGGUCUCCAACUCGUUUGAGAAUAAUCCAAGGCCCACAGUACUGUGGUGACAACUUAGAACUACCUCCACCUUGAAGAGCUCAUUGAGCUUCAGACAACCGAAGGAAAACCUUGUCUCCAACCUGAAACUGCUUGUGCUGACGAUGCUCCUUUGCCUGGUGCACCUCAAGAGAAGCGAAGUUCAUACCAAUAGGGGACCGAGGUUGAAAGCUAUACAUUGCCAUAAACAGAGCCAUCUCAAUAGCCAAAUGGAAGGCACAGUUAUGGGCAAACUCUAACAAAGGCAGGUACUUCUCCCAAAUACCUUACCUCUUCAGAUACCAACAAAUGAUCUCAGCAUGUCUUCCAGCACCUAAUUAACUCCUUUUGUUUGUCCAUCUGACUGUGGAUGCUCAUGCUCAACUUUGUCUCAAGCUUCUGAAACACCGUCUGCCAAAACACCAAAGUGAACGUGCAAUCCCGAUCACUUACAACAUCCUUAGGCAGCCCAUAGAGAAAUACAGCUGAGCAAGGUCAAAAGCCUUAGCAUUCAUCUUCACAAGGAAGAAGUGAGCUAACAUCAUCACACAAUCCACAACAACCCAGAUAGCAUCAUUGCCUUGAAACGCCUACUAUGAAACUCAUAGAAAAUGUUAUCCCACUUCUGUUGAGGUUAACUAUGGUAGAGACCUUCAUGCUUCUCACAAUCCAUUGUGACCACCUGGCCGGUCUAACAACUGUGCACAUACUUAUCAACACCUAACUUCAUUCGAGACCAAAAUAAAUGCAUCUCUACCAGAACACACGCCCUCAAUGUCCUGCACUUGGUGCAAUGGACACUCUUACAGAAUCCACUGUAAAAGAACAUCAUCUCUAGGAACCAUAGCCCGAUUCCUCUUGACUAGGAAACCAUCUCAUACAUUGAAGGAAGCACAGUCGCAUUGGAAGAGGCAUCCCCCUUCAAAACAACUGCACGUGCCUUCACUACAAAGGAGUUGAAGUCAGCAAGCUCAUUAAUUUCAUCCAGCAAACCACUGGAGAGCUUCCCAAACAAGAUAGAGUUCACCAUCCUAAACAAUGGAGAAAUAACCACCUUUACUGUCUACUAUCUACAAAUUUUCUUUAAGACAAUUUCCCUAUUUCUGAAAGGUCUUGGAAACCUAGCAACUUUGCUUUAGUAAUCUGAGGUCAAAAUUACCCUUUGACUUUUACUCGGGAGAAAUCGGUUUUCAUCACCUUAAACCCCAGAGCUAAACUCCUUUGGUGGUUUGGAAUCUGCACGUCCAUUUCCUGCAAAAACUCUAGUCAAUGAGCUAGCCGGCCUCGAAACUCCAUCUGGCAAGUGAAAAGAGUGACAAGUGGUAAAGUUAUUGACAUGAAAAAUCCAAACCAUACAGAUAAUGCCUCCACUCUUUGACCGCAACAACUACAACAUAUAACUUCCUAUCCCGAGUUGCUAAGUUGCGUCAAACUUGUGGCUUAUGUAGGCAAUAGGACAGCAGUCUUGCACCAAGACAGCUCCUAUACCCUCAUCACUAGCCUUGUUAAUGAAAGUAUGCGUAGCAUCAGAGCCAAAGAGGACACUGAGCACUUGGCUAUGCACAACUCAUUGCACAAACAACUGUACAGCUCAGAUGAGUUGAUACAAUUCUUCUUCACUCCUUCAGAAAGCUUAGUGACAGCAGUGUCAGCUAGAACACGAGUAGAUACAAUCUCUCCUUGGUCCACACUGACACCCAUGGCCUCACUAGGAUCAGAAAGAGAAAAGGACUCAUGAGCCAUACCCUCUGAACGUAUAGACUCCAUAGCGUGAACCUUAGCCUUCUACCACAAGUGGCUUAUCACAAGCAAAUAUUUGUAGAAUAUACAUGAUUGCUUUAACCGCUCAAACGCUUCUUGACACUUUCACCCCACACCAACUUAGCAUGCUUGGUGGUGUUUCGAAGAAUAUCCAUCAAAGGAGCAGCAAUCAAGGAGAAGUCCUUCACAAACCGGCAAAAGACUCCCAGCAUACCAACCCAUGCACAGGAGGGGGAACAAGCUAGUCAACAACUAUCUGAGUCUUUUGAGGAUCAUCUUGUGGCACCACAUGUCUGAGAUAGGUGAUCUCUUCCAAGAAGAAUUCACGCUUUGACAGUUUAGAAUACAGCUUAUUCUCCUUCAAUAGUGGCAACAUUUGCCUCACAUGCAUCUCAUGUUCCUCCUUAGUCGUAGGACAUCGUCAAAGUAGUGCCUUGCACAUGAGAUUGCAAAACUCUAUCAAAAGAACUGUUUAAUAAUAGUUAGCCUUGGCCAUCAUAUGAAGCAACAUCUUUGCUGAGUUAGAAAAGACUCCUUGAGCAUUCCAAAGCUUCAAAACGAGAUAGUCAAAGGAUCUCAACUAGCAAUAAGUUCUAGCAUGGCUAGUCUUUUUUUGAUCAAUUCUUCUUAGUUGAUUUUGUAUUGUAUUGCCAUUCGUAGUGAUGAAACGAUGUACUUGAGUGGUGUCAAAGCUUCAAGGCUGUAGGUGAGCUUAAAUGGUGUCGAAUUUGUUGAAACCUUAUAUGCAAUUCAAUAUGCCUAUAGAGUGAUCGUCCCUGUCUUUCUGAUUUAUUUUCAUGAUUUUCAUGAGGAUGUUUUUGAGUGUCUUGUUUGUAGACUCUGCUUGACCAUUGCCUUGAGGGUAGUAUGGUGUUGAAACCUUGUGCUUGAUAGUGAAUUCUUGAGUUAAAAUCUUGAUGGUUUCAUUGAUGAAGUGUGUUCUUUGAUUAGUGACGAGUUCUCAAGGUAAGCCAUAUCUUGUGAUGAUGUUUUCGUAGAUGAUCUUUGUUGUGUUCUUUGUUAUAGUAGUCUUUAUUGGUUGAGCUUCAGCCCAUUUUAUCAUAUAGUCUAUUGUAAUUAGAAUGUACUAGUUUUGCUUGGAGCUUGUUAUAAGUGGACCAACAAAGUUGAGUCCCCAUUAUUGAAAAGGUUUGAGUGGAGUUUCUAGAUGAAGUUCUUGAGUUUAUUUCUUUAGUGCAUACUUGGUUCAUUGUAGAUGUUGCAUUUUUGACAGAACUUGGCUUAAUUGUGCCAAAGUGUUGGCCACCAAAGUCUUGCUUGUAAAAUUUUUUGAGUUAUGAAUUCUUUAGCAAAAUGUCCUCCUACUUGUCCACAAUAGGCUUUUUCAAGUAGAUCUUGUGUUUCUUCCAUCUUUAUAAAAUGUUAUCUCUUCCUUAUUUGUGCAAUUUUCUUCCCACGAUUGAAUAUGGUUUUGUCCUCAAGACAAAUUGCUUGCUCUUGUCGGAGGUUGAAUAUCAACUUGUAUUGUUGCUAUUGUGAGGUAGUAGUAGAUGUUGUCCAUCUAGGUUGGUGAUGUGUGGAUUCAAAGGAUAUUGGAGUCAGGAAAGUCAUCCAUGUUGUGUUUCAAUUGUUCAUUGGUUGUAAUGCGGCUUAGGUGUUCAUGUUCUCUUCCAGGCUUGUAAAUGAUCUUGAAGUUGUAUUUUUGAAGUAGUAAGAACUAUCGUGCAAUUUUGCCGGUGAGGAUUGUUUUGUUGAGAAGGUGGAGGAAGUUAUCGAGUAGGUAGUAUCAAAACUUUUGGAGUGUGUAGAUCAUUGCUGGAGCUUCUUUUUCAGUUGUAGUGUAGUUCAUUUCAGCUGAGUUGAGUCUUCAACUUGCAUAGUAGAGUUGUCGGUCUUUAUGAUCUUUUUGUUGUUGCAAAAGGAUCACUCUGAGGGCAUAGUUGGAGGUGUUGACUUGGAUGUUGAAGUCUUUGUUCUAGUUUGGUUGAGCAAGUUUUGGAGCUUGGGUGAGGGAAUUCUUGGCAUUUUGACAAUCUUGGGUCCAGUUGUAAGCUUGAUAUUUCUUGAGGAGUUUGGUGAUAGGUUUUGCAAUCUUGGUGUAGUCUUUGAUGAAUCUUCGAUAGUAUCCCAUCUUACUGAGGAAUGAUCAAAGGCUUGAAAUGUUGAAUGGAUGUUGUAUGUUGGUGAUUGUGAGGGUCUUGUCCUUGUUGAUGAGGAUUCCUUCUUUGGAAAUUAAUGUUCGAGUGGAAUUCCUGAUUUGAUAAAGAAAAUACACUUGUCAAGGUUCAAUGUGAUAUUGUGUUCAUGGCAUUUGAUGAAGCAUUUCUCUAAGCAUUGGAGAUGAUCUUCUUUGUUGCUGAAGACAUUAAAGUCAUCCAUAAAUACUCGCAUAAAUUUGGUGAGGUAUUUUCGAAAAGUGUCAAUGAUGAUCUAUUGAAACAUGAAUGGUGCAUUGGAGAGACUGAAAGGCAUGUGAAGGUAGGCAUAUGCUCCCUAUGGAUUGAUGAAAGCUGUCUUGUGUUGAUCUUCAGAUGCAAUGUGUACUUGAUUGUGUCUAUUGAAGCCAUUGAGAAAGGAGUACAUCUCAUAUCCUACAAUUGCAUCAAGAAUUUCAUUAGAGAAUGGAAUUGAAAAGGUGUCCUUUUGAGUUGUAUCGUUGAGCUUUUUAUAGUUGACACAAAUACUAAGCUUGUUUUUCUUCUUGGGGACAAUGAUUAGUGGUGAUAGCCAUUUUGGAUUUUGAAUUGGGAAGAUGAAUCCAACAUUUUCGAGUUUGUUAAGCUCUUAUUUGACUUUGGUUUGUAUGUUGGGAUUCAUUCGGUAGGUUAAUUGCUUUGUUGGUACCACUUUUGAUUGAAGUUCAAUCCGAUGUGUGUAAAGUUCAGAUGGAAUUCCUUGUAAGUCAGUCUAGGACUAGGUGAAAACAUCUUGAUAAGUUUCAAGUAGUUGGGUUGCUUUUGCUUUAAAAUCUUCAUCAAGCUCUUGGGCAAUGUGAAGUUUUUUUGGUUCUGCUGCCAUGUUUUAAUUCUCGGGCCAUGCUGUGAGAUCAGAUCUUCUUUGCAGGCACGCCAAAGCCUUACCAAAGAAUCUUCUUGAAUAUUUCCGGAAUAAAUUUUAAAAUGACCCCAACACUUUAGAUUUGGUCAGGGUUUUUGAAAAUUACUUAAGAAUCCUCUAAAUUCACCUUUUUUUUUGUGCUGUGAGGGCCAAGUGUAUAGCUACGAUGCUGUAUACUAAUAUUAACGUAGUGAGAUUUUGGUAGCCAUCGGAUUGGUUUCAAUCUGGGCCACUCACUCCUGUAUAUAAGCUAGGGUUUUUGGGCUAAUUGAUAUGCACAUUUUCUGUAUUCCCUUUCUAUAUUCCAAACACUCACAUUGGUGGAGGUGAGGGGCACCUUUGAUUGUCCCUGGGGAGUGUUUGGAUUUAGGAUUUCAGUUUAGAUCUAACUUCUGCAUUGUCUAGAUCUAACUUUUUUUAUUUCCUUUCUUUUGUUCUUUCCUUUCAGGAUUUUGGUUUAGAUCUAGUGUUUUGCAUUGUCUAAAUCUACCAUUUCCUUCUAGCUUUUUGUCCUUUCUCUUCUUUUGCUCUUUCUUUUUCAUUUGUCUCCAUGGCAGAUCAACAAUCUCCUUCUAAAUAUGUCGGAGCGGGUCAAGCCAAGAAUGUUGUGGCUAGCACUUCGUCAAGAUCUUGUCAGACUUGUGCAUGCACUUGCUCCUGCCACCCUUGAUGAUGCUCUUCGCUUGGCAUAACGUUAUAAUACAUCGCCUCUUCCACUUCUCGCUACACGUCCUUCAACUCCACUUCCUAUGAGUGAUAGUCCUGUUCCAAUAGAGAUUGAUGCUGCUGCUACUCGAGUCCAAGGACAAGGGCGAGGACGUGGUUGUGGCUGUGAUGUUCAUUGCUGGGCAUGUGAUGAAGUUGGUCAUACUUAUCAGAGUUGUUGGCGCUUUCCGGAUUGGCGACCUCCAUUUCCUCGGUGGAGACCUUGGUGUCAGCAAUGUCCCAUUGGUGCUAUUGCGGUGGAAGAUUUGGACACCGAGGUGCAUCCGGGAAACGAGGUGUCACUUGAGUAAUGGAGGGACCUUGCGCGAAUAAGUUAAUGACCCUUCUAUCUUUCUUUCGGGAGUAUCAUCAAGGGGUUCACUCGGCACUGGUUUAUCCAGUGUUUACUUUCCAAGCUCAUUUUUAUAACAAGAGGUCUCAUAUUAUUCUCUCUGUGUUGGUUGAUACAGGUUCGAGUUUAUCUUCUAUUGCUCGACUUAUUGCCACACGUUGUCGUCUACACUUGCGUCGUGCGGUAGAUCCAGUUUUCAUUCUUUAUGGCAACGGCCGCACAUAUGCAUGUGCACGAGAUGAGGCAGACCUUGUUGUGUGUGUGGGCGAUCUCAAGGUUGAGUUGCAGUCGUUGCGGGUGGUGCCGAGUCAAGCUUUUGACCUCAUUCUUGGUAUGGAUUGGUUGCAGCACAAUCAUGCCAAGUAUGACUUUGAGGCUUCUCCCCCUUGUCUCAUACUUCCUUAUGUUUCAUCCAUUCCUCUCACUUCCGUACCUCUUCAUCCCUCUACUUCUACCUCUGCUUCCAUUACUUUCCCCCACUAUUUCCUCCUAUGUUUCUAUCUUGUUCUGCUUUUCCCUUUUCUAAUCCCUCCAAUGAUCUUUGUGUUGCAGCUGUUGACCGGCUCAUGAAGGAGUAUUCUGAUAUCUUUGAAUUUAACUUAUCAUUUGGGGCCAAGAUUGCCACACAUCAUCUGAUUCCAACCGGGGAUGCUCGUCCAAUCAAGGUUCCUGUUUGUCGUCGGUCACCCAAGGAGAUCAAGGUUUUACGUGCAAACAUCAAGGAGAUGUUGGAGAAGAGUGUUAUUUCGAAGUCGUGGAGUCCUUGGGCAUGUGAACUUGAUCUUGUGACAAAGCUUAAUGGGAGUAUUCAUUUCUGCAUCGACUAUCGUCCAUUAAAUGAAGUGACGAUCCCGGAUGUGUACCCUCUUCCUCACACUAUUGAUCUCUUGGAUCGUCUAGGGUGAAGUCGUUGGUUCACCAAGCUCGAUCUUGCUUCUGGGUACUGGCAAGUACCGAUGGCCGAAGAAGAUAUUCCUAAAACUGCUUUUUGUACACCGUUUGGUUUGUAUGAGUUCUUGGUGAUGCCAUUUGGUUUGAACAAUGCUCCAGCAAUUUUCCAAUAGAUGAUGGAUAAGGUUCUUUGUGAUAUGCCAGAGGUGACUACUGACUUCAUUGAUGAUGUCUUGAUUCAUUCAGAGGGGACGUGGGAGGAGCACAUUCGUGAUAUGUGUAAAGUGUUGGAUCGGCUACGGGACGUUGGUUUAAAGCUGAAGCGGUCAAAGUGCGUGUUUGGGUCCAAGGACACAAUUUAUCUUGGGUACUGUAUUUCUCGUGAAGGUUUGCAAGUUGAUCCUAACAAACUUGUAGCUGUUCUAAAGUUCCCUACUUCGAAGUGUGUGAAUGAUGUGUAGCGCUUCCUAGGCAAGGUGCAGUAUCUCGGUUGUUUUGUGGAUCAUCUUUUUGAUCGCACUGCACCAUUGCAAGCAUUGCUAAAGUCAUCAAUGUCAUCUUUCAUUUGGUCUUCAGCUUGUGAGUAGGCGUUUGUGGAUUUCAAAGAGCCCUCCAGUUUUGGCAUAUCCUGAUUACACUCGACCUUUUAUUUUGCGCAUAGAUGCUUAUGAUAUUAGUCUUGGAGGUGUGUUGAUGCAAGAAAGCCCAAGUGUGCCUAGUCAGCGUCAUCCCAUUGCAUAUAUAAACCAUACGUUACAACCAGCAGAGGUGAACUACUCCACGACAGAGAAGGAGUGUUUAGCGGCAGUUUAGGGUUUCAAGAAACUUCAUGCAUAUCUACAUGGUUCUUGGACGUUACUUGAAGGUGACCAUGCUGCCAUUACUUCAUUAUUGAAGCGGAAAAACCUGUAAUUUUGAUGUUGUUCAUUGCCUAGGGAGUUCUAUGGCUAAUGCUGAUGCCCUUUCUCGAGCUCCUCUUCCUUCUCCACUAUCUUCUCAUGUUUCUGAUGAGCCUAUUGUUCCAGCAUCUUUGGAUUUUCUAAACGAGGAUUCUAUGCCAUCGGCGGUUGCUAUACUUGACGUUCAGUGUUCACAAGGUGCAAAGCAAUAUCUACUUUUUCUUGAUAAGGUUCGCGAGGCUCAAAAGAUUGAGCCGUGGAUUCAAAGGCUUCAAGGUGCAUUUGAGAAUCCUACAUCACUUACUGAUGACUUGCCUUUUCAGCAUUUACAUUCUCAAUAUCGCCUUGAAGAUGGCCUUCUUUAUUUUGUGAGGACGAAUCCUAAUGAUCAUUUACGGCUGGUGGUGCCUUCUAUCUUUAUUCCGCGGUUUCUCCAUGCCUAUUAUGAUUCUCUUAUUUUAGGUGGGCAUAUAGGACAUCGUUGUGUGACCGAGAAGCUGCACAGGUCUUUCUAUUGGCCGGAGAUGCGACGUGAUAUUAUCCGGUAUGUGUGUAGCUACGUUUGGUGCCAAGCUCGUAAUACUCCCCUUUGUGCUGUAGAAGGACGGUUGGAGUUAAUUGCAAUUUCCUGUCCCUUUGAGUUGGUGGCGUUUGAUCUUAUUGGACCUUUUCCAUAGUCGAUUGCGGGCAAUGAAUAUGUUAUUAUUGUUUUUGACUACUUGACUCGUUGGGUGGAAGUUGGUGCUCUUGCUAGCACCUCGGCAACUACUGUUAGAUACUUCCUCCUCAAUCGAGUGGUGUUUCAGCAUUCUUGUCCAGAGCGAAUUUUUUCGGAUAAUAGUCCUGCAUUUAUGGCUGAGGCAUUUCAUGUUUUGACAUCUUGUUUGGGGAUAUGCCACAGUUUCACGAGUGCUUAUUAUCCACAAUCAGAUGGUCUAGUGGAACAGCUCAUUCGGACAUUCAAAAGGAUGAUUGCGAAGUAUGUGAACUUUCAGCAUUCGGAUUGGGAUGGUUAUUUGCCGUCUCUUCGGUAUGCCUAUGUCACAGGGGUGCAGAGUUAUAUUGAUGCUUCACCAUAUAAACUUCUAUAUAGUCAUGAUCCAAUAUUACCAACAGAGUUGGGUUUACCUUCAUGAUUGCCACAAGCUCCCGAUUCUACGUUGUGGGAUCAAUAUUUGACGAGCAUUCUUCCACUUGUCCGAGUAGAGUCUGCCGAACACUUAGGCCACGUACAAGUGGGACAACAACGGCACUACAACUCCCAUCAUCGUUCACUUGCGGAAUACAAAGUCGAUGAUUUGGUGUUAGUUUGUUUUCCCGAUUUUAUGGUACGUUAUCUAAGGGGCUCCUUGCACAGUGGAAAGGACCAUAUCGGGUGUUGCAGCAAGUUGGACCACAAGUUUAUGAGGUUCAGCAUGACGUCUAGCAAGCCAAUCCUUCGGAGAUUGUGCAUGUGCAGCAGUUGAAACGCUUCAUACAAAGGGAUCAGGAGUAGUUAAUACCAUCUACAGAUCCACCAAUGCCUCCUCUUGAUGUUCCUCCAAAUCUUGGCCCAUCUACAAGAGAACCCUGAUGGCCUUCCAUUAUUCCGAGAGGAGGGGAUGAUGUGAGGGCCAAGUGUACGGCUACAAUGCCAUAUACUAAUAUUAACGUAGUGGGAUUUUGGUAGCUGUCGGAUUGGUUUCAAUCCAAACCACUCGCUCCUGUAUAUAAGCUAGGGUUUUUGAGCUAAUUAAUAUGCACAUUUUCUAUAUUCCCUUUCCAUAUUCCAAGCACUCACAGUGCGAAUAAUUAAAAAAUACUGGUAAGUACAUUACUUUAGCUUAAGUUAUUAUGCAAAUAGGGAAAACGUAAACUUUAAACUUUAAUUUUCGGGUAACUCUUGGUCCAGAGCUAAACUUUUAUAAACAUAUCUAAACAUGCUCAUUUAAUUAACCACCAAUGAACGGCCAAGAUAUCUUUACCAGCACUCCCCCACUAAUUUUCUUUCGAAAAUAAAAAACUAAAAGCAAAGAUGAUAUUAUCAAACACUAUUUUUUCAAUGUUUGUUUUUUUUUCUUAUUUUCUACUAUUAAUUAACUUACAACUCAAUCACACAAUACUUGGAGCUGGAAGAAUUGAAUCCAACUUAAUUUCAGCAAACUGAUGAGGAUGGACAAUUUUUAUUUUUAUUUCUUUUGCACUUCUUAAUUUACAUUUUUUAAUUUUUUUCUACUCUUCUUAUAUGCACUUCUUCGGUGUAUUUGGCCCAUUAUAUUUAGCUGAAACACAUGUACAUGUACACUAGUACACUACGUACUAAACCUAUGAUACACACUUGUUGCUAAUUCUCAACGAUUUGUGCAUCUGCUGGUUCACACACACACACACACACACACACUGUGUAGGGCUAGCUCCAUCCAUAAGAGAGCAUUGAGGUUGGGCACCAGAGGCUGGAAGAAGUCGUCACAGGAGAGAGCAAGCAGGUCACCACUCAUGACAAGCUCAAAAAAUCUGGAAGGAAGACAUCGCUGAUGAACUGGUGAGUACGUCGCAAGAAACAAAUGCUGUCAUCACCAGCUUCCACACGUCUUCAACGUGCUCUAGGAGCACAAACCCAAAGUUGGUCAUGCCACAAGCCGCCAUCGCCUUGCUCCCGGAACAUGAGGCAGUACUUGCUAUCAGCAAAGAGUUUGGGUACCGGCAAGUCUUCAUACUAAGGCUUAUUAUCUGAAUCUGGGCACACCUGUUGGCAGGUUUAGUCAGCAUUCCCCGAUUCUGCUACCAAAAAGAAAUUUAAAUUUAAGACUACGUGUCAUCCUCCUUUUGCAUAGUUUUAACUUUUAAAUGUUAAUUUUUUCUCCGUGAAGUUCAGGUUCGCAGCGGCACUUUGACGAGGCAUGCUCACUCAGCGGCCCAUGUUUCUGCUUGACUCACGGAGGGUUUAAAACCAGGGAUAACUGCAAGAAAGAGCACUGACAUGUUUUCAAAAGUAGUUGUCACAGGAACAUCUGCCAUCAUGGAACACAUGAACCCGACUGGCAUCUUUGCAGAUGAUUAGCCUUUUUUCCAGCUUAGAGAUGAGAGCAGUGGCCGCAUGGCAAUCGUCACAAACUCGGAGAUUUUUCACAAUUUUGAUGGUUUCCUUCUGGUGCGUGUUCACCAGAGCACACCCCAGCGCAAGCUUCUCACUGUGGCCGCACAGGUGAUCCUCUUUCUCUUUCUUGGGUAUGUCUUUUAGAACGUUGAUCACAUCGCUUGCGUACCCCUCCUCUUUCAUUCUCAGCAACAAUUGCUUGAGCUUGGCCGCAAUCUCGUCGCUCUGUGAGUGACUCCUAUCCCCAACAGAAAAAGAAUGCACUUUUCCUGAGCUAACAUCCGUCCACCAGCUUCUCCCAGGCUCCCUGAAGCUGCCUUCACCUCUCAUUCUCUCCACAACAGCGGCCCUUUCACUGAGCAUCCCCAGGUUUCCAAAUAUAUUGGCCAUCAAUGCGUAGGGCGUGCCGCUCUUGGGAUCCAUCUCCACAAGACGCUCAAACGCGAGUUUGCCGAUCGUGUAAUUCUUCCACUUCCGGCAGGCUCCGAGCAGGGACGUCCAAACCACUGCAUCCGGUUCAAAAGGCAUGGCUCUGAGAACUCUCACAGCUUCGUCGAGGAGGUUAGCUCGCCCGAGCAUAUCAAUCAGGCACACAUAAUGCUCCAGACGUGGCUUGACUCCAUACUGCUUGGGCAUUUCAUCCAGAAGCUGCCUUCCUUUCCCGACCAGACCACCAUGGCUGCAAGCGUUCAACACCGAGACAAAACUCACAUCGUCAGCUUUACAGCCCUCCUCCUGAGUCAUGGAAUAGAAACGCUCCAAGGCCUCGAUCGAUCGGCCCUGGAGAGUGUAAGCCUGUAUGAGAGAGUUCCAGAGACCCGUGUCAUCCCGAGCUCGGCACUCGUCAAACGCUUCCUGAGCAGAAUCAACAUCGCCGCAUUUGCCGUAGAAGCUCACCAGGCUGGAGCCCAGAACUGGAUUGUUUUUCAGCAGCCCUUCAUGCUUCGCCAGCUGGUGAAUCUCCCUCCCGAGCUUGAUCGCCAUCACACUCCCGCAAGCAACAAGGACGCAGGUGUAGGUGCAAGCAUUAGCUUGAAUGGUGGUACAAGCUCUCAGGGCAGAGUAGUACUCCAGAGCAAGUUCAGCUUGCCCGUUCGAGCCGCAGCCCUGGAUGAUCGCGUUGUAGGACACAACACUCCGGGUUCCCAUGGAGUCGAAAAUCUUGCGAGCCUCCUCAAGCUCGCCACACUUGCAGUACAUGUCUACCAGGCAAUUUGCCACGAACAGAUCUACCUGUUUCUUCUCCUUGCUCAGCAUUGAAUGGAUCUCCAUCCCGAAGCGUAGAGCUCUCUCCCUCUUCUCGCUGGAUUCGGUAGCAAGUGUGGAGCAGGCGCUGAUCACCGCGACAUGUGUCCGAUCGUUAGGUUGAAUGGUGGUACAAGCUCUCAGCGCAGAGUAGUACUCCAGAGCAAGUUCAGCUUGCCCGUUCGAGCCGCAGCCCUGGAUGAUCGCGUUGUAGGACACAACACUCCGGGUUCCCAUGGAGUCGAAAAUCUUGCGAGCCUCCUCAAGCUCGCCACACUUGCAGUACAUGUCUACCAGGCAAUUCGCCACGAACAGAUCUAGCUGUUUCUUCUUGCUCAGCAUUGAAUGGAUCUCCAUCCCGAUGCAUAGAGCUCUCUCCCUCUUCCCGCUGGAUUCGGUAGCAAGUGUGGAGCAGGCGCUGAUCACUGCGACAUGUGUCCGAUCGUCAGGUUGAAUGGUGUUAUCAGCUCUCAGGGCAGAGUAGUACUCCAGAGCAAGUUCAGCUUGCCCGUUCGAGCCGCAGCCCUGGAUGAUCGCGUUGUAGGACACAACACUCUGAGUUCCCAUGGAGUGGAAAAUCUUGCGAGCCUCCUCAAGCUCACCACACUUGCAGUACAUGUCUACCAGGCAAUUCGCCACAAACAGAUCUAGCUGUUUCUUCUCCUUGCUCAGCAUUGAAUGGAUCUCCAUCCCGAUGCGUAGAGCUCUCUCCCUCUUCUCACUGGAUUCGGUAGCAAGUGUGGAGCAGGCGCUGAUCACCGCGACAUGAGUCCGAUUGUUGGGUUGAAUGGUGGUACAAGCUCUCAGGGCAUAGUAGUACUCCAGAGCAAGUUCAGCUCGUCCGUUCGUGUUGCAGCCCUGGAUGAUCGCGGUGUAGGACACAACACUCCGAGUUCCCAUGGAGUGGAAAAUCUUGCGAGCCUCCUCAAGCUCGCCACACUUGCAGUACAUGUCUACCAGGCAAGUCGCCACGAACAGAUCUACCUGUUUCUUCUCCUUGCUCAGCAUUGAAUGGAUCUCCAUCCCGAUGCGUAGAGCGCUCUCCCUCUUCUCGCUGGAUUCGGUAGCAAGUCUGGAGCAGGCGCUGAUCACCGCAACAUGUGUCCGAUCGUUGGGUUGAAUGGUGGUACAAGCUCUCAGGGCAGAGUAGUACUCCAGAGCAAGUUCAGCUUGCCCGUUCGAGCCACAGCCCUGGAUGAUCGCGUUGUAGGACACAACACUCCGAGUUCUCAUGGAGUCGAAAAUCUUGCGAGCCUCUUCAAGCUCGCCACACUUGCAGUACAUGUCUACCAGGCAAGUCGCCACGAACAGAUCUAGCUGUUUCUUCUCCUUGCUCAGCAUUGAAUGGAUCUCCAUCCCGAUGCGUAGAGCUCUCUCCCUCUUCUCGCUGGAUUCGGUAGCAAGUCUGGAGCAGGCGCUGAUCACCGCGACAUGAGUCCGAUAGUUGGGUUGAAUGGUGGUACAAGCUCUCAGGGCAUAGUAGUACUCCAGAGCAAGUUCAGCUUGCCCGUUCGAGCCGCAGCCCUGGAUGAUCGCGUUGUAGGACACAACACUCCGGGUUCCCAUGGAGUCGAAAAUCUUGCGAGCCUCCUCAAGCUCGCCACACUUGCAGUACAUAUCGAUCAAUCCCGUCAACAAGUAGAUGUUGCUUUUGUGCUCAUCACUCUUGAGCACAGCUUCAUGGGCUUGUUUUCCCAAAGGAAGGGAUCUGCUCUCAGCUGAGUCUCUCACGCGGUGUAUCAGCCUCCCUAAACUCACCGGUUCAUCACCAGCUACAGGUGGGGUAUGUGGAGAUUUGUAGCGGGCCGUGGUGGCCUUACCUACAGCUGGGUCAGCGAGCGACUCGAGUUUUGCAGAGACCCAGGUUGGUGUUUUCCUGUUGGCGAUCCACAGGCUCUCUCCGGUAGAAAUAUGUUUGAAAUCCGGGUAGGACUCUGAGAAGAACUUGUUUUUCUUCUUGAACCUGUUGUCCCACCAGAAAGUGGGAUCCUUGAACUCCAUGAGAUUGUUGAGAAAUGACACACACACCACACAAACCCUAGCGCCGCACGCAUACCCUAGAAAUCCCGAUUUGUUAUUACUUAACUGUAGUAGUAAAAAGCUCGUGUUUUCUUGUUUUUUCUUUUUCCAAUUCUUUUCCUUUUUAAACUUUACAAUGUCACAGCUUAACUGCAGCAGCUUAGAUGUUUAUUGUUAAAAAAAAAUCUCUUUGAUAUAUAUAGAAAGUGAGCCAGAAGCAAUCAGUUGCUCAAGAGCUGAAGAAUCAGUACAUGCAUAAUUUUCAGACAAUCUUCUAACUGGCUGAACAUCAGGUUUUUAUGAUUAUUAUUAUUAUUACUAACAACACGCGAUUUGUUAUUCUCUGCAUUCAUUUUUUAUAUGAUCUGCUGCUGCAUGCACUUAACUGUAGGUAGUCUUCAGUUCUUCAAUAUAAUCUGCUAACUAAAAGAUAUCGAUACACUCAAUAUGCAAAAAUAAACCUCACUCUACACAAAUUAAAUCAGGGCACCAGUUUCAUGCAGAACACUUUCGUAAAUGACUCUCGCCCCGGACCCAUGUGGUGGUAAAACCUCACAAGGCCUCACUUACUUAUAUUCACCCUGGGCUUCUGGCUGCUCUGCAACAUACCUUACCACACCAAACUCUUCACACAUGAAGCCACGCACAGAGGGAAAGACCGCACGAGGCCUCAUGUGCUUACAUUCAGUCCUUAUAUGUGUUCUUGGCCUUGCUCAGUUCAUCUCCUUUGCUGUCCACCUGCACUUCUUUACUUCAUGUUUUUGCUUGCAUGCUUCGAUUGACAUCUUCAGAUUUUCAAGCAUACGAUUGUGGCAUACCGUGGCUACGUUUUUCGGCAGAGCUUGGAGGUGCUGAAAGCAGCAUUUAGUUCGUGGAGGAUUGAUCUUGAUUUGGAUUGUAUGGAUCUCUAUAAAUUUUGAAACUUGAGUUUAUUUUCUUCUUUUUCUUCUAUGUUGCCAAAAUAACUGGUGUCAAACUUGCUUUUGCAGACUAUCUCUAGUACUUCUGGAUGCGAUCAAGGCCUGCUGCUCAUUGCUUCAAAGGAGGAGAUGAUAAUUGAUCCCCAAAGAGCGAGCUUGAUGGUUUUGUUGCUUUCAUCAAGUUAUCAUUCUGCUGCGAUCUAAAACACCACAUCAUCCACUAUACUUUCACAGGUUUUGAGACAGGUACCCGGGAAAGGUGUAUUCUAUUGUUGUUCCUCAGGACCUAGACUUGUUUUGCCGCCUCAAGUGUGAGCUGAUCAAGAUGAGGGAGAAGCUUGCAAUGGUGGAAAUCCCUUUUAUAUACUUGUUGAAGAAAUCCAUACCAAACACUAUCUGAAAAUUUAGUAUUUUCAACACUACCAAGUCCACUCUUUCUUUCCACUUAGAUAUCUUUAUUGGAACAUCACUCACAAACUUUCUGGCUACUUGCCCACCUUCCGCAAACCAGAAGUGCAUAGGUGACAUUUGCUUAGAAUUCAAUCCUAACAACUUAACUAAGUCUUCGGAUAUCACACUAUGCGUAGCUCCCAUGUCAAUCAUCUCUUGGAUUCGGUGUCCAUAGACAAAGCCUACAAGAUACAUCAACGGAGCAGUGUUUGCAUUAACUGCAAGAAAAGCUUGAGGAAAGCAAUAAAAGUUACUCACCUCUUCUUCCUCAUAGUUUGCAUUGACCAACUCGUCAACCCCUUCAGCUUCACCACCACCGUCUUCCCUCAUGACAUUAACGCGAGACCUUGUCUUAUGCUUGUUGGGACAUUCCGAGGACCUAUGUCCCGACUCUCCACAAUGGAAGCAAUGACCCACACUACCCGUUCCGCUAGGAACAGGUUUUGCAUGUUGCUGCUGCUUGUACCCACCAGGAGGAGGAAUAGAGGGCCUAGGACCAGAAGAAGCUGCUGGUGGUCUCCAACCACCACCACCUUUGUUAACCGUAGCUUGUGAGCCUCCAGGGUGGUACCUACUUUCCACCCUUUGUUUAUGAUCACCUUGGUUAUUCCCAGAAUUUCUAUUCUUAUCCGAGUUACCAGCCUGCGGUUGCUGAUAUUGUUCCAUGAGCGAGUGACUAAAGGCAACUUGCUGCGCUGCCUCCUUACACUCCAAGUAUGUCUUCGGCUUAAACUUCAAAAUCUCAUUGUGAGAAAAUGAACUUAAACCCUCCAGAAAAUAACUCUGAGCAUCUUUGUCACUCAUAUUUGCAAUCAUAAUACACUUAUGAGCAAAUGCAUUAAUGUAAUACAUGAAAUCCCCUCGCUGCUUUAACCGCCACAACUCUGCGCGAAGUCUCAGACCAAGAUCAUCCGGCAAGUAUUCCUUACAGUCUUGGUCCAACUUCUAGUCUGCCCUUUUUCAGCACAUACCUGGCGCCACCAAGUUUUGGCAUGAUCGGUAAGAAAGGAUUGCGCGCAUGCAACUUUCGUAUGAUCAUCUAUGUCUGCCGCUAUGACAUAAUUUUCCAUAUCGUAGACCUAGUCUUCCAAAAUUUGAUAGUCCCACAUGCCUCUGAAGUUGGGUGGUUUUGGAGGCUUGAACUUUGAAACUCGUGCAACUGGGGGUGGCUGCAGAACUUCAUCGUCCUCAGAACUUGAAGAGGAGUCCGGUUGCUUAGGCUUAGCUGGUUUAGCUACCUCAGCUUCUUUCUUCCUCUUUUUGUUUUCCUUCUUCAAUUUGUGAAUCUCCCUUCGCAAAUUAUCAAUCUCGACUUCCUGAGCUGUACGCUGCAACGCCACAGCAUCUGGCUCUUCCUCUUCCGACUCAGCCUCAACCUCUUUCACAGCAUCUCUAACAGGAGUUUCCUCCUCUCGAUUCGCCCGUCUAGAGGUUUCAGUGUCAUCAGCAUGGUUCCUCUUCACCAUCCUGCUAGCUGCAUGCAUGCUUCUAUCAGUAACUGAACAUGCAUACAAUGUUCUUACCGAAUGGUGCUAUCCAACUAAUCCUACACAGGUCGCUUCGGAUCUACUAGAAAACUCUCUGCGUAUGCAACUUGAGUCAGAAAAUCUGGCAAAAGUUGGAUAGGAAUCGCUGAGACAAAUCCUCUGAUACCAAAUGUAGCGCACCUGAAUUUGGAGCUGAACUCCAAGCCUGUUGUGCUAUGAAACGAGGGUCCGGUACAAUCCCAUGAGCACCAGCUCCACGUAUCCAACACCUGCACGCAAAAUGGUGUCAGACGGAGUCUGGCACAAUUUUGGCAUACUGGUGGCCUAACGCGAGGAGGAGGGUACCCCACCGACUAGAGCAGCAUGGAGCUUGGCUUAGACCCAAGCCGGACGUAGAACAAGGAGCGACACAGCCCAGUGGGAGCCAAACUAAUGUCUCAGGUGGUCGGACAUGCAUUCCAACCACUAUCCCUACUAUACAUUUGGAACCCCCCACAGCCCCCCCCCUUGAGGAACACACGCUUUGGGCUUUCACCCCAAGCUUCCCUUAGUACUAGGAGUUAGUCUCUGGGACAAGUCCGAAACUUACUAAAUAUGGAAUGGCGCUAGAUUAUGAAUUUGGACACAGGACGAACACCAUUGUGUUCAGGCCAAUCUCUACAUUCCAUAGAUAUGCUAAAUGAGCUAAUCUAGAUACUUUCCAUAAAUAGCACUUGGGACCAAAAUAAGACUAACACAAAGGACAUGAUAGCAAGGGUGUUUGGCAGACAUGGUAAGCUAUCAUCUAGCGAAUAUUGAGGGACUAGUCUCACUAUCGCGGGGGUUCCCAACACUAGCAAGUGCAAGUCAACGAAUGAGUUUCUCUAACCAAUUCAAGUAUGCUUGACAAAUAGCAUAUAAGAAUUCCGUCCUUAUGCUCAUCUGGUCAAGUGCACAAGCGAUGACCAGUUUCUCAACUAGUUUGGGUGGAGACCAUAAAAGGGACCAGCAGUACCGACCUCUUGCCAUUGUGACAGUAAGGAAAGAGUGCUCGUAAGGAUUGGUCGACAAGUAUCUUUUGAUACCCGAAGUUACAUUCGCGACACUCCCCUCCUUGAGAAAAAGGUUUGUUGUUCUCUUGGAGUUCAAGAGGCAUCCUCUUCACCUCUUCAACUCUUAAAGGCUAAGUAUUUUACGCGACUUGAUUUGCGGUCCGGGUAUCAUCAGAUACAGGUGGCGGAUCAGGAUGUGGAGAAGUGUCGCGAAUGUGACUUCAGGUAUCGAAAGUUACCUGUCGGCUAGUCCUUACGGACACUCUUACCUUACUGCCACGAUGGCAGGAGGUCGGUAUUGCUGGACCCUUUAUCAGCCCCUCUUGUUCAAGUGUUAGUAAACUGGACUUUACAUCUGUACUUGGCCGGAUGAGCAUAAGGAUGGAAUUCCUAAGUGUCUAUUCAUCCAAGCAUACUUGGCCUGGCUUUUUAGUUCUCUUUUGCUCUGUCUUGCACUGGCUUGACAAGAACCCUCGCGUAUUGAGAUUGGUCCUUCAAUAUCGCUAGAUGAUAGCUUACCGUGUCUGCCAAACACCCUCGCUAUCAUGCCCUUUGUGUUAGUCUCAUUUCGGUCCCAAAUGCUAUUUAUGGAAAGUGUCUAGAUUUGCUCAUUUGGCAUAUCUACGGAAUGUAGAGAUCAGCCUGAACACAAUGGUGUUCGUCCCGUGUCCAAAUUCACAAUCUAGGGACAUUCCAUAUUUAGUAAGUUUCGAGCUUGUCCCAGAGACUAACUCCUGAUACUAAGGGAAGCUUGGGGUGAAAGCCCAAAGCGUGUGUUCCUCAAGGGGGGGGGCUAUGGGGGGUUCCAAAUGUAUAGUAGGGAUAGUGGGUAGGUCGGGCAUGGCCGACCAACCUGAGGCAUAGUCUAGCUCCCACUUGCGUGCCUGUCCUUGUUCUGCGUCCGGCUUGGGUCUAAGCCCAAGUUCCAUUCCAUGCUAGCUGGUGGAGUACCCAUAUCCUCACGUUAGGCCACCGGUAUGCCAAAAUAGCGCCAGACUCUGUUUGGCUCCGUUUUGUGUGCUGGUCCUGGCAUUGGGAAGCUGGUUGCUCCAGGACUGUUCCAAGUCGCUCCGGGCUCCUGUCCCUUCGCUCUUUGGGCUAUAUGCUCGAGAGUUGCUCCGUGGUUCGGUUCCAUCACUCCUUGGCUAUAUGCUUGGGAGUUUGGCACCGUUCGUUCGUUCAGUGGCCCAAGGCCCUGAACCUCGGGUUCCUGUGGACACGUGGCAUGGACACGUGGCAUGUGACACAUGGCAUCUGUCACAUGGCACAAAGAGGGUUUAGGUUCCGCUUCGUGGUGUUAUCCUAUGGUAAAUCACCAUAGAAUAAAGGGUCAAAACCACGUGCGCUACAAGAAGACAGCAUUUAAGACUCGGUACGGAUCUUAUGAGUUCCUUGUCAUGUUGUUCGGGUUAUGCAAUGCUCUAGCAACAUUCAGCACUAUGAUGGAUAGAAUAUUCGAAGAUUAUUUAGAUGCAUUUGUUGUCCUAUAUAUCAACGAUAUUCUAGUCUUUAGUGAAACAUUGGAGGAUCAUUUGAAACACUUGGAGCUGGUGUUUCAAAAGUUGCGCGAACACAAAUUGUAUGCUAAGGAAAGUAAAUGCGCUUUUGGUCAAUUGUGUGUAAACUUCUCGGACAUAUAGUUGGUGGUGGCGUGAUUGAGGUCGAUCCAAAGAAGGUGGAAGCAGUGAAGUCUUGGGAAGUUCCGACCACUGUAUCAGAUGUUCGUUCCUUUCUCGGUUUGGCAGAUACUAUCGCAAGUUUGUCCACAAUUUUGCAAGAAUUGCUCUUCCGUUGACUGAGUUGACGAAGAGUAAUAUUCCAUUUCAUUGGACACCAGCUUGUCAACGUGCUUUUGCACGGUUGAGGAGAUCUUGACUAUGGUUCCUAUUCUCAGGAUUCCAGAUCUUGAUAAACCCUUUGAAGUGCAUUGUGAUGCGUCUGGUUAUGCUAUCGGUGCCGUGUUGCAGCAAGAUUGUGACAAAGUGGUUGGUGUUACGCUAAGGCGACAUGGUUGUCCCGUUGCGUUCUAUUCCAAGAAAUUGGAUGAAACUCAACGAAGAUGGCCAAUGCAUGAGAAAGAGAUGUUUGCUAUAGUGUCGGCCCUGGAACACUGGAGACACUACUUGGGUGGACAUACCAAGGUUUAUACAGAUAAUAACACACUAAGCUACUUUGCUACGCAGCCUAAGCUUACGCUGAAGCAGGCUCAUUGGCAAGAGAAGCUUGCUAGAUAUGAUAUUGAAAUCAUGUAUAAACCUGGUAAAGACAAUAUUGUCCCAAAUGCGUUGAGUCGUCAGGCUCAAUUCCAGGCAAUAUCAGCCAUCAAUUCAGACUGGUUAGAGCACGUUUGGGCUUCAUAUGGAAGUGUUCCAUUGGCAAAGGCAAUCUUGCACUAUGCGGAGUUGGUGAAGUAGAAACCUGGUAGUGAAGCGGCAAAAGUUGCUAGUCAUACCAAUGUGAAGCUUCACUUCUCAGUUCAAGAUGGGCUUAUAUUCUAUAAGCAAGAAAGAUUGUAUCUUCCCUCUAAGGAUCUGUAGCAGUUGUUUCUGUGGGAACAUCAUGAUGUUCCGACAGUAGGACAUGGUGGAAAACAAAAGACUUUGGCUUCAUUGAAAAAGGGAUUUUUCUGGUCUAGUAUGGAAGGUGAUGUAGCGGACUAUGUCCAUUCUUGCCCUAUAUGCCAGAAAUGUAAGCACAGAACUGAGAAGCAGGCUGGAAAGUUGCAGUGCAUUCUAGCACUGGCAUGGCCAUUUCAAAGUGUGACACUUGAUUUCGUCACUUGUUUGCCAAAGUCUAAGUGUUAUGAUACUUUGAUGGUGGUUGUGGAUCGGUUGUCAAAGAUUGCACACUUCAUUCCAGUGAAUGCAAAACAAGCAGCAAAGCUCUUUUUCCAUGAAGUAGUUCGGGCUCGUGGUCUUCCCGAAGAGAUGAUCUCAGAUAGAGAUUCAAGAUUUACAGGGAAGUUUUGGGGCACACUAUUCCAGCUGUUCUGUACCAAAUUGAAGUUUAGUAUAGCUUAUCAUCCUCAAACCGAUGGGCAGACCGAACGCAUGAAUGCUCAAGUAGAGGAUUAUCUGCGGUAAUAUGUCACGGUAGACCAACACCACUGGGUUGAGCAUUUAGACAUAGCAGAAAUUUGUUAUAACAACACAUUUCACAGCACUAUUGGCUAUUCUUCAUAGGAGAUACUACAAGGGAAUGCUCAUGGGGUGCCUUAACAGAUAGUUGUACCAAAACCAAUGACCGAAGUGUUGGUCCCGGCCAUUGAGACUUAUGCAGAGCAGCUACGCCAAGGUUGGUCUAGAGCUACUGAGGCAAUGGGCAAAGCUCAGGAUAGGUAUCGACGUGAUAAGGAUCAACAUCGUCAGGAUGUAUCCUAUCAAGUGGGAGAUCAGGAGUGGCUAUCUUCCCGGAACUUGAACAUUAAGGGAUCUUUGUCUCGGAAGCUAUUACCAAGAUAUGUUUGACCCUAUCGGGUGUUAAAACACAUUGGUGAUGUAUCCUAUAAGUUGGAUCUUCUGGAUGAGUUAUCCCAGCUACAUGAUGUGUUUCAUGUCAAUUUACUGGCACCAUAUCAUGCUGCUGUGGAACACUCUAUGGACAUGCGUCCUCCGCCAGUGAUUGUGGAUGGUGAACCUGAUUAUGAAGCUGAGUCUAUCUUAGAUUCUCGGUUUCGAAGAUGGGCUCGUGCGAAGGAAUACCUAGUAAGUGGAAAGGUUAGCCAACUUAUGAAUCAACUUGGGAACCUCUUAGGAAUCUUACAUAUGCUCAUGAGCUUGUCACAGAGUAUGAGAAUCGUAAUAAAGAUUAGCUUUUGUAAAUCUUGUAAUAAAUCUUGCAAAUUAAUAAAGUAAUAUAUUUUUAUACAUCAAAGUGUCGUCUCUUUUGUUCAUUAGUACUUGGGUCAGUUUUGGCAAGCUGACUCUGGCACUUCGGUGCAUGGGUCCAAUCCAUAACCAUGGGGAUCACUAUUAUAGACUGAUCAUAAGUCCCUGCCUCUCUCUCGAUGACUCAUUCUUGACAAAGGGGUGUGGUCAUGUAAACAACUUUAUCUGCCAGUUUAUAAUAGUUGUCUAAAUCUUCCCGACGGGGUUGAUUUCUUGCUCAGGGGAAGUGGGGCCUCUGGCCUCCUCCCUAUGUUCAUGCGGGCAGGGAUGUAUCAUUCCUUUGUAAGCCAAGUGGUACUUCGAGCAGCAAGGGGGGCUAACUUCAUUAGUCAUUUCCUUGUCGGCGACGGCCAGAGGGUGUCUAAGUCUUAACAUCUUUAGACAUAGAGGAGAGGUCGUUCCAUAACUCAUUUAAGUUGGUGUGUUUCCUAUAUAGUGUGCUUUCCGUUAACUUUUGGAGUUGUUUCCUUGACAGUUUGCUAGACUCAGGUAUGCAUCGACGAGGACGUCGAUCUUCCCCAAGGGGGGGAGAGUGUUGCGAAUGUGACUUUGGUAUCGAAAGAUACUUGUUGGCCAGUCCUUACAAGCACUCUUUCCUUACUAACAUGACGGCAGGAGGUCAGUACUACUGGUUUCCUUCAAUAACCCCUCUUGUCCAAGUGUUAGUUUACUGGGCUUAGUAUCUGUGCUUAGCCAGAUGAACAUAAGGUAGGAACUCCUAUGUGUUUCUAGUUGAGCAUUCUCGGCUUAGCUCUUAGUUCUCUUUUGCUAUGUGUUACACUAGCUUGGCAAAAACCCUUGCAUAUUGAGACUAGUCUCUCAAUAUUGCUAGAUGAUAGCUUACCGUGUCUGCCAAACACCUUCGCUAUCAUGCCCUUUGUGUUAAUCUUAUUUUGGUCCCAAAUGCUAUUUAUGAAAAGUGUCUAAAUUUGCUCAUUUGGCAUAUCUACGGAGUGUAGAGAUCAUUCUGAACACAAUGGUGUUCAUCCCAUGUCCAAAUUCACAAUCUAAGAACAUUCCAUAUUUAGUAAGUUUCAAGCUUAUCCUAGAGACUAACUCUUGGUACUAAGGGAGGCUUGAGGUGAAAGCCCAAAGCGUGUGUCUAGAACACAUGUCCUCGAUAUCUUGCACUUGGUGCAAUGGACACUCUUACAGAAUCCACUGUAAAAGAACAUCAUCUCUAGGAAUCAUAGUCCGAUUCCUCUUGACUAGGAAACCAUCUCGUACAUCGAAGGAAGCACAAUUGCAUUGGAAGAGGUGCCCCCCUUCAAAACAACUGCAUGUUCCUUCACUACAAAGGACUCGAAGUUAGCAAGCUCCUUAAUGUCAUCCAACAAACCACUAGAGAGCUUCCCAAACGAGAUAGAGUUCACUAUCCUAGACAAUGGAGAAACAACCACCUUUACUGUCCACUCCUUUCAGAAAGAGGAAAAUUGUCUUAAAGAAAAGUUGUAGAUCUUAAAAAACCUAGCAACUUUGCUUUAAACAUCAAUCUUCCGAAUUCACGAGUAAUCUGCAGUCAAAAUUACCCUAUGACUUUUACUCGGGAAUCCCCGGGGAAAUUGGUUUUCGUCACCUUAAACCCCAGGGCUAAACUCCUCUGGUGGUUUGAAAUCUGCACAUCCAUUUCCUGCAAAAUCUCCAGUCAAUGAGCUAGCCGGCCUUAAAGCUCCAUCUGGUGAGUGAAAAGAGUGACAAGUGGUAAAGUUAUCGACAUGAAAAAUCCAAACCAUACAGAUAAUGCCUCCACACUUUGACUGCAACAACUACAACAUACAACUUCCUAUCCCGAGUGGGCAGUUCAGCUAAAUUGCGUCAAACUUGUGGCUUAUGUAGGCAAUAGGACAGCAGUCUUGCACCAAGACAGCUCCUAUACCCUCAUCACUAGCCUUGUUACUGAAAAUAUGCAUUGCACCAGAGUCAAAGAGAAAACUGAGCACUUGGCUGUGCACAACUCAUUGCACAAACAACCGUACAGCUCAGAUGAGUUGAUACAAUUCUUCUUCACUCCUUCAGAAAUAGUGACAGCAGUGUCAGCUAGAACAUGAGUAGAUACAUUCUCUCCUUGGUCCACAUUGACACCCAUGGCCUCACUAGGAUCAGAAAGAGAAAAGGACUCAUGAGCCAUAACCUCUGAACACAUAGACUCCAUAGCGUGAGCCUUAGCCUUCUAUCACAAGUGGCUUAUCACAAGAAAAUAUUUGUAGAAUAUACAUGAUUGCUUUAACCGCUCAAACGCUUCUUGACACUUUCACCCCACACCAACUUAACAUGCUUGGUGGUGUUUCGAAGAAUAUCCAUCAAAGGAGCAGCAAUCAAGGAGAAGUCCUUCACAAACCGGCAAAAAACUCCCACCAUACCAAGGAAACCCAUCCACAGUAGGGGGAACAAGCUAGUCAAUGAUUAUCUGAGUCUUUUGAGGAUCUUCCCGCACACCAUCUCGUACCACCACAUGUCCAAGAUAGGUGAUCUCCUCCAAGAAGAACUCACGCUUUGACAGUUUAGAAUACAGCUUGUUCUCCCUCAAUAGCAGCAACAUUUGCCUCACAUGCAUCUCAUGUUCCUCCUUAGUCGUAGGACAUCAUCAAAGUAGUGCCUCGCACAUGAGAUUGCAUAACUCUAUCAAAAGAACUGUUUGAUAAUAGUUAGCCUCGGCCAUCAUAUGAAGCAACAUCUUUGCUGAGUUAGAAAAGACUUCUUGAGCAUUCCAAAGCUUCAAAAUGAGAUAGUCAAAGGAUCUCAGCUAGCAAUAAGUUGUUCUAGUAUGGUUAGUCUUCUUUUUAUCGAUUCUUCUUAGUUGAUUUUGUAUUGUAUUGCCAUUUGUAGUGAUGGAACGAUGUACUCGAGUGGUGUCAAAGCUUCAAGGCCAUAAGUGAGCUUGAACGGUGUCAAAUUUGCUGAAACCUUAUAUAUGGUUCAAUAUGCCUACAAGGCAUCAUAGAUGUGAUCGUCCCAGUUUUUUUUAUUUAUUUUCACAAUUUUCAUGAUGAUGUUUUUGAGUGUCUUGUUUGUAAACUCUGCUUGACCAUUGCCUUGAGGGUAGUAUAGUGUUGAAGCCUUGUGCUUGAUAGUGAAUUCUUGAGUCAGAAUUUUGAUGGUUUCAUUGAUGAAGUGUAUUCCUUGAUCAGUGACGAGUUCUCAAGGUAAGCCAUAUCUUGUGAUGAUGUUUCUUAAAUGAUCUUUGUUGUGUUCUUUGUUGUAGUAAUCUUUAUUGGUUGAGCUUCAGCCCAUUUUAUCAUAUAGUCUAUUGCAAUUAGAAUGUAUUAGUUUUGCUUAGAGCUUGUCAUAAGUGGACCAACAAAGUCAAGUCCCCAUUAUUGAAAAGGUUCGAGUGGAGUUUUUGGAUGAAGUUCUUGAGUUUAUUUUUUUGGUGCAUACUUGAUUCAUUGAUAGAUGUCGCAUUUUUUAUAGAACUUGGCUUAGUUGUGCCAAAGUGUUUGCCACCAAAGUUUUGUUUGUAAAAUUUUUCAAGCUAUGAUUUCUUUAACAAAAUGUCCUCCUAUUUGUCCAUAGUAAGCUUCUUCAAGUAGAUCUUGUGUUUCUUCUGGGUUUGCACAUCUUCUUAAAAUGUUGUCUCUUCCUUGUUUGUACAGUUUUCUACUGAAUAUAGUCUUGUCCUCAAGACAAAUUACUUGCACUUGUCGGAGGUUGAAUAUCAACUUAGAUUGUUGCUAUUGUGAGGUAGUAGUAGAUGUUGUCCAUCUAGGUUGGUGAUGUGUGGAUUUGAAGGAUAUUGGAGUCAGGAAAGUUGUCCACGUUGUGUUUCGAUUGUUCAUCAAUUGUAAUGUGGCUUAGGUGUUCAUAUUCUCUUCCAGGCUUGUAGAUGAUCUCGAAAUUGUAUUCUUGAAGUAGUAAGAACCAUUGUGCAAUUCUGCUAGUGAGGAUUGUUUUGUUGAAAAAGUGAAGGAAGUUACAAAGUAGAUAGUAUUGAAACUUCUGGAGUGCGUAGAUCAUUGCUAGAGCUUCUUUUUUAGUUGUAGUGUAGUUCAUUUUGGCUGAGUUGAGUCUUUGAUUUGCAUAGUAGAUCAGUCAGUCUUUAUGAUCUUCUUGUUGUUGCAAAAGGAUCACUCUGAGGGCAUAGUUGGAGGUGUCGACUUGGAUGUUGAAGUCUUUAUUCCAGUUUGGUUGAGCAAGUAUUGGAGCUUGGGUGAGGGAAUUCUUAAGGUUGAUAAAGGCAUUUUGACAAUCUUGAGUCCAAUUAUAAGCUUGAUUCUUCUUAAGGAGUUCAGUGAUAGGUUUUGCAAUCUUGAUGUAGUCUUUGAUGAAUCUUCGAUGGUAUCUCAUUUUACCAAGGAAUAAUCGAAGGCUUGAAAGGUCGAAUGGAUGUUGUAUGUUGGUGAUUGUGAGGGUCUUGUCCUUGUGGAUGAGGAUUCCUUCUUUAGAAACUACAUGUCCAAGUAGAAUUCCUAAUUUGACAAAGAAAAUACACUCGUCAGGGUUCAAUGUGAUAUUGUGUUUAUGGCAUUUGAUGAAGCAUUUCUCUAAGCAUUAGAGAUGAUCUUCUUUUUUGCUAAAGACACUGAAGUCAUCCAUAAAUACUCACAUAAAUUCGGUGAGGUAUUCUCGAAAAAUGUCAGUGAUGAUCCAUUAAAACAUGAAUGGUGCAUUAAAGAGACUGAAAGGCAUGCGAAGGUAGGCGUAUGCUCCCCAUGGAUUGAUGAAAGCCAUCUUGUGUUGGCCUUCAUACGCAAUGUGUACUUGAUUGUAACUAGGUUGUAUCUUUAGGUAUUCCAAGGUUAAUUUCUUGAGCUGGUUCUUCAAGGUUGAGUAUAGGUGUAAGUCGUGAUCCUUCUUAUCGUAGACCUGGUUGUUCUUGGAGUGGAAUUUGUUGAUGCGCCAGUUUAAACUAUUCAAGUUUGAUGCUUGAAUGUUCUCAUUAUUUUUUCAUGUGUGCUGGUGUUGUCUUUUCUUUCAAAUCUUGGUGUUGGAAAUCUUCAUUUUGAAGUUGAGGAUCUUGAUUGCUUGUUUUGUUCAGGAUGAUUCGGUUGAGAUCGACUUAGAUUAGCAUUUUUAAUUCGGGGUAUGCCUUGAGAAUUUGAGCUUCUUCAUAGCUGUCGAGUCUUUCAUUCUAGUCAUAUUGUUUGAUUGUGGUUAGUUAAAAUUUUUUUGCGAUCUUCUUUAUAAUACUGGUAAAUAGUUGUGGAGCAUCUUUAUGUCCUCCAAGGGUGAUGGUAUUGUUCCUCCAGUAUGUGAUAAUGUCUAUUGUCUUGAGCCAAGUUCAUUUGAGAAGUACUUUGUAGCAGCUUUGGUCUUUCGCCAUCUUGAGUAUGAUGAAAGUUACUUUAAAUUCUUGAUCUUUAAUCUUGAUAGGAAUGUUGUGCAUGAUUCCUGAUGGUUGUACACUCCAAUUGUUAGCCAUCUUGGCAUUGAAGGGUGUAGAGUGGAUUAGUCCAAGUCCUAUUGCUUUGCAGGUUGAAUACUUGAUAAUGUUGACAUUUGCUCUGCCAUUGAUGAUUACUUAUAUAACUUUGUUCUUUUUUAUCGUGAUUGGGAUGUAUGGUACAUCUUCAUCAUAAUCGCUAGGUUGGAUGUUUGCCUUAUGGGAUGAGUUGUUGGUUUUAUUCUUGACUUGAGCUGAAGUUUUUUGGUGGAGAAGCUUGACAUAUCUUGAAAAGUUGUUUUCUCAAGUAUGAAAUUACUUAUAAAAGUUCUAGAAGGGUAAGUGUGAUACUUUGUUGAAGAAUGUUGGUGAUGAGCUUUGGUUGCUCCUCUUUUCUUAACAGAGUUUCAGUCAUAAUUUCCUGAUCAUCUUCAACUUUAGGUUGUUGUUGUUGAAAGGUUUGUUAAAUUGUGUUGAUUAGCUCCUUGCUUUGUUGCCAUUCAUGCUUUGAAAUUUUUUGCACUUCGUCUUAGAGUUCUUGUUCUUUGACUUUUCCUCAAGGUUAUCUUCAAGAGUGUAGUGUUUUUUCUGACUUCGAGUUAGAGCUCUUACCUUAGGUUCAUCUUCAAAGUGUUCAUCUUUGAUUUGGUCGAUGUUGACAUUUCUUGUGGUUGGAGGAGGUCUUCGAUGUUGCUAAUCUUACUAAGGAGGUUGAUUUCUUUGAUUUUUUUGUUGUUGGUAUUGGGGUUGGAUUUUUUGAGUUUGAGGUUGCUAUUGAUAAUUGUUGCGAAGAAAUACUCUGGGUGGUGGAUCAUAUUGUUGAUUUUGCUGUUGAUAGUUUAGUUGUUGUAGAGGUGAUCUCCAUUGUUGAUUGUUAUGGUACUAUUGUUGAUAGUUGUUUUGCCGAGAUGGUGGUUUCUAUUGUUGGUUGUCUCGAUAAGGCUGUUGAUAAGUCUAUUGGUAUGGUCACUAAUACUGAUUGUCUUGGUUGCUAUUGUUAUAUUGUCGAUAGUAUCUAAGGAUAGAAUUAUAUGUACCUUGAUUCUAGUAGUUCAGAUACCACUAUUAUGGUUCUUAUUUGGGUUGAUUGUAAUGUCUUUUAGUUGGUGUAGGAGUUCAAGGUAUGUCCUUGACUCGUGUGACUUCAGUUGCUCCUUUGUAUCGACAGAUCUUUACUAUAUCUCUUUCUUUUUUAUAGAUUUAACACUUAGGAAUCAGUAGUUUACACUUUGGUAGGAUAUGUCCUUUGUUCUUACAUUUCGUACAUCAUACUUCUUUAAGUUUGUAACUUUCUUGAGUAUUUUGGUAAAUUCUUGAUUCUUGUCUUUCUUCAUGAUUUCGAGUUUGUAUUCUUCCUUAUCAUCAGAAGAGUCAUUUGUUCUUGUUGUUUCUACUCUUAAAAAUUUUCAAAGCUAUUUCUCGAGGUUUUUAAUUUUCUUGGAAAUAUUGUCAAUAGAGGUCUUAGCAUCUAAAUUUUCUUCCGUACUUGCGAGAGCAACUAUUUGCUAGUAUAUCUUCUUCAAUCUCUGUACAUACCAAAUAUGCUUACCUUGUUCAGUGAGUAGAUCUUUGUAGUGCUUUACGUAAUAUUUGAGUCUUUGGGUAUAGCCUUGUUUGAUGCUCUUGAGAUGUUCUAGGUAUUCAGCUGUUGUGCCACUAGGUUGGUACUUCUCUUUGAAUCACUUAACUUUUUCCUAAAAUUUAAGUUUUUCAUCAAGAUUAUAAUACCAUUCUAAUACUGUCGCGAAUGUGACUUCAGGUAUCGAAAGUUACCUGUCGGCUAGUCCUUACGGACACUUUUACCUUACUGCCGCGAUGGCAGGAGGUCGGUAUUGCUGGACCCGUUAUCAGUCUCUGCCUAAGCUAGUUGAGAAACUGGUCCUCGCGUGUGCACUUGACCAGAUGAGCAUAAGGAAGGAAUUCCUAAGUGUCUAUUUAGUCAAGCAUACUUGACCUGGUUAGAGAAACUCAUUCGUUGACUUGCACUUGCUAGUGUUGGGAACCCCCACGAUAUUGAGCUUAGUCCCUCAAUAUUCGCUAGAUGAUAGCUUACCGUGUCUGCCAAACACCCUCGUUAUCAUGCCCUUUGUGUUGGUCUCAUUUCGGUCCCAAAUGCUAUUUAUGGAAAGUGUCCAGAUUUGCUCAUUUGGCAUAUCUACGGAAUGUAGAGAUCAUCCUAAACACAAUGGUGUUCGUCCCAUGUCCAAAUUCGCAAUCUAGGGACAUUCCAUAUUUAGUAAGUUUUGAGCUUGUCCCAGAGACUAACUCUUGAUACUAAGGGAGGCUUGGGGUGAAAGCCCAAAGCGUGUGUUCCUCAAGGGGGGGGGGGGGGCUGUGGGGGGUUCCAAAUGUAUAGUAGGGAUAGUGGGUAGGUCGGGCAUGGUCGACCAACCUGAGGCAUAGUCUAGCUCCCGCUUGCAUGCCUGUCCUUGUUCUGCGUCCGGCUUGGGUCUAAGCCCAAGUUCCAUUCCAUGCUAGCUGGUAGAGUACCCAUGUCCUCACAUUAGGCCACCGGUAUGCCAAAAUAGCGCCAGACUCCGUUUGGCUCCGUUUGGCUCCGUUUUGCGUGCUGGUCCUGGCAUUGGGAUGCUGGUUGCUCUAGGACUAUUCCAAGUCGCUCCGGGCUCCUAUUCCUUCGCUCCUUGGGCUGUACGCUCGGGAGUUGCUCCGUGGUUCGGUUCCAUCACUCCUUGGCUUUGUGCUUGGGAGUUUUGGCACCGUUCCUUCGUUCAGUGGCCCAAGGCCCUGAACCUUGGGUUCUUGUGGACACGUGGCAUGGACACGUGGCAUUUGUCACGUGGCACAAAGAGGGUUUAGGUUCCGCUUCGUGGUGUUAUCCUAUGGUAAAUCACCAUAGGAUAAAGGGUCAAAACCACAUGCACUACAUUUGGUAUCAGAGCAUGAGUCUCAGCGAGUACUAUUCAAUGAGAUUGGGCAACUAGUCUCGUUGCAUACGCAGAGAUGAAAACGAUGAUCCGAGUGGGUACACGUUUUGGUGCAAAGACUUCGCAAUCGUUCCUUGGGUAUGGAUUUGGUUACCGUUUUGUACCGUAUUAUAUGAGCUUGCUCUUGGGCUCAUAAGAAGGAUUGAGUUGUUCCAGUAGCACGAGUUUGCGCUUGGGCUCGUGAGUGAGGCACAUUAGCAACUCAAGGUUACACUUAGAGUUGGCAGGAUUAAUGUUAGCCUAUCAGUGGUUCCAUGAGUUGUUCCAUGUACCAUGGGUGAAAGUAAACUUUCCCUAGGUUUGCUAUGAGUGGCAAAUAGGCUGGUCCAUAGCUGUUUAGCAUGGCACUAGUGGAUCCUUCCUAUGCAUGAUUACAAGUGAGUCAAUCAAGACUAGAGAUUAGUCUAUUAGUUCAAGUAGUCAUUGCCGUGCUCUCUCAUAAACUUUUCUUGGAUUAAACUGAAGGCAGUGCGAAAGCAAGCUUGAGGUUUGGUCAAAGAUGAGACCGAAAAGAGAGUCAUCGAGGACGGAAGAUCAAAUACGUAAAUCAUCUUCUCUUCUUGGAGAGAUGAUUUGCAACGAGGUGUUAACUCAUUGCUUGUGUUCACAUCAUGCAAUCAAGAGUCCCUAUCUUGAUGCAUGUUGGAGAUGGUGGUUUUACAAUGGUGAGUUGUGGGAUGGAUAGCGGUGAAGCGCUAAACCAUUUUAUCUAAGCUUGCUAUUGGAAGACUUGGGUUGCAAUGCUCAAUUCUUUUCCGGGGAACCUUGCUACUACUCCUUGAGUAGCUUGGUGUUGGAUUAGUGUUGAGUUUGGUCGGAAAGAGAGUGGCAUGAGCUUGUCCGUGUGGUGAACAAAAGUUAGUGAUGUUGGGUGUUGUAAAUCUCUAUUGGUGGAGUGUGGCAUUUAUGUUGCAUUUUGUCGAAUCGAAUUGGCAUUUGAUACUCACAUAAACGUUUGAAGUAAUGACAUAAGCCUUACUCAUUGCGUUACUCAAUUGAUGAUCAAGUCAUUGUGAUUUCUAUAUCAUAUCCAUGUGAUAAUGAGCAAUGUGUUUACGAAGUUGCUUGGGUAAAUGAUGAUCAACCCCAAAGUGGUUGAUGGAGAAGCUAGUCUACUUGCACGAAGUAGCAUUGUAGUAGCCUUGACUGGAUUCUCAAUGGUGGUCCAUUAUGCUAAGCUUAUGUUGGUACCUUGUUUCCUUGAGGGUUUGCCCAUAAGGUGUUGGGAAUGGGUUGUAGCAUUCAUUUGCUAUAGCUCAUCUGUUGAUCCGUUAGCACUUGGAGUAGAUUAUUGGAUGGAGAAGGUGUGAGGUGGAUGCAUUGACAUCGUUAGCACUUGUGUUAGUGGAAGUGGCAUUGUUGAUUCGAGUGAUGAGGAAUUUUCCUUAGAGCUUGAUUUUCCAUGUCAUUUUUCUUGUUAGUGUUUUGGCUUCACAUUGGAUCUUGAAGGUGGUUGAAGAAGAGUGUUAGUGCAAUGUGGAUAUCCGAAGAUGUGGUCUUCGUGAUCAAGCCUUGGAUGUUCAUUUUGCACUUUGCGGAUGUCGGUGUUGGAUAUCGGUUAGAUGGGUAGAGAUGUUCGAGGCUUAAGCAUACUAUGGGUCAUGAGAAUUUGUGUUGAGGUGAACCUAUGUGAAGUUGUUAGUAGGAGGAAAUUGGUUGAGUCUUGAAAGUUUGUAUUCCUAGACUGAGAGUCAUUCUUUCUCUAGGAUGGAAAGUUUUCCACAAAUUUUCUUAGGCUUUUUCAAUGGCUGAUCUAUUGAUCAUUUUGUCCGGAAACCAUUCCAUUUCCGAAAGCCAGUACAAUCUAGUGAAGGGGUUGGAGUUGACUUCGGUUAGCUUAGAUCUUAGUAGGUAGUUUGUAUGAUGCGACCCGAAAAGGGUUCUAACUUUUGGGGCUAAAGCAAUUGAGUUGGAUAGAGUCUGGAGUUGGUGUAAAAAAAGUGGCUGUUGCGCUUUUCUAAGAAAGGUGACCCUUGUGCCUUUCUUUUGUAGCAUUGUGCUUGGUGGCAAGUUGAACCUUGCAUUACGUUAGACUCUAUGAGAGUAGUGAGCUCUCACUGAUCUUGACUUGGUCUUGGUAGCCCUGCACCUUGGCUGAGGAUGGUGAUGUUCAACUUAGUUGUUUGAGGUUGAGAUGUUGGUACCUAUACUAUAGCUUUGUCUAUGAGGAGGUUGUGUACCGAUAUGAGUCCAUCUUAUGGUCUUCACUUUAGUUUCGACUGAGUGUUGAUUGCAUAGCUAGCCUCUUCAAAGCAUGCUCAGAGCUAGUGGCUAAAUGUUUUAGUGAGCUUAUUGCGGUUGAGUUGGAUUUGAGUGGGCAUUUAGUUUGUGCUUGUCUAUGAACUUUUAUCUUGUACCUGGGGUAUCACGUUCAUAUUGGGCAAGUAUAUAACUUGAUGACAAGAGUUGGUGUUUGGGUCUUGUGAAGGCAAGUUGAGGAGUGAUUAUUAGUUGCUUUGUGACUAGUGAUUACUUGUAGACUUCGUCAAGGACUGUUGACACUUGCUUUGCUCGAUGAUGAUUUAGCAGUGAUGGGCUUGCUUUACCAGAUGGUGUUGCGGAGGAUCGUGUCAUUAGGCUGGCAUGGUUUUUCCAUGUUGGCAUGUCAAUUCCUUUGUCGAUAUCAUUUGGUUACGUUUGGUCUAUAGUGCUGGAUUUCAUUGAGUCUUGGAUGUGGUGAUUCACUCCUUGAUGAUGUGUUAUCUGUCACUGAGUUUUGCUAAAGGAUUAGUCUCGGAUACUAAGUAUAGUAUUUUCGACUUUGGUUAGCUUGGUUGCUGGAAAGCUUCGAGUGGUGAUUCACUCUUGCUUUCUUCUAGCUUUGUCCUGGUGUUGAUGGCAUUGAAGUGAUGCCUUGUCAUUGAUAUUGUUGAUAUUGAGACUUGAGUGAAAUGAAAUAUCUUUCCUUAGGAUUGAUAUUGAGUUUCAUUAGUCUUGAUGAAAAGUGUUGAUGAUUUGGCUUUAGCUUUGUGUUGUUGGUAUUCAUGCAUUUGCUAGUUAGCAACUGUGUUGACGUUCAAAUGAACUGAGUGGUAAGUUGAGUUAGUUGUGUUCUCGAUGAGUUUGUUUAGUAAGGGUUGAGCUUUAAGCUUGUCCUUGAAAAGUGAUUCAGUCGUGGACUAUGCUAACUCUACAAGCGAAAGAGUUAGUGAUCAAUAUUGGAAAGUUUGAAUCCUUAUUGGGUUUGAAUUCGAAUAUAUUGAUCAUUGAUGAUUUGCCUUGUACUUGUUAUGACGUGAGUUACGUCUUGCUGUAGAUGGAUUCAUGGAAGAUCGUUUGAUGAUCACUUGUUAAGCAUAGCUUCAUUGUGCUUAGCUUUUGGAUUGAUGCAGAAAUGCUCUUCAUUAGCUUUGGCAUUAUGAAGUUUGGCUUAUAGAUGUGUUGAAGAAGACAUUGUGGGUUGCACCAUGAUUUCUUCUUUAGCAUCGAAGUUAGCUUCUAUGAGACUUGUGAUCAUUAUUAAGCAAGACUUGGCUAUAGGCUUCUUCGAGCUUUGGUUCUUUGAGUUUUAUGCUCAUUGUUCCAUUUGUUAGAAGUUGUUGGGGAAGGCAUUUUGGCUCAUUAGCUUCGAUGUUGAAGUUAGUAUUUGCAUCUAGCAAUCAUUGGUGAUGAUUGACUAUCAUCUAGGAUAAUUGAUUAUCCAUGUCAAAAAGUUUUGCUUAAUUAUUGUUGGUAUAGAAUGGUUUGCCGUUCUUCGGGAUGGUGGAUUCCUUCUUAGACGAUGAUUAUGCAUCUCUUUAUUGAUGGAAUGAUUGAUGAUCUUUCAUGAUGGUUAGUUGUUCUCUUUGAUAGCUUAUGGCUUUUCGCAAUACCAUAUAUUAUUUUUGGUUUGCUCUAGAUUGGUCUCUUGGGUUUGAGACAUCAGUAGGAUGUUAUUAACACUUGCUUAGGCAACUUGAGUUCCUUGGUAUUGUUGGCUGGGAUCUAUUCAGAUUGGCUUUUGUGAUAGUUGGCAGGCAUGAGUGUUUGUUGGUCUUACCACAUUCAUUCUCUUCUGUUGAUUGUUGCUCGAGUUAGUUUUGAUAGAUUUGGAUGUUAUUUCCUUUGGGUGAUACAUUCGUGAGCAUUGUGCUUGUUAGUCAAUGAUACUUUGUGUUCUUUGAGUUCUCUCUAGUAAGUUGUUGGCUUACUGUCUACUCUCUUCGGUAGUUAAGUUUCAUCAUUGAGUUUCCUUGAUGAUAUACUAACUAUUGAAUUUUGUUGGAUGGUCAUUCCUAUGUUUGCCAAAUUAUGAUGAUCUUGGUGGUUCCUAUCUACAAUACUACUGGUUUAUCGGAUGAUAACUUGCUUAGAAUACUUUUGUGUUCUACUCUAAGAUAUAAUCACUAGUAAUUAAGCUUCUCAGAUAUCAUUGUCUCUGACUUUGAUAUUGUCCAUCUAUUGCUCUUUGAGUUUGGGCUAGUAUAGGCAGACUGGCUUCAGCACUUCGUGUGCAUGUUGAAAUCUCUAGUCAUGGGAUAGCUACUAUCGACUGGUCACAUCACCCGCCUCUCUGUCGAUGUUCCUUAUUCCGUGAAAGGGCGUGACCGUGUAAACAACUCUAACUGCCUGUUGAUAGUAGUCUAUCUAAACCUUACUGACGGGUUUGGUUUCUUUGCUCAGGAGGGUUGGGGCCUCUGGCUUCUCUCUCUAUGUCCCUGCGGGCAGGGCAUAUCACACUUUUGUAAGCUGGGUGACUCCCAGAGCAGCAGGGGUGGCUGACUCCGUUGGUCAUUUCCUUGUCAGUGACGGCCGGAAGGUGUCUGAGCUAGUAGCGCAUCCGCGUUAGACAAAGAGGUUCCCCCUAACUCAUUUAAGUUGGUGCAUUUCUCACAUAGUGUGAGUACCGUGAACUUUUUAUGGAGUUGUUUCCUUGGCGGUAUUCUAGACUGGAGUAUGCAUCGACGAGGACGUCGAUCUUCCCAAGGGGGGGAGAGUGUCGCGAAUGUGACUUCGGGUAUCGAAAGUUACCUGUCAGCUAGUCCUUACGGACACUUUUACCUUACUGCCGCGAUGGCAGGAGGUCGGUAUUGCUGGACCCGUUAUCAGUCUCCGCCUAAGCUAGUUGAGAAACUGGUCCUCGCGUGUGCACUUGACCAGAUGAGCAUAAGGAAGGAAUUCCUAAGUGUCUAUUUAGUCAAGCAUACUUGACCUGGUUAGAGAAACUCAUUCGUUGACUUGCACUUGCUAGUGUUGGGAACCCCCACGAUAUUGAGCUUAGUCCCUCAAUAUUCGCUAGAUGAUAGCUUACCGUGUCUGCCAAACACCCUCGCUAUCAUGCCCUUUGUGUUGGUCUCAUUUCGGUCCCAAAUGCUAUUUAUGGAAAGUGUCCAGAUUUGCUCAUUUGGCAUAUCUACGGAAUGUAGAGAUUGUCCUAAACACAAUGGUGUUCGUCCCAUGUCCAAAUUCGCAAUCUAGGGACAUUCCAUAUUUAGUAAGUUUCGAGCUUGUCCCAGAGACUAACUCCUGAUACUAAGGGAGGCUUGGGGUGAAAGCCCAAAGCGUGUGUUCCUCAAGGGGGGGGGGGGGGGGGGGGGGCUGUGGGGGGUUCCAAAUGUAUAGUAGGGAUAGUGGGUAGGUCGGGCAUGGUCGACCAACUUGAGGCAUAGUCUAGCUCCCACUUGCCUGCUUGUCCUUGUUCUGCGUCCGGCUUGGGUCUAAGCCCAAGUUCCAUUCCAUGCUAGCUGGUGGAGUACCCAUGUCCUCAUGUUAGGCCACCGGUAUGCCAAAAUAGUGCCAGACUCCGUUUGGCUCCGUUUUGCGUGUUGGUCCUGGCAUUGGGAUGCUGGUUGCUCUAGGACUGUUCCAAGUCGCUCCGGGCUCCUGUUCCUUCGCUCCUUGGGCUGUACGCUCGGGAGUUGCUCCGUGGUUCGGUUCCGUCACUCCUUGGCUUCGUGCUUGGGAGUUUUGGCACCGUUCCUUCGUUCAGUGGCCCAAGGCCCUGAACCUUGGGUUCCUGUGGACAUGUGGCAUGGACACGUGGCAUCUGUCACGUGGCACAAAGAGGGUUUAGGUUCCGCUUCGUGGUGUUAUCCUAUGGUAAAUCACCAUAGGAUAAAGGGUCAAAACCACGUGCGCUACAAAUACUUUUCUUUUAAGUGUGAAAGAAAAUAGAAGUUCUUUGUUGUCUUUUUGCUAAUUGGCUUAUAUAAUUUGGUUGAAUUGCUAGAAAUGUCUUUCUGCAUCUUCAGAUUUACUACCGGUGAAGAUUGGAUAUGUAAUCAUGACGCUAUAGGGUGUUGCUAGGUUUAUGAGCGCCAUUUUUCAAUUGUUGGUGAUGGUUCAGUUUUUGGAGAAGCUAGAUAAAAUUAAAAGUUAUCGGUGUUGUAAUCUUCGUAAUCAGGAGUUUCGACUGGUGGUAAAUAUUGAUCUAAGUCUAAAUUUUAGUUAAUUGUAUCUUCCUCGGCAUUGGUUGUGUUGAUGUUGCUUGGUUUGCAACUUGUGUGGUAGAUGGUAUACUAUUACCAAAUAGAGUUUGGGAUAGUUUCCAUCGAACUAGACUACCUAUUUCCAACUUACUUGAAACAUCAAUAAAAGAAGAGAUUGAGAUUCCACUAUAAUCCCACCCAUCUUGAGAGUCUACAACAAUAACUAGUCCCUUAGCCACAAUUGCAUGUAUAGCAUCCACUAUCUUCACAAAAACUUUAUACCAUAUACUACAAGCAUUUAUAUUUAUAGGAGAAUAACCAGAAUUAGGGAUAUUCUUUCCUUUGGAAAUAUUUUUACUCUCUAUCUUCUAUGGAAUAACAUAUUCAUCAUUAUUCCUUUAUGUUUUAAUUGUACUUCCCUAAGAGAUUUUGGUAGGAAAUAUCUCUAUUGGAGAUAUCAAUUGAUUCUACUUCUAUAUAGAAAACCCACUAAUAUCCAACUCACCUAUAAAGAGGAGUAAUUCGAGUUAAACACCUUAAUAGUGCAAAGCAAAACACAUCUAACUCUUAAAGAAGCACAGUGACAAAUGUAAGUAGCAUCUAAAGAUUACAUUCUUCCCUUUGCAAUUGAUCCUUUAUUAUCCCAAACAAUCUCUAUUACAUCUCCUUUUAACAACUUGAGAAAAACAAAGAAAAUUACAAAUAUCAAAACACAAAUAGAAGGAAAAAAGUACAAAAAAAGAUAAGCAAAUAGGAAAUUAAAAAAAAGAGCUCCUUUUGUGAAUAUGAGAAAACAAAACAUGAAAAUAUGUAGCAAAAAUAAUAAAAAAUGCAUAAAAUAAGCACACACAAAGUCAAAGAAUUUCUAGCAUGCACUUGUAUGCUAAAGACUCAAUUUAAUGUAUUAAUGAAAGAAUAUAAACUCACAAUAAACCAAAGUCAAAUUAAGAGAGAAACAGAUUGGUAAGUGCAAGUUUGUAAAAUGACCAGAGAAAUGGUGGUUACUGAACAAGUAUGGUCUCACACUCAUUCUUAAAAAAUGUAAGGAUUUCUAAAACUUUCUCUCUCAUGGUCUCUUGUGUUUUUUAAGCUAGAGUGUGGGCUCAUGCCUAGCCAAACGUCUCCAAAGAAGCUUGAGAUUUCUUGGCAUGCACUUGUACACCUAUAGACCAGUUUUGGAUGACUCUCUCUUGUAAAUUUUUGUUCUUUUGUUUUGAGAUUUCUAGGCAUGCACUCUUAUGCCUAUAGACAAGUAUGGGAUGACUCUCUUGUAAAUACACUACACUAUCAUAUAGUCUCACGCCAAGCAAUACUAAAAUACGAAUGUAUAUUCUUUAUAAUAAUGGAAACCAUAUGUUUUGAGGAAAGAAAAACUUACCAUGGCCAUAAACAAGCCAAAACAGUGUGGGAGAGAUAUGUGCUUAGGAUGUGCUAGAGAGGAAGGAAAAAUGCCUCCUAAGAUAAGUAGUGGCGAACCCUAGAGAACCCAAAUAAUAAAACCUAGGCUAAGAGGGGGAAAAUUUGAAAUGCAAGCUUGACAAAGAAUUUGAAAUGCAAGGGUAGUGUUAUGAUACUAAUAUCUUGUAUCAGUUUUUGUUUGAAUUUAGGCAGGAUUAUUAAAUAAUGUAGUACAGAUAUUUAAUGUUGUCAUAUAGUUCAAGAAGAGACUCCAUAAAAAGGUUUUUCAAAAAAUGAGAUAACUAGAAAUUUUUUUCAUAUUUAUCGAAAUUUUGUUUACAAGAUUAUAUAAUGAGAAUCAUGGCUUGAAAUUUAUUAUUGAAGACUAUAUGUUGCAUAUGUUGUAGUUUAUUACUCUAUUUUAUUCUAUUUAUAUUCUAUGUUAUAUUUUACCAUUUUCAUUUUAAAUUUUAUUGUUUUAUAUUCCUGAAUUAUAUUGUUUGAUCCAUUUUAUUUAUCUUUGCUUCGCUCGUGGCUCCAAAGAAUCACCCCAGCCAAAAAAUAUUCCUCCUUCCACGACUACUACUUCGCUACACUGCUCUACCAAAAUCCACCCAGCAACAGUCACUACUACCUGUGGAGUGUGAUUUACAAUUCCACGUCUUGCAAGUCAUCUCCAAACACUCCGGAGGAACUGGCAGCUUUGAAUCCCACUGUGCUGGACUGUUGAUGGUGGUGCCGAUGAAUUGAACUUUCCUGGUGUUGGUUUUGCUGCUGCUGCUCGACCAUCACUGGCGGAGUGACUUCCAGAGCUGGAGGUGGCGGCAACGAGACGGUCAACGGUGCUGCUAGAUAGUGAUUCGAAUAGAACAUUGCUGGCAAAGAGCUGCUCGAGAGAUGAUCAGGCGUUGGCCCCGGAUCGUUUCUCAUAUCCUGUACAACCGGCUGAGCGAAUGCUGCUGUUGCAAGCGGUCCAUUUCCGUUUGAGAAUGCCGUGUCGGGGACAAAGGCCGGUGCCAAGGAAGGAUCCACCGAAUGGUUGCUGUUGAUAUCUGGAGCAGAGGCAGCAGCGGCCGCAGGCACGAAAAAUCUCGCUGGAGCCAAAGGCUUUGCGCUUGCCUUUGGCACCACGCCAAACAGUGGAGGAGAGUCCAAUGAUGUCUUGGAUGGUGUUACGCUACCUUUGCUGAAUGUAUCGACAUAUCUGCAAAAACUUCGUGAGACUGGAGUGAUGGGAAUGACCAAAACGGUACCUUGAUCUAACAUUUUGAUGUGCGCGAGCUGCGUACUGGUUACUACUUGGAGGCAUUGGUGGGAUUCCACUCACAACCGGUUGCAGCCUUUCCGGAGUUGGCUGUGGUCUCUCCGGCAACAUGGAAAUAGGAGCGCCGUUCUCCUCCACACGUGAGACGAGCCUGUUUGCCGUGGGAGGAGGAGCCAACAGAAGCUCUGGCGCUUGUGCCUCGGCUCCUUCUUCAACCCAGCGCUUCAGUGUCUCGUCGUAUCUAAACUUGUUGCUGUCGCCAAGCUUUGCCUGCAUCACGUACCAACCAUCAAUCAGCUAGCGCUCUUUCCAAAGCUUCUACAAACCUCCUUCGAAGGUGUUUUUAUGAAGCCCAUCGCUCUUUGCACGAAAGAAGUAAAGACGCCUCUGUUUGGCAUUCCUUUCGCUGGACUAACAUCUGAUGAAGGAAUACAAGUCUUAAUCGAAGGUACACAAGAGCAAGUCGAGUUACCUGUGCAGGCCUAAAGUCAGGCUCAGAAAUGCUUCUCACUGGCAUGUUGGAUCUUCUUGUAUUAUCCUUAUGGGUUCCAUUGAUGCCGACGAGGCAAGUGACACACUGCUUCUGCUUGCAGGACGGUUACUAAUAUCAAGCUUUUGGGGAAGAAGGGCCUAUCAUCUUGUGUAGACCAAUAUUGCCAAAAAACCGUUGCACAAUUGACGUCGAGCCUCCCUGGAUUUCUUUGCACACAUCAGCUGCAUGGCCCACUGUUUUCAAUGUUUUCAACACCGCUUGGCAAUACCUUCGAAGAGAAACCUUGUGUUAACGAAGGAUACAGUUAAAAAUCACUACCAACCUUAAAGCUUCGUUUAUCUUUCCAGCUUCAGCAAGCAUCGAUGCAUAAAUAAGCUUGUAUGGCUGAAAAGGAAGUAAAAUAAACUGGGAAUUGCCGGUCACUCUUGCAAAUUCGUACACUUCCAUUCGCUGAUGAAGAAAAGGUUAACAUGUUAUUGAGGACAAACACGGCUUACCUGGAUAGCUUCUGGACUAGCGUACGUGCGUGGAUACUUACAAUGGUCGGCACCUAUAAGACAAAGUCUGGCAGAGAUAGCAAAUAUGGGCUCCACAUAUCUGCAAGAUAAAACUAUGAGAAACAUCAACGUGUGACCAUGUAUAUACCUCAUCUCGAUGUCUCCAGAGACAAUCACCAAGAUGCAUAAUCACUCUCUCGUCCCCAUUAAUUCGGUUAGCUGCCAUUAUAGCCAGGUUUUCCUGCCAUUCUUCGAGCAUUCCUUCUACUGCGUCCUGCAAGUCAACAUGCACUCCUUAAGCAAGAGAGUAGCUUGAUAAAAGUAUUUCACCUGUGUUGCACCAUCUACAGCGGACGCUGGAACCGGUUGAGGUUGAAGCGCUGUUACGUUCGACGAAUUAGUGUUCCCUACGAACACUCCAGCAUGUUGACCAGCAUAAAGAAGAGUUAGAGUCCGGAGGGUUGAAACUGACGUUGAGCCAUCUCCACUAUAGUGUGUAGAACUAUUAAAAACCACAAGACCAUCACUAACGGUCUCUACAAGACUAGGUACCUUCUCUCCCAGCUGCCGGGCCAUAAGAAGAGCACAUCCCCAAAGUUGCCCGUCUUGGGCAGCCCGUAAAGCCUCUUUCUGCUUUCCGGGAAUCAGUGGCCUUUUCACCUCAAAUGCAGUUGCCUGUCGCCAGAAAGUCUUCGUUUGUAUCAACUCAAGAGAAAAAGACUGCCCAACCUGCAUUUGCUGUUCGGUUGGAGUUGUCUGUAGACAGGGAGAGCCAAAAGCCCAUGACUCUACAUCACGCUCCUCCUACAAAGCCUCGGCUUCUUCCAGAUGCCCUUUCCUCCUAGAGGAGCCAAAAGCUCCUCUAGUAGAUGGCUAUGCCACGGCUAAGGCGAGCCAAGGUAGUGCUAGCCAUGGCUGAGACCUUGUGCCACCAUCGCUGUGCUUGCUAUGGGCCAUUGGUGGUGUAACUUUGGCCCUAGCUGUAUGGUUAUAGAUACCACAGCCAAGGACAACAUCAGGUUGCCAGUGGUUGUGGUAAGCUUGGCAAAACAUUAUCUUUUAUGUUGAGAAAGGACCAAUUCGCACAUUUAUUUAGUAAAAAAGAACUUAAGCGACCCACUUUAAAAAUUAAGAAAGUUGGGUUCGCACAUUGAAAAAAUUUGUGUUGCAAAGUAAACUUAUAAGGACUUUUGCAUUCGCACAUGUCUUAGAUUUACAUGGUCACACGUUGAUGUUUCUCAUAGUUUUAACUUGCAGAUAUGUGGAGCCCAUAUUUGCUAUCUUGUUGCAUUUUGAGCCUUUCUCCCCUUCUGCCAGACUUUGUCUUAUACCAUUGUAAGUAUCCACGCACGUACGCUUGUCCAGAAGCUAUCCAGGUAAGCCGUGUUUGUCCUAACAACUGUUAACCUUUUCUUCAUCAGCAAAUGGAAGUGUACGAAUUUGCAAGAGUGACCGGCAAUUCCCAGUUUGUUUUACUUCCUUUUCAGCCAUACAAGCUUAUUUAUGCGUUGAUGCUUGCUGAAGCUGGAAAGAUAAACGAAGCUUUAAGGUUGGUAGUGAUUUUUAACUGUAUGCUUCGUUAACACAAGGUUUCUCUUCGAAGGUAUUGCCAAGUGAUGUUGAAAACAUUGAAAACAGCGGGCCAUGCAGCUGAUGUGUGCAAAGAAGCGGCUGUAGCCUUGGAAGAGCAUCUUCGUAUCCACUCUCAGGUUUGUAAGCGAACACUUGCCUUUUAUACUCACUUUUCUGUUGCUCAACGUCAAUUGUGCAAUGGUUUUUUGGCAAUAUUGGUCUACAUAAGAUGAUAGGUCCUUUGCCCCUGAAAGCUUCCGAUAAUGCUGAUAUUAAUAACCGCCCCACAACAGCUUCUAGCAGAAGCAGUGUAUCACUUGCCUUGUCAGCAUCAAUGGAACCCAUAAGUGAUAAUACGAGAAGACCCAACAUGCCAGCGAGAAGCAUUUCUGAGCCUGACUUUAGGCCUGCACAGGUAACUCGACUUGCUCUUGUGUACCUUCGAUUAAGACUUGUAUUCUUUCAUCAGAUCGUUAGUCCAGUGAAAGGAAUGCCAAACAGAGGCGUCUUUACUUCUUUCGUGCAAAGAGUGAUGGGCUUCAUAAAAACACCUUCGAAGAAGGUUUGUAGAAGCUUUGGAAAGAGCGCUAGCUGAUUGAUGGUUGGUACAUGAUGCAGGCAAAGCUUGGCGACAGCAACAAGUUUAGAUACGACGAGACACUGAAGUGCUGGGUUGAAGAAGGAGCCGAGGCACAAGCGCCAGAGCUUCUGUUGGCUCGUCCUCCCACGGCAAACAGGCUCGUCUCGCGUGUGGAGGAGAACGGCACUCCUAUUUCCAUGUCGCCGGAGAGACCACAGCUAACUCCGGAAAGGCCGCAACCGGUUGUGAGUGGAAUCCCACCAGUGCCUCCGAGCAGUAACCAGUACGCAGCUCACACACGUCAAAACGUUAGAUCAAGGUACCGUUUUGGUCAUUCCCACCAAUCUCACGAGGUUUUUGCAGAUAUGUCGAUACAUUCAACAAAGGUAGCGUAACACCAUCCAAGACAUCAUCAGACUCUCCUUCACUGUUUGGCGUGGUGCCAAAGGCAAGCGCAAAGCCUUUGGCUCCAGCGAGAUUUUUCGUGCCUGCGGCCACUGCUGCCGCUGCUUCAGAUAUCAACAGCAACCAUUCGGUGGAUCCUUCCUCAGCACCGGCCUUUGUCCCCGACACAGCAUUCUCAAACGGGAAUGGACCGUUUGCAGCAGCAGCAUUCGCUCAGCUGGUUGUACAGGAUAUGAGAAACGAUCCGGGGCCAAUGCUUGAUCAUCUCUCGAGUGGCUCUUCACCAGCAAUGUUCUAUUCGAAUCACUAUCCAGCAGCACCGUCGACCGUCUCGUUGCCACCACCUCCAGCUCUGGAAGUCACUCCGCCAGUGAUGGUCGAGCAGCAGCAGCAAAACCAACACCAGGAAAGUUCGAUUCAUUGGCACCACAAUCAACAGUCCGGCACAGUGGGAUUCGAAGCUGCCAGUUCCUCCAGAGUGUUUGGAGACGACUUGCAAGAGGUGGAAUUGUAAAUCACACUCCACAAGUAAGUAGUAGUGACUGUUGCUGGGUGGAUUUUGGUAGAGCAGUGUAGCGAAGUAGUAGUCGUGGAAGGAGGAAUAUUUUUUGGCUGGGGUGAUUCUUUGGAGCCACGAGCGAAGCAAGGAAGCAAGAUAAAUAAAAUGGAUCAAACAAUAUAAUUCAGGAAUUAAAUUCUAUAAAAAAAUAAAAAUUUAAAAUGAAAAUGGUAAAAUAUAACAUAGAAUAUAAAUAGAAUAAAAUAGAGUAAUAAACUACAACAUAUGCAACAUAUAGUCUUCAAUAAUAAAUUUCAAGCCAUGAUUCUCAUUAUAUAAUCUUGUAAACAAAAUUUCAAUAAAUAUGAAAAAAAUUUCUUGGCAUAUAGGGCAGGAAUGGACAUAACCCGCUACAUCACCUUCCAUACCAGACCAGAAAAAUCCCUUUUUCAAUGAAGCCAGAGCAACUUUGUAAACACAUCACUCAUUAUCACAUGAAUAUGAUAUAAAUAUCACAAUGAUUUAAUUAUCAAUUGAGUAACACUAGGAACAACAACCAUGUCACCCAUGCUUAGGAUGUGCUAGAGAGGAAGGAAAAAUGCCUCAUAAAAUAUGAUCCAUAAACCAGUAGUGGCAAACCCUAGAAAUCCCAAUUAAUAAUAAUACCUAAUAAAAAACCAUAAGGCUAAGAGGGGGAAAUUUGAAAUGCAAGCUUGACAAAGAAUUUGAAAUGCAAGGGUAGUGUUAUAAUACUAAUAGCUUGUAUCAAUUUUGUUUGAAUUUAGGUAGGAUUAUUAAAUAAUGUAGUAUAGAUAUUUAAUGUUGUCAUAUAGUUCAAGAAGAGACUCUAUAAAAAGAUUUUUCAAAACAUGAGAUAAAAAGCUUAAGUUUUAGGAAAAAGUUAAUCGAUUCAAAGUGAAGUACCAACCUGGUUGCACAAUAGCUGAAUACCUAGAACAUCUCAAGAGCAUCAAACAAGGUAGUAAAGAAAAUAUCAAAGACUAUACUUGAAGAUUCAAAUAUCAUGCAAAGUGCUAUAAAGAUCUACUCACUGAACAAGGUAAGUAUAUUUGGUAUGUAUAGGGAUUGAAGAAGAUAUACCAAUAAAUGAUUGCUCUCGCAUGUACGGAAGAAGAUCUAAAUGCCGAGACCUCUAUUGACAAUAUUUCCAAGAAAAUCAAGAACCCCGAGAAACAGUUUUGAAAAUUUUUAAGAGUAGAAACAACAAGAACAAAUGACUCUUCUGAUGAUAAGGAAGAAUACAAACUCGAAGUUAUGAAGAAAGACAAGAAUAAAAAAUUUAUCAAAAUACUCAAGAAAGUUACAAUCAAGAAUAAACUUAAAGAAGGAAUAUGGUGUAUGAAAUGUAAAAACAAAGGACACAUCCUAACAAAGUGUAACUACUGAUUCCUAAGUGUUAAAUCUAUGAAAAAGAAAAAUAUAUAGCAAUGAUCUGUCGAUACAAAAGAGUAACUGAAGUCACACGAGUCGAGAACAUACCCUUAACUCCUACACCAACUAGAAAACAUUACAAUCAACCCAAACAAGAACCACAACAGUGGUAACUGAACUACCAAAAUCAAGGUACAUAUAAUCCUAACUCUAGAUACCAUCAACAAUACAACAAUGGCAACCAAGACAAUCAGUAUCAACAACCAUACCAACAGGCUUAUCAACAGCUUUAUCGAGACAACUAACAAUGGAGACCACCACCCCAGAAAAACAACUAUCAACAAUAGUACCACAACAAUCGACAAUAGAGACCAUCUCUGCAAUAACUAAACUAUCAAUAGCAAAAUCAACAAUAUGAUCCACCACCCAGAGUAUUUCCUCGUAACAACUAUUAAUAACAACCUUAAACUCAAAAAAUCCAACCCCAAUACUAACAAUAACAAAAUCAAGAAAAUCAACCUCCUCAGCAAGAUCAACAACAUUGAAGACCUCCUCCAACAAUAAGAAAUGUCAACAUUGACUAAAUUGAAGAUGAACACUUUGAAGAUGAACUUGAGGUAAAAGCUCUAACUCGAAGCUGGAAAAAACACUACACUCCUAAAUAUAACCUUGAGGAAAAGUCAAAGAACAAGAAUUCCAAGACAAAGUGCAAGAAAUCUCAAGGCACAAAUAGCAACAAAACAAGGAGUUAGUCAACACAAUUCAGCAAACCCUUCAACAACAACAACUUGAAGUUGAAAAUGAUUAGGAAAUUGUGACUAAAACUCUGUCAAAAAAGAGGAACAACCAAAGUCUAUCACCAACAUUCUUCAACAAGGUAUCACACUCACCCUUCUAAAACUUUCACAUGUAGUUUCAUACUUGAGAAAACAACUUCUCAAGAUAUAUCAAGUUUCUCCACCAAAAAACUUUAGCUCAAGUCAAGAAAAAAAUUAACAACUCAUCCUAUAAAGAAAACAUCCAACCUAGUGAUUAUGAUGAAGAUGUACCAUGCAUCCCAAUCAGGAUAAGAAAGAACAAAGUUAUAUAAAUAAUCAUCAACAGUAGAGAAAAUAUCAACAUUAUCAAGUAUUCAACUUACAAAGCAAUGGAACUUGGACCAAUCCACUUUACACCCUUCAACAUCAAGAUGGCCGACGAUUGAAAUGUACAACCAUUAGGAAUCGUGCACAACAUUCCUAUCAAGAUUAAAGAUCAAGAAUUUAAGAUAACUUUCAUCGUACUAAAGAUGGCAAAAGACCAAAGCUGCUACAAAGUACUCCUCAAAUGAACUUGGCUCAAGACAAUAGACAUUAUCACAUAUUAGAGGAAUAAUACCAUCACCCUUGGAGGACAUAAAGAUGCUCCACAACUAUCUACCAAUAUUGUAAAGAAGAUCAUAAAGAAAUUUUAACUAACCACAAUCAAACAAUAUGACUAUAAUGAAGGACUCGACAGCUAUGAAGAAGCUCAAAUUCUUAAGGCAUACCCUAAAUUAAAAAUACUAAUCUAAGUCGAUCUCAACCGAAUCUAAAGAAAAAAAGCAAUCAAGAUCCUCAACUUCAAAAUGAAGAUUUCCAACACCAAGAUUUGAAAGAAAAGACAACACCAGCACACAUGAAAAAACAAUGAGAACAUUCAAGCAUCAAACUUGAAUCAGCCUACCGAAUGAAUCCCAACAUACAAACCAAAGUCAAGGAAGAGCUUAACAAACUCAAAAAUGUUAGCUUCAUCUUCCCAAUUCAAAAUCAAAAAUGGCUAUCACCACUAGUUAUUGUCCCCAAGAAAAACAGCUUGUUGACUUCAACUCCUUUGUAGUGAAGGCAUGUGCAGUUGUUUUGAAGGGGGACGCCUCUUCCAAUGCAAUUGUGCUUCCUUUGAUGUACAAGAUGGUUUCCUAGUCAAGAGGAAUCGGGCUAUGGUUCCUAGAGAUGAUGUUCGUUUACAGUGGAUUCUGUAAGAGUGUCCAUUGCACCAAGUGCAAGACAUCGAGGACGUGCGUUCUGGUAGAGAUGCAUUUAUUUUGGCCUGGAAUGAAGUCAGGUGUUGAUAAGUAUGUGCACAGUUGUUAGACCGGCCAGGCAGUCACAAUGGAUUGUGAGAAGCAUGAAGGUCUCUACCAUAGUUAACCUCAACAGAAGUGGGAUAGCAUUUUCUAUGAGUUUCAUAGUAGGUGUUUCAAGGCAAUGAUGCUAUCUGGGUUGUUGUGGAUUGUGUGAUGAUGUGAGCUCACUUCUUCCUUGUGAAGACGAAUGCUAAGGCUUUUGACCUUGCUCAGCUGUAUUUCUCUAUGGGUUGCCUAAGGAUGUUGUAAGUGAUCGGGAUCCCACGUUCACUUUGGAGUUUUGGCAGACAGUGUUCCAGAAGCUUGAGACAAAGCUGAGCAUGAGCAUCCACAGUCAGAUGGACAAACAAAACAAGUUAAUUAGGAGCUGGAAGACAUGCUAAGAUCGUUUGUUGGUCAUCUGAAGAGGCAAGGUAUUUGGGAGAAGUACCUGCCUUUGUUAGAGUUUGCCUAUAACUGUGCCUUCCAUUUGGCUAUUGAGAUGGCUCCGUUUAUGGCAAUGUAUGGCUUUCAACCUCGGUCCCCUGUUGGUAAAAACUUGGCUUCUCUUAAGGUGCACCAGGCAAAGGAGUUGGCUGAUGAGCAUCGUCAGCACAAGCAGUUUCAGGUUGGAGACAAGGUUUUCCUUCGGUUGUCUGAAGCUCAAUGAGCUCUUCAAGGUGGAGGUAGUUCUAAGUUGUCGCCACAGUACUGUGGGCUUUGGAUUAUUCUCAAACGAGUUGGAGACCUUGCCUAUUGUGAAGAUUCAUCCCGUCUUCUAUGUAGGAAGUUGAAGGCGUGUUUGCAUUCUGGUAAUAUCUUGGACCAGUCUGCAAUCAAGAUUCCAGAGAUAGAUGUUUGAAGGUUGGCCCUACUUGUGUGUUAUAGCAACAGCUAGCGUGCACACAUCGUAAGACUUGGAGAGAGUUACUUGUUCAGUGGAAUGGUUAUUCUCCAUAUGAUGCUACAUGGGAAGCUGAGAAUGAUGUUGUUUCCUAAUCUUGAGUAUGACUUGGAUGACAUUCCAGAGGAAGAGGAGAAGUAGUCGCUUGCUCCUAUCCUUUCUUUCUUUUCUGACCCCGUUGAUGGCUGGAGGUGUUGUGUCACGUGAGACAGUGGUUUUGUUAGCGGGAUGCUUUGCUAGCUUCUCUCUCCUUAGCUACUGUUCAUCAUAGUUGGAGCAGAGGGAAAAAUGUCACCAUAUUUCGUGAUGAACCAGCUGAUUCUGGACCUAGGUCUCUGAUCAAAGAGCCAAAUACCAACUGUAAAUUUGCAUGUGAAGAGGUGUUCAAGCAUCUCCACGGGGUUUUCAUUGCAUAGAAUACAAAGAGUUUUGUGAACUGUGAGCCAAUCACCAACAGGGAUGCUGUCCUGCACAAGAAGCCAGCUUACCUUAGCUUCCACCAGUGUCUUCCACAUGUUCACAAUGUACUUCCGAUUCUUCAACUUCCGCAUAAGCUUGGUGUCAAUUUUAUCCAUCAAAAGCUCUCUGCCAUGCUUAGACCUGUACAUAAAAAAAGACACACUGAACUCAUUACCUUCCCAGGAUAACUGAGCCGGAUCCUAUAUAAGAUCAGAUAUAGGUACUCCCCAAACUAGUGUAUUGCAGAGCAUUCUCCCAGUUGAACCUUAGGAUCCAGUUCAGUGUAUUUCCCUCUCUGAUGUAUCGUCCUGAUCCUUUUACCGAAGGCCAUCCUGGGAACCGGGACCUCCUCGGGAACUCUCCAUGGAAACAGUGCACCACUGUUAUGGGGAUAAAAAACAAUACCUUGAGGUGAUGGGGUUGUUUCCAUAACAAAGAUGAUUUGAGUCUCAGCACCAUCAAGCAUUAUCCAAUCACGAACCUCGAUAACUUCAGUUUGUAAAGCAAGAUGAAGGUGAUCACAAGCAAUGCUGCCUUAAGCUUUGAUGUGGAGUUUUCAUCCUGGGUUGUAAUGGGUUGUCAUGAGGCCAUCCGAUGAGCAGGGUUUUCUCCAAGCGGACGUUAAACAAAUACCUGACUUGACCUUUUUCAUUGUAUCAUAGCUUGUCCACUGCUGAGGAAGAAAAACAAGAUCCCAACAAGAACUUUGCUGUAAGUGAUGGCUUGCUAGCUCUUUGUAGAUCCAAUAAGUCUUUGAUCGAAGCUCCCACAUUUCUAUGCCACCUAGGCCAAAAACCUCUACCCAAGCCUGGAGCUGAACAGUCACCUAUAUACUGCUGAUUACUGUUCUUAUGCGCUACGUUGAAGAACAAGCAAUCAGCUAAUGCCUCUGUCAGAUGGUCUGGUUCUUUCUGACUUAACCUGGGUAGGAGUGUGACUUCCAUAUCUUCAACAUCUCUUUUGCUAUUCCAUCCUGGACUUUCUUUGUGUUGAGAGGAGCAAUGCCAAUCGAUUCCUUGUUUAUAGUUACCACCUUGUCUAGGCAAGAUCUUCUGCAGUUGAGCUCUGAAGAGGAGGUGCCAGCUUUGGUUUCGUGGAUAUAAACCUGACACAAGCACUUUGAAGAGAAGAGCUUUGGAUUGAAUUCCUGGGUGUGGCACAUUCCGAAUAACUGAAUUCCACUCUACUUUUGCCCAGACUUUGCACCCGCUGGAGUUUCUAAAGUUUCUACAUAUGUCGUUGGUGAUCAAGUGUUGGUGAGUUAUUGGGUGUUGCGGAUCCAAGGUUUUUGCUGUGUAGGUCCUUAUCACAUCGUCCAACAAGUUGGUCCACAAAUCUAUGUGGUGACACUCAAUGCACAAUGUCAAGAGAAGAUCCAUGUGAAGCAGUUAGCUCGAUAUUGUGUGUGAACGGAUUGAUGUAAGGAUUCUACCAUAUAUUCUAUGGUAGAUAUAGAUAAACUCAACAAGAUUGGAAUAGGGAGUAAGUUUUAUGGCCCAGGUAAGUUAGAGGAAGGGAAAAAAAAGAAUUAAUUAGAGUGAAAAUGCGAGUUAUUGUGAAAUUAGAGUAUAAAUGUGAGUUAAGAGUUAACACGAGCUAAGAGUAAAAACGUGAUGUAGCAGCUUAAAAGAGGGAAGUAGGAAUGCUCGGAUGGAGUUCCACCAGGUAGAAAAGACAAGUCAUACCUCAAGCCUCGGAUUGCUCCCACCCGGUUGCGUACUUUAACCAAGCCCCGAACCACCCAGCAGUCUUGGCGCACAGGGAUGACAUCAACCCUAACCUCUUGCUCCACUGCUCCUACUUCUGAGCUGCUAGCAGCUUCUCCCCUCCUUAAAAAAAAAAGGUCUGUUGUUCUCUUGGAGUUCAAGAGGCAUCCUCUUCACCGUCUCCUCUGUUUUUGCUAGCUAGUUACUCUUACAAGAAGGAGCACAAGCCAAGUUCAGCUCCAUGCUCAGCCUAUCAUCUCCUCUUUAAGACACCUCACCUCUUUGAAGCCAUUCAGGAGAGCUAGCACGCUUCACGUCUAGACGUCCCCCCCUUUUUUCUUUUUGCGAUUGUCUCUUCAAACUCAUCAUACCAAACCUUACCAAGCCGAGUGCAGGUUUUGAAACCCCAUGAGUCACCUUGGCCUUUUUCCAUCUUCCAGUUGAGCUCUCCAACAAUCUUGACGUGCGGAUGCGUGCAAACUGCUCCUUGAGCCAGGACCAUUUCUCCAGGAGAUAACUUAUGCUACAACACUCUCCGCUCGACGAUCUCAAUGUGGAAAGAUCCACAAAACUGUCCCACUCAUCAUAGUUGUAGAAGAAAUCAUCCUCAUACUGCAUCUGCAACCUUGCUCGAGCCCAAGCCUCCACCAUCGCAAACUUCUCCCUCAUCUUGAUCAGCUCACACUUGAGGCGGCAAAACAAGUCCAGGUCCUAAGGAACAACAAUGGAAUACACCUUUCCCGGGUACCUGUCUCGAAACCUGUGAAAGUACAGUGGACGAUGUGGUGUUUUAGAUCGCAGCGGAAUGAUAACUUGAUGAAAGCAACAAAACCAUUGAGCUCGCUCUUUGGGGAUCAAUUAUCAUCUCCUCCUUUGAAGUAAUGAGCAGCAGGCCUUGAUUGCAUCCAGAAGUACUAGAGAUAGUCUGCAAAAGCAGGUUUGACACCAGUUAUUUUGGCAACACAGAAGAAAAAGAAGAAAAAUAAUCUCAAGUUUCAAAAUUUAUAGAGAUCCAUACAAUCCAAAUCAAGAUCAAUCCUCCACGAACUUAAUGCCGCUUUCAGCACCUCCAAGCUCUGCCGAAAAACAUAGCCACGGUAUGCCACAAUCGUUCGCUUGAAAAUCUGAAGAUGUCGAUCGAAGCAUGCAAGCAAAAACAUGAAGUAAAGAAGCGCAGGUGGACAACAAAGGAGAUGAACUGAGCGAGGCCAAGAACACAUAUAAGGACUGAAUGUAAGCACAUGAGGCCUCGUGCGGUUUUUUCCUCCAUGUGUGGCUUCAUGUGCGAAGAGUUUGGUGUGGUAAGGUAUGUUGCGGAGCAGCCAGAAGCCCAGGGUGAAUAUAAGUACGUGAGGCCUUGUGAGGUUUUACCACUGCCCGAAGACUCCUGUGCAUGGGCCCCGGGCGAGAGUCAUUUGCGAAAGUGUUCUGCAUGAAACUGGUACCCUGAAGCUUCUGGCCCCAUGAAGAGCAUUUUUUAUUUAAUUUGUGUAGAGUGUGGUUUAUUUUUGCAUAUUGAGUGCAUUGAUAUCUUUUAGUUAUUGAAGAACUGAAGACUACCUACAGUUAAGUGCAUGCAGCAACAGAUCAUAUAAAAAAUGAAACAAAUCGGGAUUUCUAGGAAGUUCGUGCGUGUUGUUAGUAAUAAUAAUAAUAAUCAUAAAAACCUGAUGUUCAGCCAGUUAGAAGAUUGUCUGAAAAUUAUGCAUGUAUUGAUUCUUCAGCUCUUGAGCAACUGAUUGCUGCUGGCUCACUUUCUAUAUAUAUCAAAGAGAUUUCUUAUUAACAAUAAACAUCUAAGCUGCUGCAGUUAAGCUGUGACAUUGUAUAAAAAGGAAAAGAAUUAGAAAAAGAAAAAAAGAAAACACGAGCUUUUUACUACUACGGUUAAGUAAUAACAAAUCGGGAUUUCUAGGGUAUGCGUGCGGCGCUAGGGUUUGUGUGGUGUGUGUGUCAUUUCUCAACAAUCUCAUGGAGUUCAGGGAUCCCACUUUCUGGUGGGACAACAGGUUCAAGAAGAAAAACAAGUUCUUCUCAGAGUCCUACCCGGAUUUCAAACAUGUUUCUACCGGAGAGAGCCUGUGGAUCGCCAACAGGAAAACACCAACCUGGGUCUCUGCAAAACUCGAGUCGCUCGCUGACCCAGCUGUAGGUAAGGCCACCACGGCCCGCUACAAAUCUCCACAUACCCCACCUGUAGCUGGUGAUGAACCGGUGAGUUUAGGGAGGCUGAUACACCGCGUGAGAGACUCAGCUGAGAGCAGAUCCCUUUCUUUGGGAAAACAAGCCCAUGAAGCUGUGCUCAAGAGUGAUGAGCACAAAAGCAACAUCUACUUGUUGACGGGAUUGAUCGAUAUGUACUGCAAGUGUGGCGAGCUUGAGGAGGCUCGCAAGAUUUUCGACUCCAUGGGAACCCGGAGUGUUGUGUCCUACAACGCGAUCAUCCACGGCUGCGGCUCGAACGGGCAAGCUGAAGUUGCUCUGGAGUACUACUCUGCCCUGAGAGCUUGUACCACCAUUCAACCCAACGAUCGGACACAUGUCGCGGUGAUCAGCGCCUGCUCCAGACUUGCUACCGAAUCCAGCGAGAAGAGGGAGAGAGCUCUACGCAUCGGGAUGGAGAUCCAUUCAAUGCUGAGCAAGGAGAAGAAACAGCUAGAUCUGUUCGUGGCGACUUGCCUGGUAGACAUGUACUGCAAGUGUGGCGAGCUUGAGGAGGCUCGCAAGAUUUUCCACUCCAUGGGAACUCGGAGUGUUGUGUCCUACAACGCGAUCAUCCAGGGCUGCGGCUCGAACGGACAAGCUGAACUUGCUCUGGAGUACUACUCUGCCCUGAGAGCUGAUAACACCAUUCAACCCGACGAUCGGACACAUGUCGCAGUGAUCAGCGCCUGCUCCACACUUGCUACCGAAUCCAGCGAGAAGAGGGAGAGAGCUCUACGCAUCGGGAUGGAAGUCCAUUCAGUACUGAGCAAGGAGAAGAAACAUCUAGGUUUGUACAUGGCGACUUGCCUGGUAGACAUGUACUGCAAGUGUGGCGAGCUUGAGGAGGCUCGCAAGAUUUUCCACUCCAUGGGAACUCGGAGUGUUGUGUCCUACACCGCGAUCAUCCAGGGCUGCAACACGAACGGGCAAGCUGAACUUGCUCUGGAGUACUACUCUGCCCUGAGAGUUGAUAACACCAUUCAACCCGACGAUCGGACACAUGUCGCGGUGAUCAGCGCCUGUUCCACACUUGCUACGGAAUCCAGCGAGAAGAGGGAGAGAGCUCUACGCAUCGGGAUGGAAGUCCAUUCAGUACUGAGCAAGGAGAAGAAACAUCUAGGUCUGUACAUGGCGACUUGCCUGGUAGACAUGUACUGCAAGUGUGGCGAGCUUGAGGAGGCUUGCAAGAUUUUCCACUCCAUGGGAACUCGGAGUGUUGUGUCCUACACCGCGAUCAUCCAGGGCUGCAACACGAACGGGCGAGCUGAACUUGCUCUGGAGUACUACUCUGCCCUGAGAGCUGAUAACACCAUUCAACCCGACGAUUGGACUCAUGUCGUGGUGAUCAGCGCCUGCUCCACACUUGCUACCGAAUCCAGCGAGAAGAGGGAGAGAGCUCUAUGCAUCGGGAUGGAGAUCCAUUCAAUGCUGAGCAAGGAGAAGAAACAGCUAGAUCUGUUCGUGGCGAAUUGCCUGGUAGACAUGUACUGCAAGUGUGGCGAGCUUGAGGAGGCUCGCAAGAUUUUCCACUCCAUGGGAACUCGGACUGUUGUGUCCUACACCGCGAUCAUCCAGGGCUGCAACACGAACGGGCGACCUGAACUUGCUCUGGAGUACUACUCUGCCCUGAGAGCUGAUAACACCAUUCAACCCGACGAUCAGACUUAUGUCGUAGUGAUCAGCGCCUGCUCCACACUUGCUACUGAAUCCAGCGAGAAGAGGGAGAGAGCUCUACGCAUCGGGAUGGAGAUCCAUUCAAUGCUGAGCAAGGAGAAGAAACAGCUAGAUCUGUUCGUGGCGAAUUGCCUGGUAGACAUGUACUGCAAGUGUGGCGAGCUUGAGGAGGCUCGCAAGAUUUUCCACUCUAUGGGAACUCGGAGUGUUGUGUCCUACACCGCGAUCAUCCAGGGCUGCAACACGAACGGGCAAGCUGAACUUGCUCUGGAGUACUACUCUGCCCUGAGAGCUGAUAACACCAUUCAAGCUAAUGCUUGCACCUACACCUGCGUCCUUGUUGCUUGCGGGAGUGUGAUGGCGAUCAAGCUCGGGAGGGAGAUUCACCAGCUGGCGAAGCAUGAAGGGCUGCUGAAAAACAAUCCAGUUCUGGGCUCCAGCCUGGUGAGCUUCUACGGCAAAUGCGGCGAUGUUGAUUCUGCUCAGGAAGCGUUUGACGAGUGCCGAGCUCGGGACAACACGGGUCUCUGGAACUCUCUCAUACAGGCUUACACUCUCCAGGGCCGAUCGAUCGAGGCCUUGGAGCGUUUCUAUUCCAUGAUUCAGGAGGAGGGCUGUAAAGCUGACAAUGUGAGUUUUGUGUCGGUGUUGAACGCUUGCAGCCAUGGUGGUCUGGUCGGGAAAGGAAGGCAGCUUCUGGAUGAAAUGCCCAAGCAGUAUGGAGUCAAGCCACGUCUGGAGCAUUAUGUGUGCCUGAUCGAUAUGCUUGGGCGAGCUAACCUCCUCGACGAAGCUGUGAGAGUUCUCAGAGCCAUGCCUUUUGAACCGGAUGCAGUGGUUUGGACGUCCCUGCUCGGAGCCUGCCGGAAGUGGAAGAAUUACACGAUCGGCAAACUUGCGUUUGAGCGUCUUGUGGAGAUGGAUCCCAAGAGUGGCACGCCCUACGCAUUGAUGGCCAAUAUAUUUGGAAACCUGGGGAUGCUCAGUGAAAGGGCUGCUGUUGUGGAGAGAAUGAGAGGUGAAGGCGGCUUCAGGGAGCCCGGGAGAAGCUGGUGGACGGAUGUUAGCUCAGGAAAAGUGCAUUCUUUUUCUGUUGGGGAUAGGAGUCACUCACAGAGCGACGAGAUUGCGGCCAAGCUCAAGCAAUUGUUGCUUAAAAUGAAAGAGGAGGGGUAUGCGAGCGAUGUGAUCAACGUUCUAAAAGACAUACCCGAGGAAGAGAAAGAGGAUCACCUGUGCGGCCACAGUGAGAAGCUUGCGCUGGGGUGUGCUCUGGUGAACUCGCACCAGAAGGAGACCAUCAGAAUUGUGAAAAAUCUCCGAGUUUGUGACGAUUGCCAUGCGGCCACUGCUCUCAUCUCUAAGCUGGAAAAAAGGCUAAUCAUCUGCAAAGAUGCCAGUCGGGUUCAUGUGUUCCAGGAUGGCAGAUGUUCCUGUGACAACUACUUUUGAAAACAUGUCAUUGCUCUUUCUUGCAGUUAUCCCUGGUUUUAAACCCUCUGUGAGUCAAGCAGAAACAUGGGCCGCUGAGUGAUCAUACCGCCGUCAGCCUGAACUUCACGGAGAAAAAAUUAACAUUUAAAAGUUAAAACUAUGCAAAAGGAGGAUGACACGUUGUCUUAAAUUUAAAUUUCUUUUUGGUAGCAGAAUCGUGACUAAACCUGCCAACAGGUGCCCCAAAACGGAGCGCCCAGAUUCAGAUAAUAAGCCUUAGUAUGAAGACUUGCCGGUACCCAAACUCUUUGCUGAUAGCAAGUACCGCCUCAUGUUCCGGGAGCAAGGUGAUGGUGGCUUGCGGCAUGACCAACUUUGGGUUUGUGCUCCUAGAGCACGUUGAAGACGUGUGGAAGCUGGUGACGAUGGCAUUUGUUUCUUGCGACAUACUCACCAGUUCCUCGGCGACAUCUUCCUUCCAGAUUUUUUGAGCUUGUCGUGAGUGGUGACUUGCUUGCUCUCCCCUGUGACGACUUCUUCCAGCCUCUGGUGCCCAACCUCAAGGCUCUCUUGUGGAUGGAGCUAGCCCUACACAGUGUGUGUGUGUGUAUCAACCAGCAGAUGCACAAAUCGUUGAGAAUUAGCUAGGCUUAGUACGUAGUGUACUAGUGUAUAUGUAAAUGUGUUUCAGCUAAAUAUAAUGGGCCAAAUACACCGAAGAAAGAAGAGUAGAAACAAAUUAAGAAAUGUAAAUUAAGAAGUGCAAAAGAAAUGAAAAUAAAAAUUGUCCAUCCUCAUCAGUUUGCUGAAAUUAAGUUGGGUUCAAUUCUCUCCAAAUAUUGUGUGAUUGAGUUGUAAGUUAAUUAAUAGUAGAAAAUAAGAAAAAAAAACAAAAAUUGAAAAAAUAGUGUUUGAUAAUAUCUUCUUUUUUAUUUUCGAGAGAAAAUUAGUGGGGGAGUGUAUAUCUUUGCUGUUUAUUGGUGGUUAAUUAAAUGAGCAUGUUUAGAGAUGUUUAUAAGAGUUUAGCUCUAGAGUUACCCGAAAAUUAAAGUUCAAAAUUUACGUUUUCCCUAUUUGCACAAUAACUUAAGCUAAAGUAAUGUCCUUACCCGUAUUUUUUAUGGGAAAAUUAUUAUUCGCAUUGUGAGUGCUUGGAAUAUGGAAAGGGAAUACAGAAAUGUGCAUAUUAAUUAGCCCAAAAACCCUAGUUUAUAUACAGGAGCGAGUGGUCCAGAUUAAAACCAAUCCGACGGCUACCAAAAUCUUACUACGCUAAUAUUAGUAUACGGCAUCGUAACCGUACACUUGGCCCUGACAUCAUCCCCUCCUCUCGGGAUAAUGGAAGACCAUCAGGGUUCUCUUAAAGAUGGGUUGGGAUCCGGAGGAAUGUCAGGAGGAGGCAUCGGUGGAUCUAUAGGUGGUAUUAACUCCUCUUGAUCCCUUUGUAUGAAGCGUUUUAGCUGCUGCACAUGCACAAUCUCUGGAGGAUUGGCCUGCUGAACGUCAUGCCGAACCUCAUAAACUUGUGGUCCAAUUUGUCGCAACACUCGAUACGGUCCUUUCCAUUGUGCAAGAAGCCCCUUAGAUAAACCACGUAUCGUAAGAUGGGGAAAACAGACUAACACCAAAUCAUCCACUUUGUACUCCACAGGUAGACGAUGAUGGGAGUUGUAGUGCCGUUGUUGUCCCACUUGUACGCGGCCUAAGUGUUCGGCAAACUCUGCUCGGAAAAGUGGAAGAAUGCUCGUCAAAUACUGAUCCCAUGAUCUAGCAUCGGCAGCACGUGGCAAUCGCGAAGGUAAACCCAGUUCCGUUGGUAAUAUUGGAUCAUGACCAUAUAAGAGUUUAUAUGGUGAAGCACCAACAGAACUCUGCACCCCUGUAACAUAUGCAUACCGAAGAGACGGCAAAUAACCAUCCCAAUCCAAAUGCUGAAAGUUCACAUACUUCGCAAUCAUCCCUUUGAAUGUCCGAACAAGCCGUUCCACCAGAUCGUCUGAUUGUGGAUGAUAAGCACUCGUGAAAGUGUGGCAUAUCCCCAACCGAGAUGUCAAAACAUGAAAUGCCUCAGCCAUAAAUGCGGGACCAUUAUCCGAAAGAAUCUGCUCUGGACAAGAAUGCUGGAACACCACUUGAUUGAGGAGGAAGUAUCCAACAGCAGUUGCAGAGGCGCUAGCAAGAGCACGAACUUCCACCCAACAAGUCAAGUAGUCAGAAGCAAUAAUAACAUACUCAUUGCCAGCAGUCGAUCGUGGAAAAAGUCCCAUAAGAUCAAAUGCCACUAACUCAAACGGAUGGGAAACCGCAUUUAACUCCAACCGUCCUUCCGCAGCACGAGGGGGAGUAUUACGAGCUUGGCACCAAACGCAGCUACGCACAUACCGGAUAAUAUCACGUCGCAUCUCUGGCCAAUAGAAAGACCUGUGCAGCUUCUCGAUGACACGACGGUGUCCCAUAUGCCCACCUAGAACAGGAGAAUCAUGGUAGGCAUGGAGAAACCGUGGAAUAAACACCGAAGGCACCACUAGCCAUAAAUGAUCAUCAGGAUCUGUCCCCACAAAAUAAAGAAGGCCAUCGUCAAGGCGAUAUUGAGAAUGUAAAUGCCGGAAAGGCAAGUCAUCAGCAAGUGAUGCAGGAUUCUCAAACCCAUCUCGAAGCCUCCGAAUCCACAGCUCAAUCUUUUGAGCCUUGCAGACCUCAUCAAGAGAAGGUAGAUCUUGCUCUGCACCUUGUGGACACUGAACGUCAAGGAUAGCAACCGCCGACAGCAUAGAAUCCUCAUCUAGAAAAUCCACAGAUGCUGGAACAACAGGUUUGUCAGAAACAUGAGAAGUGAGUGAAGCUCUAUUUCGUUAAAGUGGGAUUUAUUCAGUAAAAUGGGACUAGGUACAAAUUUUCAAGUAUUUGAAAAUGACGUGAAAUUAUAUGUUUUUUGUCUAGGGGCUAGACAUAUCUGGGGCAUGGUGACUAGCGCGGUGACUUUGUGUCCAGACUGAGUCCAUCUGGUUGUAUAAUAAAUCUCAUUGUCAAGGUGAACAAGCCGAAUCUGAAGCUAAAGAAGAGCGAUGGCAUGCGCGCAUACACUAUUUGUUUGUUCAUUGAGCGUGUGGUGAGCUUUCUAAGAUGAACGUCAUUCCUAUUAGCUAGACAUAUAACUUAAUGGUGAGAACAUUUAGAUAUUAUUCAAUGUUAUCUUUUUCUAACGAAUCUAAUUGUGAAGGUGUAGCAAGAGGCAUUGCUAGUCUGGAGAAGUCAUUUAACUCAUUUGACCCUUAGUGUAUUUUCAUGAAACUAAAUAACAUUCAUAUUAUUAAGGAAUUUCUCUAGUACCUUUUUUUUACCACAUAGAGGCUUGCAUUUCUUUCAAAGGUGAUUUAGUAAAAGGCCUGAGGGCACAUGCCAUUCUAUUUCUCAGACCGGUAUUAAGAUAUACUAGUGCAAAGGGCCACAUGCCAUCACGCCUCCUCUGAUUCAGAUUCGGAUUGUUCACCUUGAAAUAAAAUACAUUAGAAACUUAGUAAAGGAAUAUUAAUGAAUCUCACCUUGAACCCGGGUUAUGAAUGCUCUUGCUGCAUCUCUUGCAUGGUCUGGCAAGGUGAUGGUGGCACUCUGCUUCCGCAUCCAACCAUGCACAACAUUAUCCACCGAUAUGCUCAUGCUGGGAUCCCUUGGAUUCAGCACCCAUCUCUUUUCUAGGCAAUCCUUCGUAUAUCCGGAACUUGGCUUGAACCACUCCACAGUUACAUUGAAGGAGUUAGUUUCCGCGUCCUCCUCUGCAUCAAUGAUGCAGUGCCCCACCCAUAUCAUUUGUUUUUUAUUACUGGGCCUGACAAGCACCACCAUUCCUUUGCAGACCUGUACUGAAUUGAAUGCUGAAUCUGGCUUCUUGUUCCUCGGCCCACAAUAGUGAUCCUCAACAUCGUUAUCUGUCACUGCAUUUCCAGAGGACAUUGUUCCGCUACUAUCUGGUGCUCUGGGUUCUGGCCAAAAGGACUCUUCCAAUUCUUCAUAUACAACCGGCCCAUUUUGGAUAGCAGAUAUAAUCUUCUCCCAGUAUUCGAGCAAAGGCUUGCACCUCUUAAAAUAGGAUUCUCCACCAAACACCAACCCCCUCUUCCAGAAGGCAAUAUGCUGUCUAAUCCCGGCCACUAUACUUUCCUGGUCUUUGAGUCCAUCCGGGUGCAUCGGCCGUGGGGAACCCUGAGGAAUCAUAGGUUCCCCAGUUAUGGGAUCUCUCUUGAAGAGUUCAAUGCCAUCCACUGGCAGCCACACUGUGUCCCAUUCUCUCAUCUUGUACCUCAUCACUGGAGCACCGUCACGCAUGCUGAAAUGAAACUGAAGAGGCUUGGAGUGGCCAAUCAGCGUUUCGGAUCCGUCCCUAAUGUAGCCUCUUACAAACCCCUUAAAGUCUGGAACCUCUGUCACAAGUGCAGCUUCAACAGUGCCUUUGAUGCAAUUUUGGAAUUCAUCGUAGAGUUGUGGGAGGGUGAGGACAUUGGAUCGCCGGAGGGACUCUGCCAGGUGACUGAACAUGGCAUCGACGUCUUCAUGAGUGUGCCCAACCAUGAGAAAGCCAAGUGUAACCAUUUCAAAUAUGCCUUUGGCAACAAGCAUCACCAAGUACGCGAAGACGUACAUGUUUUUGUUCUCACUGCCAGCAUUGUUUGUUUGGAGCAGAAGAUGGGGUGGAAGGCCACAUCGGCCGCAAGAACUUCCUUGAGAUUCUGCUUCAUUUGGAUGAGGCUGUGCAUUCACCGGGUGACCAGCCUCGUCGGAAUGGCAUGAGGCCUCACAUGAUAACCCUACAAUCUAACGGCCAACAUAUUCACUGGGAUGGCAUGGGGCCCCACGCGAUACUGCAAGCCUUUGCUCCUCCUCCAGCUGAACCCUGUAUGGGGUUCGAUCGACAAGGGCCUUAUGCAAGGGUUGGCCGUUCAGCUCAGUCUGCGCACUUUGCAGAGACCUUAAGUGUUUUGCUAGGGACGCAAUCAUCAUGUUUGCACCCCCGCCACCCCAUAGAGGUACAAAGAAGUUCCCAUAGUUCUGGGCACCAUGCCCAUGAGCGAUUAUGCCAAACAAAGACACAGGCAGCUGCAUGGAUGAAGAGAUUGCCUUGGGGGCAGGAUUGAGUCGAGGUAAGCACGUCUUUUUCUGGUCCAUUUUGUCAUGGAUGAUGUAGAGGUAAGAGUCAGGUCUCUCCAUGGAGAGAAUCCUGUUAUGAUAAUAUGCAGUCCUGCAGCUUCUCUGCUCGAUGUUGUGGUCGAGCCGCCUUCUAACCAACGUCUCUCGCUCUUGAGCGCUGCAAGAAUUCUUCGACAAAGCCAUUUUGAUAGCAGUGCACUCGUCACACUUUGAAAAGCUGGAGUACUUUCCUAUACUCACAUCCCUGAACCUGUUGCUCCACAAUCUACUAAAUCUAGAUUGGCUCAGCUUCCUGUAGCCAUUACUCUAGAGUUCCCGAUUCACAUCUUCCAAUAUGGCCCCCUUGGUAUACAUGGAAGGGAGAACUCGUUGGGUGUCUCGUGUUCCAUCUUCCAAGAGGCGGGUUUUAUGUGGUUGCUGCUCGCUACAUGUCUCGACAAACUUCUUGAAGAUUGCCUCUCCAUAUACAACAUGACCCCUGGUUUUGUGCGUACCGUCGUUCCCAUGGACUGCCUGUUGAACCCUUUGUUCCUCGAACUCAGUUUUGAUUCUGUAGAAUGUGCUUCGAGGGACUCCAUAAAUGAUUCUCCAUGCCUUCAUGUAGACCAAACCCCUCUGGAAGACCAUGCCCCCCACCUGAUGUUCUGAAGCAUCAACAGAUGACCAUAAUGCCUCAUACACAAAAUUGCGAGCUGCCUUCCAGGACAAUGUCUUGUAUCUUGCUCUCUCCUCUUCAAUAGCAUCCCAAUCAGCAUGUUGACAGCACCUCCUCUUGCAACAAGCAACUGUCGAGACCAUUCGAACCUCCAUCGCCAUUUUCUGCCUUUUCGGUUCGUUGCUCAGAUCCCUUUGGCUGCGCUAUAGGAAGGUGUACUUUCUUUUCCCAUAAAGAGAUUUUCUGUCAUCAGUUGUAGUGGUGUUUGAUUGUGAAUCCUUCACAUUCUCAAACACUAAGUGCCUCAAUUUCCACCGCACAAUGCUUCCAAUAGUCAGACUGUUUUCUUCUGUGUCAACAACCUCUAAAAUCGCAACUCCAAUAUCAUCCCAGCCCAAUUCUUGAUUAGCAACUGCAUCUCUUGGAUCGACAACUGUGGCUAAGCCCUCAGCUACCACCUCCCCCUCGGGGUUGUUUAGAAACACCUUUGCCUGAAUCCAUGUAGCACGGUUUUUAAGAUCCACAGAGGGAACAUGCGUCGCACUUGCGCUGUCCCCAACAUCUGCUUUCUUCUGCAAAUUUUUCAAGGCAACAACAACAUUUACCCCGACGACCAUCUCUCCUUGUUCAAUAGCGACCACAUUCCCAUCGAAGACAGUCUCUACUGAUACAGCAGCAUUGCCUUCCCCAAGCCUUUGACAGUGUAUAACAAAGUUCCGAUCCAUAGAUACAAGGGUCCCUUUUGCAACUCUCUUCCCACCAUUCAAAAUGUAAACCUUUUCCCCAACCCUGAAGGCCAUUCUGAAAGUGCAGAAAAGAAGUUAAGACCAUACAAAAAAUGAUUGGAGAAUGGCCUAAAUCAUAACAUACCAAAUAGCAUGAGGCCACAUGCCAUUAUUCAAACAUGCUAUUGACACCCACGUGAAAUUUCGCAUUCACAAAAUUGGCAUGAGCCCUCAUGCCAUUAGUGGUACCACUAAUGGCAUGAGGCCUCAUGCCAUCUUNNNNNNNNNNNNNNNNNNNNNNNNNNNNNNNNNNNNNNNNNNNNNNNNNNNNNNNNNNNNNNNNNNNNNNNNNNNNNNNNNNNNNNNNNNNNNNNNNNNNNNNNNNNNNNNNNNNNNNNNNNNNNNNNNNNNNNNNNNNNNNNNNNNNNNNNNNNNNNNNNNNNNNNNNNNNNNNNNNNNNNNNNNNNNNNNNNNNNNNNNNNNNNNNNNNNNNNNNNNNNNNNNNNNNNNNNNNNNNNNNNNNNNNNNNNNNNNNNNNNNNNNNNNNNNAAAAAUGAUAGACCUAGGAAUGAGUUCGAGAAUUCAAAAAUAACACACGCUUGAACGUCACAUCAAAUCCUCUGACAAACCAGAUCUUAUGAUUCCUCUGACAAAUUUCAAACUGAGUAGCUUCUAGACUUUGCUGUCGGAGGUUGAACUUUGUCACAUCAUGUCCUUGCCUCGAUCCAGCUGUGCCAUGUCAGUGAUUCGAACUUUGCCAUGCCGUGUCAGCGAUCCGCGCCAAGAUUAUUCGCCGUGUAAAGGAAUAAUUAUGCUGUGUGUGUACGUCCAUUUAUGGCAAUAUAAGGCCACACGCCAUUCAAAGAAUAAUGCUAGUCGAGCAUUUUUUGGUGCAUUUUUGGGUUCAAAAUUGCAUGAGCCUACAUGCUAUAAAGUUUACUUGUACCAAAAAUAGAAACAGCUUUAUUUACUUGGGAAUUUAAGUGGUUGAGGCAUUUUUAAACUUACAAACACAUGCCUUACUUACAUUCCUUUGGUUGCUUAAAAUUCAAAAAUAUAUAAACAUUUCUUUUUGCAUUUUCAAUGUUUUCAAUUAUGGUUUUUGAUUUUCGCAGGACCAGCCUAGUAAUCUAUUUGCAUCCUGUCAUGUUUAUAGCUAGCUUUCGUUUGUCCCCUUCGCUAGCCUGAGAUACAUCUGCUCGGCAUCUGCCUCUUACAGCAUUUGCCCAGAAAGGGCAUCUUUCUUCACGCAGCAUUUGCCACAUGUUUAGGGUUUAGGGUUUAGGGUUUAGGGUUUAGCAAUUCAGUAGCUUGAUAAACAUGCAAAUACAGAACUUAAUGCAAAAUCCUUUGAUAUGUCACAAUGCCCCUAGGACCAUAAACACAUUUCAAUAGAGAGGGUCCUUUCAUUUCAUAACUCCUUACGUAGAUCUUGGUGAAACCAGAGUUAAUGAAGUUGGUUUCUUGUGAUCCCGCAUCUGAUUGUGAUGUCCCUUUGCAGUGUCGAUGGAAAGGUCAAUGCACACCAAACUGUAGAAUCUUGGAGCAAAAUAACGGUCGGAUCUAUGGCAAAUGCCCUUGAAACAUUGUAAGGCUCGUGUGGUCUCAUGUGGUGUCCGAUCGAGAUGCUUCUUUGCAGGGUCAUCAAGAAGGACAUUGUAUACCAUUCUUUAAAAUCUAGUUGCAAUCUAACGGUUGGAUCUCCAGGAAACUCAAAACAAUCUCACGCAUGUCAGAAUAUUCUAGGAAUAUACUCCUAUGUGCUCCUGAAAAUGGCAUGCGGCCCCACGCCAUUCAAGAGAUAACGCCAGAUGACACCGAGCAUUUUUUGGUGCAUUUUUUGGGAUCAAAAUUGCAUGAGCCCACACGCUUGAACGUCACAUCAAAUCCUCUGACAAUUUAUUUAGCUGAACAUCUGGCAUUUUUGGAAAUACAAGAUGCUUUGGAAUAUCCAAUCAUGCAUGGUAUAAAUAUAGCGAGGGUAUUAAAUGAUAUCCCAAUCAUGAUCUUUCUUUUGGAUUUCGCGUGCAUGCAGUCCGAGGAAUGAUGACGUUGCGGAUUUCUCUUGGAUUUCACGCAUGCGCGCGGCGAUCCAGAAAUUAAUGGUGGCGCCCAAGUCCGAGGAAUGAUGACGUGGCGGGAUUACCAACCGUCGUGACAUUUCGCGCGUGUGAGGUUAGGUUUUGCAUUUUGCUUCGUACUCGCGCUCGCACACUUGCGCUCGCAUCGCACUCCCACUCGCGCUCCCACUUCUCUACAGGUUUCUCAUGUGCAUCGGCAUCCACUCGCGCUUGCAUCACACUCGCGCUCGCAUCACGCUUGCAUCGCGCUCGUGUGCAUCAGCGUCCACUUCAAGACACACCCAGUUUGUAACUUCGCCGCCAACUCCGCCGCCCACUCCACGCAGCCCACUUGGCGUCCCGAGAGAUUUCAGCGCCGCUCUCCAACUGUAAGUGGCAGAGUAGCCUUGCUGCUACGAUCCGCUGCACACACAGUGCACAUUCGCUAGCGAGUCCGGUUGUCACGCCUCCAUUCGGCUUCAAAUGGUAAGUCUUUUAGGCCAAGUAGAAAAUGGCAUGAGGCCACAUGCCAUUCAAUAGCAACAUUGGCAUGCACCGAUUGGGCUCUCGAGUGCAGUCCGGUUACUGAUGGCGUGUAGCCUCACGCCAUCUUAGGAUGCAGCCUCAAGACAUCUGAUGCAGUGGUGAAUGGCGUGUGGCCUCACGUUAUUUCCAGCUACUAGCUUUUCAUCUGUCAGCUCUAAUUGUUGUGCAUUUCUGAACAGGCGAGGAAUUGCGUUCUUCUUCCAGCCACUGUCAAUGUGGAUGCAGAGAAGGGGGAGGAGCUCACCAGUUGGACUUUCGGGAUGGAAGGCGAGGAUCUGAGGCUGUACAACACAGAUGGUGGGAGAAAAGAAUGCAUGGGGAUCCUCAUCCAAGUGACAGACACUCCAUGCAGUUCCAUGCAAGAAUAUGGACUGGCACUUGUGGUAGAGACAGCGUCUGCCUUCAAGAUCCACCUUGCACAUCCUAGCGGCUUCCCGGAGGGGGGCAGCGGCUAUGAGGAAUUCCUAGAGGGAGCUAGGGAGAGGUUGUCCAGGAGGCCCACAAUUUCAAAGACGCUGCGGGUCUAUGAAGAUCACAUGGAAUCCACGGACCUCACCUACGGCGAUGUUCAAAAACUAUAUUCCAACAUUGAGCCGUUGAGAGUGCCUCCAGUUCGCGAAGCGAAGGGGAAGGGGGUCGAUUUGGAAACUACCCCGAUGCAGAAAAGGGUGGUCAAGCUCAAGCCGACGUCCGACUCUCCUCCAAAAAAGAAGCUACUCGGUGAUGCCAUUGCCUCGGGUUCGAACACUACACCCACCAAAAAGAAGAGCCGCAAAGAGCAGAAAGAGCAAGAAGAGGCAGCAAAAAUUGUCACAGAUAAUAGUACUUGUUACUAUUCCAACAAAGUAUAUACAAUCGACGUGAGCCAUAUCGACAUCCAAAGCAAAUACAACCACAGGCUAGUAUCUGAUGAGUGGGUGGAGAAACUGAAGCAAAAGAUGCUGGCAAGUCCAGUAACACCCGACAUUGCAGACGUAAUCCCCUACUACCGAACAAUGAAGGGCGAGACGAGGUUUCUAAACUUGAUCAAUAGGAAGGUGUUGGACGAUCAGAACAUCCGGUUUUAUGCCGUCUCCGGGCAGCAUUCUAGCUUGGUGAUGCAAGAGAUAGUUGUGGAUAUUAUGGUGGGCGAGGAAGUGAAGAAAGUCUUCAAGACAAGAGUUGUCCGCCUGAUAAAAGGCAACUCGCCCCUCCGAUCUAUCAUAUACAUCUCCCACGCGCAGAAUGUCAAGAAAGAAACGUGCUACAAAUCGGGUCUGCACGAGACAUUGGCACGAACACGGAAGCUUUGGGUUCAACUGAAGAAGCCACAAAAACCAGGACAAGGACGUGCACUAGCAACUAGCGCCUGGCAGGUAAGCCUCGUUGCAUGUGGCAUAGCAUGUGGCCUCACGCCAUUUCCAUUGUAGGAAUUCUCGAGUCUUCUCUCGAAAACACUGGGGGUCAAUGACACACUCAGCAUCCAUAACAUUCUACUCGCGACAAAAGUUGUUUUUGACAAAUGGGUAGAUGUGCUGAGGAGGUACCAUGACGGGGAGUUGCCAAACUCAAUGGGUGUGGAGGACGGCCGGAAGCCCAAUGAUUUGAAGCUCAACGCCUUGCGUUUCUCGCGGUCUCUAGACGACGACGACCUUCUGACAGUGGCUAAUGCUCUUCUACGUGGUGAGGUAGUCUUCAACAAGACCAAAAUGACUCCCGGCCAUAUUGUGACAUACGAGGACUUGUGCACGACUCUGAGAGCUCGUGCGCUAUUGAAGGAUUGGAUCUUCGAGCAAGUGGCCAUGGAGAGGGUGAGCAUCGACACCACGCAAGAGAUGAUGGAAGCGCUGGAUUUGUCAAAUGAAGACAUCGAUGACUACGUGAAGGGGGCCCCCAAGUUCAUCGAUCUGCUGCGGGAUGCCACAAAAAGUAAAGCUGAGAAGUUGGAUCAGUAUCCAAAUUUCAUUAAGAGUGAUGUCGAGCGCCGGCUUCAUCGACCCCGCAGCAGAGGCCUAUCGAGAACCUUACCGGGUAUACUUGAAUUCGGAUGAGGAUCAAAGGUGGAGGAGCAUCGUUUCCCACGGAGAUGAGUAGGUCAAGAACAUCUUUUGUGUGAUGGACUUCACAAACGAGGAGAUCACUCAUGCAGACAAAGUCAGCUCCAUCAUUAACUUAAUGGUGGGACUUGCGGAGGUGGAAUCUUCAGUCCACUAUAUGAUCUACGACUCCGAAUCCUAUCACAAGUUCUGGAAGGCCUUGAAUGAGGUGAAGGCUCGGUUGAAAGGCAAGGAGAUGCGGGAGAUCCAUGGGAUAAUGGCUAAGAAGAAGAUACCGACGAAUGUCCGCAUCUUCACACUCGCCCUUGUUAUUGGUCCUGUAGCAGAGUGGGACUGGAGUGACUUCCCAGCUUCGUUCGACAAGGCCAAUCGAAUUGAUCUGAGGGAGGUCAAUUUACCCCUGCCUGAGGAACUGAAGACGGCUAUGGAGCUUUCGAAUCCAAAGAAAGCUCCAGGUGCAGCAUGGGAAAUGCUUAGCUGGGUCUUCAACGCAAUAGCGGGUGGGUCACCUGCUUCCGACUCCAAGGGCAAAUGCGUUGUCGAGUACAACUGCGGCGGACUAUUCUUUCGAGCCGCACUACUCAAGGGUGUCCCGUGUGUUGCGGUGACAAACUCCAUUGAAGAGGUGACUUCAAUGGAGCAUAUAAUUACAGUUGCCAAAGAAAAACAGUAUCUUCUCUGCGAACCUGGUGAGUACGCACUUUAAGUUUAAAUGUUAUCUCACAAGCUCUGUAUGCAGGAGCGUGGCCACCCCCAAAUGCUGAAACGGCAUUAACAGCUACUGUUGAAGAUACCCAUGUUGGGCCGAGCUCACAACCUGCACAAGGUAAGGUCACAUGAGGCCUCACGCCAUUUUGAUUAUAGAUCGUUGUGAAUAUUCAGACACGAGGACUAAAAAGCGCACUGGUGGCGUGUCGAAGAAGGACAAACAGACAAGCAAUAGGAAAAAAGGAGGUACAAAUUAUAUUUGCAAUGGCGUGUGGUCUCAUGCCAUUCCUUGCAGGAGACACUUCUUCAAAGGCAAAACAGGCAAGCACCAGCCAAGCUCAAACUGACAGUGGUCAUAAAAAGCGAAAGCACGUUGGACAGUCGUCGGGAUCAGAGGCAUUUGAUUCGAAAAGGAAGAAGGGCAACGAAAAGAUGAUAGGUAAUGCCUCGCGGAUAUGGCGUAUGUGCUCAUGCCAUUCAUUGCAGAUCAAGGGCUGAGUGAAAGCAGGUAGUCACCACCUCCUGACUCAGAUUCCUAUGGCGGACUCCCCUUCCCCAAUCUCAAUGGAGAGGUACAAUGGAUGAGGGAUGCUUUUCAAGUCAGGGCCACGUUUUUCUCAUCUCGUCGUCUUCGAAGGGUGCAAGAACGUGCAGAAACCAUGUUAAGACAAUCGGGUGAGGAUACAGUCCUAGGUCACGCACUAAAACAGGCUAUGGAUGUCUUGUAUUUUGAGAUGGAGACUCGGCCAGAUGAUUUUCCCAAGAUGGUCCUGGAAGAACAAGCCAUCCAGCCUGAGCAGCCUAUGGAAGAAAUGCAGGAGGGGGAUGAGGAGCCAGAGAAAGAUAAUGAGCAGGAAGAGCAGAAGGACGAAGAGGAGGACAAAGAAGAGGAGGACGAAGAAGAGGAGGACGAAGAGGACUUGGAUGGUCCUCACAAUGGUGACGAUCACAAUAACGACGACGACGAUGAUGACGACGAUGGCCAGCCUGAGGUGGCCAAAGAGCAGCGGAGGAAGGUCAUACAAGACAAACCAUCAGGUAAAUAAUAGUACAUCCAUUCCUAACCUUUUACCAUUUCUAACAUUGUCCAUGUAGGUCGCAGAGCAAAUGGUAAGUAGAGAUUAUUCAGUUGAAUUUACAAACUCUAGCCUUUAGUGUCGAGGAAGGAUAGUGCCAAGCAAGGGUCGAAACGUAUGUCCAAUCCUUCAGAAUCAGCAGUGCGCCCAAGUGAUAUCGGUCCUAGUUCCUCAAUAGCAGUUGAUGGUAAAUACAAUAUAGUCGAUUCAAUGUGCUAAUGAGUUUGUUUUUAGUAGCACGGGAGGAUACCAUCUCAAUCGAAGGGAGAUAUUUGGACAUGCAUAUGGAUCCGCCAGUGGACUCUACUUGGCUGCAAGAGUCAUCAGAGCUGGUGGAGGCUACUAUCCAUAUCAACGCCAAGCAAGCUGACCACGCUCCACUUGAUGCUGCCCAUACCAUUGAGUCAAUCUUGUCCACGUAUCCAACUGACGGUGACCAGGCGCCAUUGGACCUGCAUGAGGCCGCCCCAGCCGCCGAGCCGGUCGUAUCCUCAUUUCCAACGGACUCAACGUGUGCCCAAUCGUCUGACUACGCGCCGUUGGAACCUCCCUACACCGCCCCUGCUGCUUGUUCGGUCAUGUCCACUUUGCUAACGGAGGCACCAGCUGAAAUGGCGUGUGAUCACACGCCAUCGGAACCACCCCAUGCCACUGUUGAGCCAGUUGUACCAGAGUCUACAGCUGAAAUGGCAUGUGCCCACACGCCAUCGGAUGCGAUUGACCCCACAUUGCAGAGGAGAGUAUUUCCGCCCUUCACGUUUCCUCGACCAAAACCCUCUCAACGACUAUCGGGAGCAUCAUUCGCUAAUAUUGUAGAUGGUAAAAUUGACUUGUACCAUUUUUUAUGCUGACGCUUUUUCAUUUCAGAGUCACGGCGAAGGUACUGUAUCAUUUUUGAUUUGAACGGUGUCUUUUUCUCCCAUGAGCGUGGCUCGUCCUCGAAUGUCAUUGCACCCUCCAAAGCCUGCGGUUGCAAGUUGGUCAAAAGAGACAGAUUCACAUUAAUCACACGGGAGAAACUACAGGAUCUAAUAAUGACCAUGCGACACUUAAAACAGAGGGCCGGGUUCAAUUUGCAAUUGGGAGUUUGGACAUCCAUGAUGCGCCACAAUGCAUUAACGUUGCUACAGAUGAUGCACGAUCAGAUGCGAGUAAUAUUACCAUUUGACUUUCUCCUAACGCAGGAGGAUUGCUUGACUAUGGUCCAUGUGAGGGGUAGCAAGCCCAUCUUCGUCAAGCCAGAGGCUGUAGUGAUGAACCGGACUGCUAGGUCAAGUGAAAUCCUCAUCAUCGAUGACUCGCCGAUUAAAACUGCAGCGAACACGCACACAUAUGCAGUGCACCCCAUCUCUUGCAGUAUGGAAACUAGGGAAAUAAAACCGUAUGUUCUGGGGGACCUUGCAAAACGGCUUGGAGCGAUGGUGAUAGAGAACCGGCCAGUCCAGGAGGUGGCUGCAGAAAUCAACCAAAUGGCAGAUGGAACGGUAUAUCAGAAGCCAUUUGAUCGGACAGACACCAGUCAUCAUUUAUGGCAUGUAUAUUGUCUAGCCAAGCACUAUCCGCAUCUCCAUAAUCUGCUCAACCGGAUGGGUUCUUCGACUACUGAACAUGAGCGUGGACGUAUUAGAGAAGAGAUGGCAUUACUAUUGGGUUUAAAUCCUGAUAGUGUGGAGAGUGAUGAAAUUCCAAGAUUAUUGUAUAGGCGUUGAAGGCAAAAAAUAACAGUCUGAGAUGGCAUGUAUUUAUUUAAAAAUGUAACUUAUUAUGGCAUGGGGUUCCAUGCCAUUGUAUUAAUAUUAAAAGACAAUUCUUUGAGAGGAUUUGCAUUAUACUAGAAGUGUUAUAGCAUGUUAUUGGAAGUCUACAAAGUUGUUUUAUUAAUAAGGGGAAAGUAAAGAUUGAAUGGGGACUUGGGCUCCACCUAGACUCGGAGCAACUGAGCCAAUAUUAAAAGGAUGGAAAGAAAUUGGACGAUGAUGACAAGGAGAAGAGAGAGGUGAAGUAGUGGCAGGGGGAGGAGAAGUGAUUGAGUAGACAUUUCCUUGUUUAAAAUAAAAUGGCAUGUGCCUCAAUGCAGUUGAAUUUUGUUAUAUUUAUAUACUAUAUAAAGGUUUGGAAACCUUAUUUUACAAGUGGGAUAAUGACAAUUCCCACUUUAACGAAAUAGAGCUUAGUGGAGAAGGAAGAGGAGCUUGAGAAAGGGCAUCAGCAUCAGCCAUAGAACUCCCUGGGCGAUGAACAACAUCAAAAUCAUAUAUCUGAAGCUUCAAAGCCCAUCGAGCCGUACGACCAACUAGGUUCUUCCGCUUCAAUAAUGAAAUAACAACAGCAUGGUCACCUUCAAGUAACGUCUGAGAACCAUGUAGAUAGGCAUGAAGUUUCUCAAAACCCUAGACUGUUGCUAAACACUCCUUCUCCGUCGUGGAGUAGUUCAUCUCCGCUGAUUGUAAUGUACCGCUUAUGUAUGCAAUGGGAUGGCGCUGACCCGGCACACUCGAGCUCUCUUGCAUCAACACACCUCCAAGACCAAUGUCAGAAGCAUCCACGGGCAAAAUAAAAGGUCAAGUGUAGUCAGGAUAUGCCAAAACCGGAGGAGUCGUCAAUAGUUUUUUGAGAUCCACAAAUGCUCGCUCACAAUCCGGAGAAUAGAUGAAAGAUGAUGUUGAUGACUUCAGCAACGCUCGCAAUGGUGUAGUGCGAUCGGAAAGAUGAUCCACAAAACGACCGAGAUACUGCACCUUACCCAAAAAGAGCUGCACAUCAUUCACACACUUUGGUGUAGGGAACUUUAGAAUAGCCACAAGUUUGUCAGGAUCAACUUGCAAACCCUCACGAGAAAUACGGUACCCAAGAUAAGUUGUGUCCUUGGACCCAAACACGCACUUUGACCCUUUCAGUUUUAAACCAACGUCGCAUAGCCGAUCCAACACUUUACAAACAUCAUGAAAGUGCUCCUCCCACGUCCCCUCCGAGUGGAUCAAGACAUCAUCAAUGAAGUGAGAAGUCACCUCCGGCAUAUCGCAAAGAACCUCAUCCAUCAUCCGCUGGAAAGUUGCUGGAGCAUUGUUUAAACCAAACGGCAUCACCAAGAACUCGUACAAACCAAAUGGUGUACGAAAAGUAGUCUUAGGAAUAUCUUCUUCGGCCAUCGGUACUUGCCAAUACCCAGAAGCAAGAUCUAGCUUGGUGAACCAACGACUUCGCCCCAGACGAUCCAAAAGAUCAGCAGUGUGAGGAAGAGGAUACACAUCUGGGAUUGUCACUUCGUUUAACGGACAAUAGUCGAUGCAGAAACGAAUACUCCCAUCAGGCUUCGUCACAAGAUGAGGUUCACAUGCCCAAGGACUCCGCAACUUCCGAAUAACACCCUUCUCUAGCAUUUCCUUAACAUUUGCUCGUAAAAUCUUGAUCUCCUUAGGUGACCAACGAUGAACAGGAACCUUGAUUGGACGAGCAUCCCCAAUUGGAAUCGGAUGAUGUGUGGCAAUCUUGGCCCUAGACGAUAAGUCAAAUUCAAAGAGAUCAGAAUACUCCUUCAUGAGCCGGUCAACUGCUGCAACACAAAAAUCGUCGGAGGGAUCGGAAAAGGGAAAAGCAGAACAAGAUGGAAACACAAAAGGAAAGAGUGGGGGAACAAAAGUAACAGAAGCAGAGGUAGAAGUAGAGGGACGAAGAGGUAUGGAAGUGAGAGGAAUGGAUGAAACAUAAGGAAGUAUGAGACAAGGGGGAGCAAAGUCACACUUGGCAUGAUUGCACUGCAACCAAUCCAUACCAAGAAUGAGGUCAAAAGCUUGACUCGGCACCACCCACAACGGCUGCAACUCAAGUUUGAGAUCGCCCACACACACAACCAGGUCCACCUCAUCCCGUGCACAUGCAUGUGUACAGCCGUUGCCAUAAAGAAUGAAAACUGGUUCCGCCGCACGGCGCAAGUGUAAAUGACAACGUGUGGCAACAGGUCAAGCAAUAGAAGAUAAACUCGAACCUGUAUCAACCAACACGGAGAGAAUAAUAGGAGACCUCUUGUUAUAAAAACGAGCUUGGAAAGUACACACUAGAUGAACCGGUGCCGAGUGAACCCCUUGAUGAUACUCCCGAAAGAAAGAUGGAGGGGUCCCUAACUUAUUCGUGCAAGGUCCCUCCGUUACUCACGCGACUCCUCGUUUCCCAGAUGCAUCUCGGUGUCCAGACCUUCCACUGCAGCAACACCCAUGGGACGUUGCUGACGCCAAGGUCUCCACCAAGGAAAUGGAGGUCGCCAAUCCGGAAAAUGACGGCAACGCCGAUAAGUAUGACCAACUUCAUCACAUGCCCAGCAGCAAACAUCACGGCCACGACCAUGUCCUCGCACUUUUCCUUGGACUCAAGCAGCAGCAGCAUCAACCUCCAUUGGAACAGGACCAUCACCCAUAGGAAAUGGAGCAGAAGGACGUGCAGCGAGAAGUGGAAGAGGUGACGUCUCAUAACAUUGUGCCAAGCGAAGAGCAUCGUCAAGGGUGGCAGGAGCAAGUGCAUGCACAAGGCCGACAAGAUCUUGAUGAAGUGCUGGCCACAACAUUCCUAGCUUGAUCCGCUCCGACAUAUUUGGCUCCGCACGAAGCAAAAAACUUUGGAAACGAACGCCAAAUUGCAUCACCAACUCAGAUGGCCCUUGGUGAAGAUGAUGCAAUUGUUGGAAAGCAUCAUCACAAUCAUCGGCAUGUCCAAAGGCGCGUUUGAAGACGUACGGGAGAACACUCCAAUCCCCACGAGUGGCUGUGCUCAAACCAUUGUACCACUGCAAUGCCGUCCCUUGGAGACACGUGGGAAACUCAUGCAACCGUCGAGCAUUAUCCCAAGAAUGAUAUGUGGCAAUCACCGUGAAGUGAUUAAACCAAUGGUACACAUCAUCCCCAGGAUUCCCCCGAAAGAACUCCGGCCGAACGCGAGGAUUGGCACCAAGAGCAGGAGGAGUUGGACCACGUGUUGUGAAUGCCGCCAUCAAUUGAGUUUGGUUGUUCAAUUGCAAGUGCAUAGCAUCAAGCAAUUGGACCAACUGCUGCUCGAGAGUCAAAGGAGGAGAUUGCUAAUCUGCCAUGGAGACGAAUGAAAAAGAAAGAGCAAAAGAAGAGAAAUGACAAAAAGCUAGAAGGAAAUGGUAGAUCUAGACAAUGCAAAAAGCUAGAUCUAAACCAAAAUCCUGAAAGGAAAGAACAAAAAGAAGGAAAUGGAAAAAGCUAGAUCUAGACAAUGCAAAAGUUAGAUCUAAACCAAAAUCCCAAAUCUAAGCACUCCUCAAGGACAAUCAAAGGUGCCCCUCAACUCCACCAAUGUGAGUGUUUGGAAUAUGGAAAGGGAAUACAGAAAUGUGCAUAUUAAUUAGCCCAAAAACCCUAGCUUAUAUAUAGGAGCGAGUGGUCCAGAUUGAAACCAAUCCGACAGCUACCAAAAUCCCACUAUGCUAAUAUUAGUAUACGGCAUCAUAACCGUACACUUGGCCCUCACAGCACGAAAAAAAAAGGCAAAUUUAGACUUAAGUAAUUUUCAAAAACCCCAACCAAAUCUAAAGUGUUGGGGUCAUUUUAAAAAUUAUUCCGGAAAUAUUCGAGAAGAUUCUUAGGUAAGGCUUUGGCGUGCCUGCGAAGAUCUGAUCUCGCGGCAUGGCCCGAGAAUUAAAACAUGGCAGCAGCCGCGGAGAUUUAUGAGGAGAGGCCUGAGGAGGUGGAGGAAGCAGGUAAUCCGAUUUUAGGGUUCGAAGAGGAAAUAGAGCUCUGGGAAAUGGGGCCGAUUGAGAUGGAUCUGGGCCUCCUCGUGCUCUAUCUUCACCAACAGGAGGAGGAAGAGGUGCCCAUGCGGGGUGGCCGGGGUUGGCCGCGGAUCUCUGAAUUUGGCCCCGGGAGGAUUAGGCCAUGGUUCCGAGGCGGCUCGAGGAGGGGGUGCCCCAGGAGGAGGAGGCCAUGGUUCUACUCUAGGAGGAGGAUGCUGCGGUUCUUCUCUGGGAGGAUGAGGCCAUGGAUCAUCGCCAGGAGGAGGCCAAGCCUCGGUGAUAGGAGCCAAAGCCACAGCGGGAGGAGUCCAAGCCACGCCCAGAGGAGCCCAAGCCACGUCUGGAGGAGUUCCCCUGGAGCACAGCGUGCCGGGAGCUCCAACUGCUUUGAGAACCAGAGAUGGCGGUGAGUUUACAUUUCUUAGGUUGCAUGCAUGCAUGAGUGAUUGAGAGCUCCCGGCAGGGUCAUAAAGAAGAGGGAGAUGACAGUGUCCCCGAUCUGGAACAAGACCUAGAUGCUCACAUGGAGGAGCUCGACCACGAGGCUGUCCAGUUUGUGGAUACCUCGGGUUUUGCUGCACCUGCUGCUGCGAAGAGAACCCAGGGAAAGAACUGGAACCAUGCUGAGACCAUGGUCCUGAUUGAUCUAGUUCAGGAAAAACAUCUCGCGAAGAUUGCGGGGGAGGGAGGAGCAGCCAGCAUGUUCUCAUUACGAAGACACAGCGCUGGAAUCUCAUCUUUCACCGUUUUGCUUUAGGGUUUAAAUGCACAUUGCGGAUGACAAGAGCCCCGCUGCCAGAUGAAGAAGACCGUGAAUUUGAGGUUUGUUGGUGUUAGGCGCCAGCUUUGACCACUUGGUCAACAUUAGUCAAAGGGAGGCUCAAGGGUAUAUUAAGGCAUGUUAGGGUAAGGGAUUUAACCUACCCUAGGGCUCAUAGUGGAGUUUUUGAUGUAGUUCAGGGGUGGUUGGGUGGUGAAGAACCUCAAGAGGUGGUGUAGCAUAGUCUAUGGCGACUAGAUCUCUGUCUUUUUGCGCCGGAUCAUAACAUUAGUAUUAAAGGAGUUGGUUGUGAUGGGUGACCAAGUUGAACGCUAGAAUCCUAUUGCCAAUGGUGGUGCCGACGAUGGUGCCGAUGAAGCUGCAGAGAUUUGAACCAUUCAAGAUGUGGUUCGUGAGCUGCGAGCCCUUAUGGCCAAUCUUCUUCUCACGGUAAGUCAGAUACUAAAAAGUUGCGCGAGGAUGACGAAAACGACCAUUCCGGUCAGACUUUCAAUCAUUGCUCGUCAGCUUAACUGUGUGUGGAACAAGAUGGAGCUUAAGGAUACGCAUGAAUCAACUUUAAUGCUAGAGGGCAUGUUCCAUAGUGAUUUAAUGCAGAUUUUACUGGAUAGUGGGAGCGAUGACAACUUUGUUUCGGCAAAGUUUGUUGUGGAGCAUGGCCUGGUUGAACGCGGAGUUCUUCCAUACACAGUGGAAGGUGCAGCUACCUCUGCUCAGCAUUUCGAUGCUUGUGUCGAGGGGCUGGAAGUGUUGGCUGGCAAAACCACACUUGUGGAGACUUUUUAUCUCGCGGAUAUCCAUUGUGUGGAUCUCAUUCUUGGGAUGCCAAGGUUGGUGAAAGUGGAUCCAAAGAUAAAGUGGAGUAUUAAGCGUAUUUCACUGAAGUAUGGUGGCAUUAAAGAUGUGUGGUUUGGCGAGGGCGUUCAGCCACCAGUUGUUAUGCUCUCUACUACAUCUUUGAAGCGGGCUUAUCGUAAUGGAAAAGCACUUUUGAGUUACUUGUUGUUUGUUCGUGAUUUGAGGGACUAAGGCACAUGUGGGGGAGAAGCAGCAGUACGGGAUGUACUUGACGAGUUUUCUGAUGUUUUUCCAUUUGAACUUCCUCAUAGAUUGCCUCCGUUAUGAGGUGUGGAGCAUGGGAUUACAUUGGAGCCGGGGACGCGGCCAAUUUAUUGGCAUCCAUUUGGGUUAAGUUAUGCGGAGGAGCAAGAAGUUCAAUGACAAAUCAAGGAGUUACUUGAGUUUGGAUUUAUUCAGCUAAGUAAGUUUCCGUUUGGUGCUCCGGUCUUGCUUGUGAAGAAGAAGGAUGGUUCAAUGCGAAUGUGUAUUGACUACCACGCUUUGAACAAAAAGACAAUGAAGGAUAAGAUGCCGAUGCCACGUGUGGAUGAUAUCCUAGACAAGCUUGAUGAAGCACGAGUGUUUACCAAGAUUGGUCUGAGGAGUGGAUAUCAUCAGAUUGCAAUGGAUGAUGCAUUUAUCUCCAAGACGGCAUUCAACACAAGCUUCGGACAUUUUGAGUUUACAGUUAUGCUGUUUGGUUUUACGAAUGCACUAGCCACAUUUACUCGGUUGAUGACAGAGGUAUUUGGGCGUUAUCUUCAUGAGUUUGUGGAGAUUUUCCUGGACGAUAUUCUUGUUUUUAGCAAGAAUAUGGAGGAGUAUAAGGUGCAUUUGCGCAAAGUUCUUUUGUUACUCCGAGACAGCAAACUUUAUGUGAAGAAGAGCAAAUGUGAAUUUGCAAAGUUGGAGUUGGAAUAUCUAAGCCAUAUUGAAACUGGCCUACACCGAUAAUAGUGGCCGAGUUAUGCAGUUUUCUUGGUAUGGCUAGUUACUACCGAUGUUUCCAGCAUAAGUUUGCAGAAGUGGCUAUUCCUUUGACACGGUUGUUACGCAAGAAUGUGCCAUUCGAGUGGAAGAAGCCACAAGAGGAGAGUUUUGUGGAGCUGAAACGAUUGUUGAGUGAGACUCCAGUGCUUCGCAUUGUCAAGACCCCUGACAAGAUCAAGACUGGAAAAUGCAAAAAGACAAAGAGAAAAGCUAGUGGAAACAAAGAAGAGGCCUUAGACUGGCGUUGAUUCAAAUUGUGGAGAAAUGGAACAAGGCUAACCUAUAUAUACUAUAGGUUGAUGAAGCUCCACCACUCUUGGAUCGAGGACGGCCUAAAUAUAGCUGAGGUCAAGGAGGCGCCACAUCAUCAUUAGGAAUGUGGCUCGAGACUCAGGAAUCGGGAAGUGUCUUGAGAGUCAGGAAUAGGGAAGUGUCUUGAGAGUCAGAAAUGUGGUUUGCAGGUCAGGAAUCCGGCGAGAGUCAAGAAUGUGGCAAGAAUUGGAGGAUUCCUGACAGCACCCCCUCCUCAAGAACGAGUGGAACAAGGAUGUGAACGAGAACGAAGAGGAGGAUGAGAUGAGCGGCGAGGGAUGGGAGAUGGAGGAAAAGAAUGAGGACUGGGACGAGAAGGAUAGCGGCGGUGGAAGUCCUGAACAAGGUCAGGAGAAUGAAUCAGGUUGUCCGCAGGUUCCCAAGUGCGUUCCUCAGGUCCGUAACCCUUCCACUCCACCAGAUAGUAGAGUUUAGACCGUGAAAUCUUGGAAUCAAGGAUGUCCUGAACCUCGUACUCAGACCCAUCCUCGAGCUGCACUAGUGGAGGCGGAGGAAUGACCCGAUUUGGAAUAGGAUUGGGAAUAUAAGGCUCAAGGAGAGAGGAGUGAAAAAUGGGGUGAAUUUGAUAUGAGGAGGGAAGUGCAAGGCGAUAAGUGAUAGGAUUAAUGAUGGCAGUGAUAGGGAAAGGACCAAGGCGUUUGAAAUCGAGUUUUGGACAGGGCCUGGUGGUGGAGAUAUUUCGCCUGAGGAGCCAGACUUUAUCCCCGAUAUUGUAAGGGGGACAAUCCUGAUGAUGGACAUUGGCAAAUGUUUUGUGAGAUUCCUAAGCACGAUGGAGGUGGAAGGAGAUGGAGUUGUGGAUUUCCUGGAGGUUGGAGAUAAAUGCCUCAGAGCGGGGAUUUGAACGAGAGAAUUCAGAUGGAGAAGGAAGUGAGAGAUUGAAUCAAGGAUUUCGGCCAGAGUUUGCAAAGAAGGGGGAAACUCGAAGAGAGGAGUGAACAGAGUUGUUAUAGGAGAACUCAGCAAGAGGAAGGAUAUCGAACCAAUUAUCCUGAUGAUAGUUGAUGAAGCACCUCAAGAAUUGUUCCAACGUCUGAAUCAUUCGCUCGGACUACCCAUCAGUUUGAGGAUGAUAUGCCGAAGAGAGGUUGGCCUUCACUCCAAGCAGCUGCAAAAACCGUUGCCAGAAAUGAGAGAUGAACUGAGGCCCCCGAUCUGAAACCACAUCUGUAGGAAUCCCAUGAAGUCGGAAAAUUUCCCUGAAUACCAGUUUUACCAUGUCCUCGCCCAAAAACUCCUUGGUACAUGGCAAGAAGUGCGCCAUCUUUGUGAAGUGAUCCACCACGACUAAAAUGCUAUUGAAGCCUCCAGAACUCGGAAGAUCACUCAAGAAAUCCAUGGAGAUGGAUUCCCAAGGACCUGAAGGGACCGGAAGGGAACGAAGCAAACCUGAAGGAAGGUGGCGAGGUACCUUAUUCCGGGCACAAGUGUCACAGGAGGUAACAAAAGCUUUGAUGUAGUCGUCCAUGUGAGGCCACCAAAAGUCCCGUGCAACUAGCUCAUAGGUUUUCGCAAUGCCGAAGUGACCAGCAGUUGGGCUAUCGUGGCACGCCAUCAGGACCAACCUUUGAGCAUCACCUUCAGGAACGUAAAGCUGCUCCCCAUGGUACAAUAAACCAUCUAAGAACUCGAACUCAUCAAAUCACCGGCAGUCGGGAGUCACUGGGUGUCCAGCUUGAAGAUGGGGGAAAAUGUUGCUGGCAAGGUUGUCAAAUUGAAGAUCGCUUCUAAUCAUGUCCAUCAAGGAGGAGUCUUGAGGGGCCAGGGAAAUUGCCAUAACUUGAAGCCGAUCAGGACCGAGGAUAACUUGAUCCUGUUGAUCGAAGGCAGGAUUACCAGGCCUGAGACUGAGAUAGGAGCGCCUUGAAAGAGCAUCAGAAAGGCCUUGAAACUUUCCAGGUCUGUACUUGAUAACAAAGUCAAACCGAGUUAGGAAUUGUGCCCACCUUGCUUGACGACGGCUUAAAACUCGGGAAGUGGCAAAGUACUUGAGAUUUUUGUGAUCCGUCCAAACUGUUGUUUGAUGGCUCGCCCCCUCCAAGAAACGGCACCACUCUCCAAAGGAAUCCACGAUGGCAAGGAGCUCCUUGUCGUGGAUUUCGUAAUUGAUCUCCGCAGGCUGGAAUUUCUGAGAAUGGAAAGCGACCGGAUGAAGUUCGUGAUCUGCUCCGAGUUGAGACAGCACAGCACCAAUGGCAAAGUCGGAGGCAUCAGCCUCAAUGAAGAAAGGUUGUGAGGAAUCAGCAUGGAUCAAGACAGGAGCAGAACUGAAGGCCGCCUUGAGUGUGUCGAAGGCCUGCUGGGCAGCAGCAGACCAAGAGAAGGGAACAUCCUUGCGAGUGAGAUGUGUGACAGGAGGGACAAUGUCAGAGUAGUGAUCAAUGAAUUUGCGGUAGAAGUUGGCGAAGCCAAGGAAAACCUGAACGUCCGACAUUGAUUGUGGAGGCUCCCAUUCAAGAAUAGUCUUGACUUUGGCAGGAUCCAUCGUGAUACCCUCAGGAGUGACAAUGUACCCAAGGAACUCCACAGACUGCUAAUCAAAGGAACAUUUCUCAAGCUUCGCCUAUAGGCCGUGUUCUCGCAGCUUCGCUAGCACCUUGCGUACAUGUUCGUCAUGCUCCUCCUGAGUUUUUGAGUAGAUGAGGAUGUCAUCGAGGUAGAUGAUCACCAUCUGAUCAAGAAACUCCCAAAAGACGUCGUUCGCCAUGUGUUGGAAAACUGCUGGAGCAUUUGUCAAGCCAAAUGGCAUGACAGUGUACUCGAAGUGGCCAUAGCAGGUUCGGAACGCAGUCUUCCAUUCAUCACCAGGCUGGAUCCAGAUCAGGUUGUAUGCUCCACGGAGGUCGAUCUUGGUGAAGAAGCGGGCACCGCCGAGACGUUCCAACAGGUCCGAGAUCAGGGGCAGCGGAUAACGGUUCCGAACAGUCACCUUGUUCAAACCUCGGUACUCUGAUGACUAGCCGCAAGCUCCCAUCCUUCUUCUUGACAAAGAAGACAGGCGCUCCAGCCGGGGACUGCGAAUGCUGAAUGUAGCCCGAGGCAAGGUUCUCAUCCACGUACUCUUUGAGGGCCUUAAGCUCGGAUGGGGAUAACCCGUAGAUAGGCCCCCAUGGAGGUGACGCUCCUUCCUGUAAAUCAAUGGGACAAUCAUAAGGCCGAUGAACAAGCAGUACACUAGCUUUUUUCUUGUCAAACACAUCCCCAAAAUCAUGAUACUUCUCAGGAAGACUGACAGGAAAAACAUGCAAAGCAAAAAGAAAAAGAGGUUCUUCAUGAAGGAGUUCUUUCAUAGUGAUUGUGGAGAUAGGAGGAGGCGUACGACUAAAUGGAAUGAUGAGACAAGGAUACGGUCCAGUGUAAGAUGGAAGAGAGGAAAAAGAAGAGGGUGAAAACUUUAUAGAGUCAGGAACAGAACCCCGAUUUGAGUUUAGGGAACUUUUCCUGAUUCGGACUCGAUGAAAAGUAGGGGAAGCCGUGGGAGAGAUGAGCUGUAAUUCCUUCCAACAGAUUUGAGGCUGAUGUAGUUGGAACCAAGGAAGACUGAGCACCACAGAGGAGGACUUGCUGUUGAUGAUGUUGAAGGCGAUAUCGGUGACAGUGGACCCGAUGUGUACUUGAAUAGGCAACGUUUCCCUAAGUCCAGAAGAUGGAGACACAAAAUGCCCGCUGAUGCCUUCAACCCUCAAAUCCCGUAUGGUAGGAGAAAGAGGAACGUGAUGUUGGGCAGCAAAGUCCGUGUCCAUGAAGCAGGAAGUUGCACCCGAGUCCAGUAACGCCAGAGCCUUGAGUCCUGAUUGUCCGGUGAAAGAAAGGAGACAUGGGAUGCGGAAGUUGCAGGAAUUGGUGGUGGCUUUGAUGAAAGGUGGUGAGGAGCUUGAUAAAGAAGAAAAGUGAUUUUUAUUCGGGGAGUCCAAACAGACAGCUCCUACUCUGUUUGGACAGGGUCGUUUCCCGACUGCAAUAGAGGUGGACUUUGAGGCAAAGUGAACUCGAGCAGUUGAGGAGGCUUCUUGGGACAUACAGCUGCUUUGUGAUUAGGAUCAGCACAAUAGAGGCAAAGAUUAUGAGAUAUUCGACGUUGCUUCUCAGCAGGACUCAACUUCCCUCUAAUGAGUCGGGGAGUACCAGAAAUAUCCAUUGGAACCGGAGCAGUAGGUUCAGGAGUAUGCCCCGAAGACUCAAGCUGGGAUUUCUGAGUCUGGGACGGAAAAACAGUGGCACGGGGACUUUCCUGACGACGUUCAAAGAGACGAUUGUCACAUCGAAUAGCUUUGUUGAUGGCAUCCGACAGGUCCUUGGGAUCCUCCAUGGUGAGCAACAAAUCCUUGACACCGUUGUUGAGGCCGAAACGAAAUUGGUCAAUUAGGGCCCGCUCAUCCCACUGAGUUUCCAAAGCAAGGAGUUGGAACUCUGCAGCGUAGAUCGAGGCAAGACAAGACCCCUGAGAGAGACGUCUCAUCUUUGUGAUAGCAGCCCGAACCCGAUCCGUCUCGCCAAAACAUGCUUCGAGCUUCUCUUUGAACAAUUGAAGAUCCAUCAGUUCUGGAACCACGACCCCUUUCAUGCUCUUCUCCAAAAGAGGAGAAAACCAUGACAAAGCUGCACCUUCGAGCAACGUCCUAAUCGCGCCGAUUUGAGACUCGGGAGUAGGGUACCGCCGAUGUUGAAGUGCGAAGAUCAACUCCAUCUCGUUCAGGAAUCCACGAAGCUUCGAAUGCUUGCCUGAAAAUUUCGCCGGGAAGCUCACCUUCGGUUCAGGAACUUUGCUGGAUCCUUGAGCCGAAAGUGAAGCAAGUUCCUGCUGCAUGCGAAGAAGGGUCGCCUUCAGCUCGGUAUUCUCAGACUGGAUUUUUGCAAGGACUUCAGCAAAGAAAUCAGGAUGGCUUGGAGACUCCAUUGGCAAGAAGAAAGAAAAAAGGGGAAAAAAAAAGGCAAAGGUAAUCAAACAAUCAAAACGAGCUAAAUCAAAAAACGAAAAAGCACAAUCUGAAUCAAACUGUUAAGACUCCUGACAAGAUCAAGACUGGAAAAUGCAAAAAGACAAAGAGAAAAGCUAGUGGAAACAAAGAAGAGGCCUUAGAUUGGUGUUGAUUCAGAUUGUGGAGAAAUGGAACAAGGCUAACCUAUAUAUACUAUAGGUUGAUGAAGCUCCACCACUCUUGGAUCGAGGACGGCCUAAAUAUAGCUGAGGUCGAGGAGGCGCCACAUCAUCAUCAGGAAUGUGGCUCGAGACUCAGGAAUCGGGAAGUGUCUCGAGAGUCAGGAAUAGGGAAGUGUCUCAAGAGUCAGGAAUAGGGAAGUGUCUCGAGAGUCAGGAAUGUGGUUUGCAGGUCAGGAAUCCGGCGAGAGUCAAGAAUGUGGCAAGAAUUGGGGGAUUCCUGACACGCAUUGCUGAUCCAUUGAAACUUUAUGAGGUGACAUGCGAUGCGAGUGGUUAUGCACUGGGAGGAGUUCUCAUGCAAGAGGGACAGCCUAUUGCAUAUGAGAGUCGAACUUUGAAUUCUGCGGAGCAACGCUAUUCCACAAAUGAGCAAGAGUUACUCUCUAUUGUUCAUGCUUUGCAGACGUGGUGGCACUACCUUUAUGGUGCAGUGUUCGUAGUGUUGAGAGAUCACAAACCAUUUGUGUAUCUUUUCACACAGAAGGAGUUGAACACUAGGCAAGCUCAUUGGAUGGUCAAACUCAUGGAGUUUGGGGAGUUUCCUAUUGAGCAUCAUCUAGGAAAAUCAAAUGUGGUGGCAGAUGUUUUAUCUCGUGUUCAUCAUGUGGUGACGUUACAAACACGAUUUUGUCAUCAUUUGAGUAAGGUGGUCAUUGAGUUUGGGCAGUUGGUUGAGCAUGCUUAGGCUUAGGAUGCUGAGGUGGCCUCUUUGCGAGACCAGAUGGAAGCUCUUUUCUCAUUGGUGGAUGGGAUUCUCUACUACAAUGGCCGUGUAUAUUUGCCACAGGUGGAUGCGUUAAUUACUCAAGUUUUAUUCCACUAUUAUGAUCGUCCAGAUGCCAGUCAUUUUGGGGGGAAGAAGACGUAUGAGUUGAUUAAGUGCAACUUUUAUUGGACGAAUAUGAAGGUUGAUAUCCUCAAGUAUUGUAAAUAAUGCGAGCUUUGUCAGCGGGUUAAGGUGCCAGGGGAGAAGCUAGGGGGACUUUUGCAACCUUUACUUAUUCCUCAGAGCCAUUGGUGUAGUAUCUCUAUGGACUUCAUCACUUGAUUGCCACAAACACAAAGGCAAAAGGAUCAAGUAUGGGUCAUAGUGGAUUGGUUGACGAAGUAUGUGUGGUUGUUGGCUCUUCAGAAGAUUGUCACUGCCUCAAACCUGGUUGCAGUUUACUUAGAGAAGGUUUUUCCUGAUUUUGGUUUGCUAGAGGACAUCAUUAGUGAUUGAGAUUCAAAGUUCAGCAGUGGAUUUUGGAAAAGCUUUGCAAAGGCUAUACAAGUGACUUUGAAACUCUCAAGUGGAGAUCAUCCUUAGAUAGAUGGGCAAACCGAGCGUGUGAAUUAGGUGGUAGAGGAUAUGUUACAUUGUAGCAUUGGUCAAAGGCAAGGACAGUGGGAUUUAUAUCUUCCGUUGGUGCAAUUUGCUUACAACAAUAAUCAACAUAGUGGAACCAAGCUAAAGUCCUUACUUUGCCAUAUUUGGAAGGCAUCCUCGAAUAGCGGUGGAGUUGGGAUUGUAUUUGAGUAAGGACGUUCAAGAUAAGCUUGAUUCCGAGGCGACUAAUCUGGCCACAGAACUUGAUGAGAUUUUAGUGGUGUGCAAACGGAAUUUGCAAGUAGCUUGGGAUAGAGCAGAGAAGUUUGCCAAUGAGCAUCGCCAAUUCCGGGAAUAUAAGAUGGGUGAUCUCGUCUUUGUGCGUGUGAUCUUUCCGUCAAGUGAGCAGCGGAAAAUAUUGGUGCCUUUACUGACAGGGAAGAGUGAUAAACUUUCCUAUCGAUAUGCUAGUCCAUAUGAAGUGCUGGAGUGCAUUGGUAAAGCGGCUUAUCAGGUACGGCUGCCAGCUGGGGUGAAAAUUCAUCUGGUGUUUUAUGUUAGCCAGUUGAAAGGUGUACUAUCUCGGAGUGACGGGCCCAAUGCCUCCCUGAUGUAUACGGCUAUGGAAGAUGAACCAAGAGCUUGAGCAAGGUUCCCCAAAAAGGGUGAUCACCAGUACAACUCGUCCUUGGGAUAAGGACUUUGUUGGGGGCGAAGAAUUGUUAGGCACCAGCUUUGACCACGUGGUCAACGUCAGAGGGAGGCUCAAGGGUAUAUUAAGGCAUGUUAGGGUAAGGGACUUAACCUACCCUAGGGCUCACAGUGGAGCGGUGGUGCAGUGGAGCUUUUGAGAUAGCUCGGGGGUGGUUGGGUGGUGAGGAACCUCAAGAGGUGGCAUAGCAUAAUUUAGGUGACUAGAUCUCUGUCUUUUUGCGCCAGAUCAUAACAAUCGGGCUGUGAUUGGGAGGAGGUUUUGCAUCGGCCUGUGGUGGGUGAAGCCUCGAAUGUCACCACCUGGAGUAAGUUUUCUUAGGAGUAUUAGGUGGAAGAGGAAACUUCAGAUGGAGAAGAGGACCUUCUUCACCAUUUGUGGCAUGCUGGAGAGCAAGAUCCGGAAGCAAAAUACCUGUUGGAGGAGUGUGGUGCCGGUGGAUGUUCAACUGGGGGUAACUUUGUACAAGCUUUUCAAGAACACAGAUUACUUGGAUCUGGUGGACAAGUUUGGCAUCGGGGAGUCCACAGCUCAUGAGAUUGUCAUGGACACUACUGUGGCGAUUGUCAAGUGUCUCAGGUACAAGAUUCAUUUUCCUUCAACUGCCAAGGAGGUUCAAGCUGUUACUGCUGGCUUUCGA
Molecule: long non-coding RNA, 90988 nt
Filed under: Selaginella moellendorffii
Lineage: Eukaryota; Viridiplantae; Streptophyta; Lycopodiopsida; Selaginellales; Selaginellaceae
Description: long non-coding RNA (SMOE_LNC001009)
Source: RNAcentral